Molecule: long non-coding RNA, 91061 nt
Filed under: Triticum aestivum (bread wheat)
Lineage: Eukaryota; Viridiplantae; Streptophyta; Magnoliopsida; Poales; Poaceae
Description: long non-coding RNA (TAES_LNC003741)
Source: RNAcentral
UAGAUACAAGGUAUAAACUGGCCCAGAGCCUCCGGCAACAAUAGAAAUUUAGGUUAUCUGAUAACAAACAAGCUAAAUUACUUUGAGACUAACACAUGUUUACAAGGAUAAAACAAUUUAGGUUAUCUGAUAACAAACAAGCUAAAUUACUUUGAGACUAACACAUGUUUACAAGGAUAAAACACUGCCUAAGAGUGUGCAAACACUUGGAUUUGAUUGCAAUGAAAUUACUUCAACAAACAUCACUUGGGCCAAAUUGAAGUCACUGAUAUGCAAAUACUCCUGGCAACCAAUAUUACCUUCGCUAGAGUGUUCUCAAAGCUUGCCUCUUCUUCUUCAAUUAUAUCUUUAAUCUUCUUUUCAUUGUCCUUCAGCUCAGGAAACACAUCACCCAUCACUCGGACAAAAACAUCUACAAGGCUGUACAAGAAAGAUACAAAAUAAUGGCAUAUCAAAUACCAGCUUCAAGAACAUAGUUUAAAUUAGCUAGAAUCAUGUGUGACAUAGUUUCUUUACUUGUUGUCAUAUGACAUCUCUACAGUCAUCCUCGUAAGCCGUACAUUGCAUGUUUAGCAUCCCGAGUAAACAAAAGGCUAUGCAAAGUAUACCAUUAACGAAAAGGUACAGAAUACAACAGAUGCAUGUUACAGUUCUUACGAGCUAAAAAAUCCUUGCUUUGCCAUCAAUUUUUGAUGACCAAAGUGAACAGCACGUCUAAGUAUACGCCUUAGAACAUACUCUCUUCCCUCAUUUCCUACAACAAAACUCCUAUUAGAACAAGGAAACAUCAUUGUAUAACACAAAACAAAGCUCUGAAACAUUGUAAAAAUACUGCUAAACAACAUUCCUCGGUAGGGGCCCAUCUGAAAUCUAAAAAAAAUGGUUCGCAAUGAACUAAACCCACACAAAUUUAGCAUUUAUGACUUCAUAUUUAUAGGAAGGGCAUUAAUGCAUUUCGUCCUAAAACAGGAAAUGCAACUCAGGUCCCCAAACUAGUGAUUUUGACACAUGGAUGCCUGAACUAAAAUUAAUUAGUCAGGUUCAAAACAACUAGCCUCCGUAGAGUUGACUAGCCAAAACCGUAUGAGCUCACUAGGUUGAGAACCAUCAGCAAUAGCAAAAGAAAGGGCUCUUAUGUGAUCUGCAACAACCCUAUAUGCCAUAUCAACUUUCCCAACAUCAUCGAAUCCUACUUUACCAGAGUAUGGUUGAAUUCCAGCGCCUGCCAGAUGCAUUCAUAAUGCAUAAUGAAUUGGCAAUGAAUAUCAUUUACUUUAGGCAACAAUUUAUUGCUUCAGCAAAAUACUCUAGUCACAACUCGCAAGCACAAAAGAAGCUGCAAGUACGCAUCUGGGAAAAAUACCUUGUGGAUGGCAUCGAAUAAUGGCAUCAAUACAUCUGUGUCGUAAUUGCUCAUUUUAUUCUGAAGGAUAGAAGUUAAACGCUCAAAGCCCAUUCCGGUGUCAACGUGUUUUGCUGGCAAGGAUCUCAAAGUAGCGUCUGACUCCCUGUUGAACUGGGUAUUAAUAAAAUAGCCAAAUGUCAGUGCAUAGUAGAAGAGAUAAAAAGCAAAUAGGCGUGCACACACAUGAAACAGAGUAACUGGCAUGUUAACCUGAAUAAACACAAGAUUCCAUAUCUCAAUACAUGUAGGGUCAUCAUUAUUGACUAAUGAGGCUGCGUCACGGUUGUCAAUACGAUCAAAAUGAAUCUCUGUGCAUGGUCCACAAGGACCUGUGUCGCCCAUCUCCCAAAAGUUAUCCUGCUCAAAGAAUGCAUUGUUGUAAUACUCUUCUUGUUUAAUAGGGACAUUCAGAUAGCAGUAUAAGCCCAACAGAAACGAAGAUACAAGAUAAUAAUGUGUAAAACGGACAGGAAGGAGGUCGACCAAGAAACCAAGCAGAGCACAAGCAGAAUAGUACCUUGCAACCGAGAGGCAGAACUCUUUCAUUCAGUAGAUACUUGAACCAUAUGUCUUUUGACUCGGUAUCGGGAGCGAGACCAACCUUGUCAUCACCAUCAAAGUAUGUUGCAUAAAUCCUAUCAGUGGGCAAUUUGUAGACCUGCACAUACAUACAUACAUGCAUAUGAAAUAGAAAUUUCUAUCAACGGGCAAUUAUAUGUCACUCUUUCAUCAUCCUUACAUUUGAUUGAUUGAUUGAUUAAUUGAUUGAUUGAUAGCAAGAGUAGGUAGGUAGGUACCUGGGUGAGGAGUUGCCAUGCGUAUGCGAUGGCCCCGUCCUUGAAGUAGUCCCCGAAGGACCAGUUGCCGAGCAUCUCGAAGAAGGUGUGGUGGUAGGUGUCCUUGCCGACGUCGUCGAGGUCGUUAUGCUUGCCGCCGGCACGGAUGCACUUCUGGGUGUUGCAGGCGUGGCGCAGGUGGCCGAGCGGCGAGUCCGGGGCGGCGGUGCCGAGGAAGACCGGCUUGAACUGGUUCAUCCCGGCGUUGGCGAAGAGGAGAGUGGGGUCGUCCACGAGCACCACGGGGCUGGACGGCCACGGCAUGUGCGCCUUGGACUCGAAGAAGCCGAUGAAGGACUCCCGGACCUGGGCGGAGGGCCGGCCAUGGAUGCUCGUCGGAAGGAGGAGAGGUGGGCGGCGGCGGGCAGAACCCUAUCCCUAGCGCUUGGCUUGGGGUUGGGGUUGAGGAGCGCUGCAAGGAAAAUAUGAGGCAGGGAACGAAUGCCAAGUUUGUGUGGUAAUUUUAUUUUAUUUUGAAAAGAAAAAAUAGAAACCAUAUUUAAAAAUUUCAAAAAAAAUUGAAAAUAAUUCUGUGCAAACUUUUUUUUUUGCAUUACUCAACUCAUGGUGUCCAUACAUUGAGCGACAGCUAGCUCAACAGCAACAUCUGGACCAGAACCAACCCAAGUCAUGGUUCAUCCUUCUAAUUUAGCAAAUCUAGGCUAACUUUAUUUUGAGAGUGAUUUACAUGAGUAAUACAACAACCACGAAUCCCCAAAACAUACUUGAUCACCUUAACUAUCCAAGCAUAAAUAGAUUUGUCCAAAUCCCUCAAUUGGAUCAGUUUGACUGCAAGAAUAGAGUCCAUCUCCACAAUGGUAGAAAAGUCACUCCUCUCAAGUGCAGAUGAUAGCCCUUCCAUGCACGCACGCAGUUCAGUUGAUGAAAGAAAGAGCGUUUUUCUUCUCUGCUUCUUCAUUCGCUCGAUUUCCUUUUUUUCACCUUUUUAUUAAAAAACUAAAAACAUUUAUUUAAAAAUAAUAAUUUCCUUAAAAUUUUGAAAUGUUCAAAGUGAAAUAGAAAACUAUAAACAUUGUGUAAAAAAUUAUCACCCGCUGCUUAGCUUGAUUUGCAGGUAUGAGGCAGGGAACGCCAUACAUUUGGCCGGCCUUCGUUUUUCUUCUCCGCUUCUUCAUUCGCUCCAUUUUAUUUACAUUUAAAAAAUAUAUUCUAAAUACACUUAUUCCAAAAACACAGUAGAGUUUAACAAAUAAAAAAUGUUGAAAGUGAAAUAUAAAAGUAUAAACAUCAUGUACAAAAUUGUACUCUCUAUGAUCCAUAUUAAUUGUCACUGACUUAGUUUAAACUAAUAUAGACCAAAUGUAGCAUGAUAUAAAAAAUGUUUAUGGCAUUCAAAAAUAUGUUCACGUGUUUCAAAAAUAUAUACGUGACAUUUUUAGAAAAUGUCAUACAAUUUGGAAAGAAUGCUCACGUAAUUCAACAAAAUAAAUACUGCCUUUCAGAAAGAUGUACAUGACAAUUAAAAAAUGCUCACACACUCCAAAAAUAGGUUUAUGCCAAUUAAUAAAAAAUGUUCAAGAUGUGUAAAUUUUUACAGUGUGUAUUUAGAAAAAUGGACAUGUAUUGAGAAAGAAAUAAAAUCCAUAAAAAACACAUAAGACAUAAAACCAAAAAAAAAGAUGAAAAUUGGCCCAGGAAACACACAAGACGAAAAGGAAAAAAACUCUGCAGGAACCCGGUCCCGGGAACCCAUAUUGGGAAAACCCAUCUAGGGUCCGCCUACUUCAUACAGCAGGCGAGAAGGACAUAGUAAAGAUGACAUGCUUUUCUCAAAAAAACAGGUAAAAAUGACAUGCCAUUAAAAAUAAAAUUGCCAUGCUCUUAAUAGUUAUUAGAAUGAAUCAAGUCUCUUCUUUAUUAGAUGCCAUAUGCUAUUUAUACAAGGGAAAGGACACCACUGGAAAAGGUGUCUGAUCAGAGGAGGUGCCUGUUCGGCGAGAACCGACGCGGCCGUUUUACAACGGCCCGCGGUUAGUACAAGCAGGGAUUAAUCCCAUAAUUAACACAUGGUUAAUUAAUUCUAACACUCCCCCUAAUCAAUGCUUGAUCUUGUGAGCAGACGUCAUCUUGAUAAAGUUUCCUCCAAAAACCCUGUGGGGAAAAAUGAGGAUAGAGGUGUUUGAUAUGUUGCCAAAACUCCUUCAAACCCAGUAGGAAAAAUAAGGAGAAAAUGCCGUAACAUAUAAUGAUUAUUGUCUGUGUAACUCAAUAUGAGAAAAACCCAUAGAGUUUAGAGGACAUUAAAUAUGUCUAAUAUACUUUCUUAAAAACCCCGGUGGGGAAAACAGAAAAUAUGACAUAUGGUCUUGUGUUGAUAUUACCUCAUUAAAAACCUUUAUGAGAACCUAUAAAGUAAACUCAUGAAGGGAAAAAGAGUAUAAUAUGAUGCUUUCAAUAGGAACAAUUCAGGAAGAUACUCCCCCUGAUUCUUGCAUAUUCCGAAGUCGUUAUAUACCAAUUCCAUGAACACAUUUCUAGAACAUAGAAGUUGGUAGAGACCUGGUGAACAAAUCAGUCACAUGAUUUAACUUGCAAGAUAUGCAAUAUAGCGAUAUUGCUUAUUAUGUAACAUGUUUGCAUCCGGGCAACACAAGAAACAUUAUCCUUGAGAUAAUGGUUGGUGGAUGUAGCCAUAAGGUCUGUCUCGAAGACUCUUCAUGAGAGGGCUACCACACCUAGUAGGAACACUAAGCUUGUCUACGAUCUGAUAUAGUGGGAUCUCAUCGAUGUAUCCAAUGAUAUCGGUGUUCACAUUUCUGUGAAACUGAAAAACCAGGAAAAGAUGUUUGAUGCCUUGAAGAUAUCGAAAGAUAUUCUUGAGUACCAACCAAUUGUGUUUGGUGGAUCCAAUGGCAUUAAGGAACAUUGAGUCCCAAUAUUUCAUUUCUAUCAUCUCUUGGUCUAAAUAGAUCUUUCUCUACGUCUAGAGAAUGAACCACCAUGAGAGUUAUGGAUGUAUAAGACUUGUCCACAAUGAAUUUCUCCAAUAUAUUUUGGAUAUAGACAACAUAGUGUACCAAAAUGUAUGAGUGAAGGUGCUCAAGUUGUAGUAACGAGCGGUAUCUUGGUUUUACCCAAAUCCUUCAUUUAAACUCUGUCGUUUAGAUGAUUACAUGUAUCAUCAUUGCAGGAGUAAUCACUGUGUAUGACAGACAAACAUGGAUAACCAUCAUUGUAGGAGUAAUCCUUGUGGAAAGGAACUCACUAAGUCGGUUGUACCAAAUGUACCGACAACAAUAAGUCAUAUGGUGACUUGCUAAUUUUUACACAAUGUAUGUUGCAUUUUGUAUUUCGAUUCAGAAUUGAGAUUCCAUUGGAAAUCAAUCAUAUAUGUCUGAAUCUAGUGAGCCACAUGGAUAUGUGAUCACUACAUCUAUCAAUUGCAGAGAUAGAUGAUUUUGUACUGCCAAUGAUAUAAGUUAUCGAAAUGAGAUUCCACCUCUGGAGAAUAGUUAGGUAUCUGGGUAAACCCUUGUGCUACAAUACUUGCUCUUUGUUUACCACCUCGUUGUUCUCAAUUUUGUUUCCAGAAGAAAACUGGUCUAGGUAUUUCUUAUGAAUACCUUCCCAUUAUUGAGCAAGAUCAUUUCUUCCUAGAUUAUACCCUUUGCUUGAGUUCAGUCCGAGUGUUUUUCACACUUUGCCAUGGCCAUGGUCUUUGGACCUGAAUCAUGUGAAAGGUUUUGCAAUCUAGUUGAGAAAUGUAUGUUGACAAUUGUAGACAUCCGGUUAUAUGUUUCUCCAGAAUCUAUAUAUCAAUAUAGAGUUGAUGGAAAUAUCGUUACCCAAGGUGACUGCUCGCUAUUUCCCAAUGCGGCUAAGUCGGGUAUUCCAAUAUCCCGGUCAUUGUGUGCACUAUGACCUGGGUUGGUGGAGGAUUCCCGUCCACCGGGUGUAUACUACCCAUUAGGUGUCUGCCAACAUGAAGUUGACUUGCAUUUACUGAUUCACAGGCCUUGAUAUCCUUGCUUGCGAGAAGCUGAAUCCUGAUGUACUUCUGCCAUACAUCUCCCCCUGUUGCUUUGAACGGGGAGUGGAGUGGAUUUUGUUGGUACCUCCACUCUUUCAGGCAUACUUUGCAGGAUUGUAGGAUUGUGUGACACCUUUAUAGUCAGUAAAUGAAUCUGGCAGGUUAUUUGCAAUAUGUUGCAAAUCUUCUGAACACAUGGUUCAACUCUUUGAUUACGGGGAUAUGAGGCAGAAAUGUGUUGAACAUUCCACUAAUUUCCUGGCAUUCUUUAUGGUACUUGAAUUCUCCCCCUAAUGCCUGGAAAUAUUCCUCAUUGAAUCAACAUACUGGCCUUGAAUAACUCCCCAUGUGAGGGGCUUGAGGUAUUGACGGUAAUACAGUUAUUCCUCACAUAGAUCCCAACUAUAUGUUGAGGGGCCAAUGAUGUAUGUCGGGGUGAUGAUAUCGGUGUGUAACCAAAUUACCGCAGAUAGGAAAUACUUGGUAGAUUUCCACGUAUCAAAGAUAGAGGGGAAUAAAAUUAUGCAGUUUGGUCAUGAGCGUGUAAAACUCCAUGACUCCAACGUAAAGUUGGUAAGUUGCAAUUUCAAAGUAAAGAUCAUGCAAUGAGCUCAAUUUUUUGGAUGGGAUUCUACCAAACCAUUUCGAGUCUAGACAUUAGGACAAAUUACUAAACUUCAAUCCGAGGACCAUUGAAAAAGGCACUCAAGGAGAAUUCUGCAAAUGCUAUCCAUUCGAUUUGCUUGAAAUCGAUGUCAGGAUAAUGAGUCAAUGGUUUCGUGUGAAUAAAGCACACUUGAGACCAUCAUAUAGAUGUGUCUUUGGAAAAACCAUGGAUACCUGAAUAGUCUAGUCAAUGGUUGGGAAAAACCACUUACCUCGACUUGAUGCAUUCAAGGAGUCUGAGUGGUUCAGCGUAAACUUUAAGGUGCGCAAUCCUUAAAAUUAGCUUCUCUGUGUCAUAUGUAGUGCACACAAAAUCCAAAUAUUGUUAGAAUUUAGCAUCAUAAUAAUCAUAAAACCAAUGGAAUUGCUGAUAGUUUCGGUUUCAACCCAAUGUCUCGAUGACCAAAGGCGAGUAUGCCAAGUUUGUCAUGUACAAGAUGUUGGGUUUCGUAGUAAUUUCAAAAAAAUUCCUACGCACACGCAAGAUCAUGUGAUGCAUAUUAACGAGGGGGAGAGUAUUGUCUACGUACCCAACGCAGACCGACUGCGGAAGCGAUGACACGACGUAGAGGAAGUAGUCGUACGUCUUCACGAUCCAACCGAUCAAGCACUGAAACUACGGCACCUCCGAGUUCGAGCACACGUUCAGCUCGAUGACGAUCCCCGGACUCCGAUCCAGCAAAGUGUCGGGGAAGAGUUCCGUCAGCACGACGGCGUGGUGACGAUCUUGAUGAACUACAGCAGCAGGGCUUCGCCUAAACUCCGCUACAGUAUUAUCGAGGAAUAUGGUGGCAGGGGGCACCGCACACGGCUAAGGAACAGAUCACGUGGAUCAACUUGUGUGUUUCUGGGGUGCCUCUGCCUCAGUAUAUAAAGGAGCCAAGGGGGGAGAGGGGCGCCGGCCAGGGAGAGAGGCGCAGGAGGAGUCCUACUCCUUCCGGGAGUAGGACUCCCCUUCCAAUCCUAUUCCAACUAGGAUUCCCCGAGGGGGAAAGAGGGAGAGGGGUGGCCGGCCACCUCUCCUAGUCCUAAUAGGACUAGAGGAGGGGGGAGGUGCGCAGCCCCCUUGGGCUGCCCCUUUCUCCUUUCCACUAAGGCCCAUGAAGGCCCAUAUGGCUCCCGGGGGGUUCCGGUAACCCGGUAAAAUCCCGAUUUCACCCGGAACACUUCCGAUGUCCAAACAUAGGCUUCCAAUAUAUCAAUCUUUACGUCUCGACCAUUUCGAGACUCCUCGUCAUGUCCGUGAUCACAUCCGGGACUCCGAACAACCUUCGGUACAUCAAAAUGCAUAAACUCAUAAUGUAACUGUCAUCGUAACCUUAAGCGUGCGGACCCUACGGGUUCGAGAACAAUGUAGACAUGACCGAGACAUGUCCCCGGUCAAUAACCAAUAGCGGGACCUGGAUGCCCAUAUUGGCUCCUACAUAUUCUACGAAGAUCUUUAUCGGUCAGACCGCAUAACAACAUACGUUGUUCCCUUUGUCAUCGGUAUGUUACUUGCCCGAGAUUCGAUCGUCGGUAUCCAAUACCUAGUUCAAUCUCGUUACCGGCAAGUCUCUUUACUCGUUCCGUAAUACAUCAUCUCACAACUAACAUAUUAGUUGUAAUGCUUGCAAGGCUUAUGUGAUGUGUAUUACCAAGAGGGCCUAGAGAUACCUCUCCGACAAUCGGAGUGACAAAUCCUAAUCUCGAAAUACGCCAACCCAACAUCUACCUUUGGAGACACCUGUAAUGCUCCUUUAUAAUCACCCAGUUACGUUGUGACAUUUGGUAGCACCCAAAGUGUUCCUCCGGCAAACGGGAGUUGCAUAAUCUCAUAGUCAUAGGAACAUGUAUAAGUCAUGAAGAAAAGCAAUAGCAACAUACUAAACGAUCGGGUGCUAAGCUAAUGGAAUGGGUCAUGUCAAUCAGAUCAUUCGACUAAUGAUGUGACCUCGUUAAUCAAAUAACAACUCAUUGUUCAUGGUUAGGAAACAUAACCAUCUUUGAUUAACGAGCUAGUCAAGUAGAGGCAUACUAGUGACACUUUGUUUGUCUAUGUAUUCACACAUGUAUUAUGUUUCCGGUUAAUACAAUUCUAGCAUGAAUAAUAAACAUUUAUCAUGAUUAUAAGGAAAUAAAUAAUAACUUUAUUAUUGCCUCUAGGGCAUAUUUCCUUCAGUCUCCCACUUGCACUAGAGUCAAUAAUCUAGAUUACACUGUAAUGAUUCUAACACCCAUGGAGCUUUGGUGCUGAUCAUGUUUUGCUCGUGGAAGAGGCUUAGUCAACGGGUCUGCAACAUUCAGAUCCGUAUGUAUCUUGCAAAUCUCUAUGUCUCCCACCUGGACUAGAUCCCGGAUGGAAUUGAAGCGUCUCUUGAUGUGUUUGGUCCUUUUGUGAAAUCUGGAUUCCUUUGCCAAGGCAAUUGCACCAGUGUUGUCACAAAAGAUUUUCAUUGGACCCGAUGCACUAGGUAUGACACCUAGAUCGGAUAUGAACUCCUUCAUCCAGACUCCUUCAUUUGCUGCUUCCGAAGCAGCUAUGUACUCCGCUUCACAUGUAGAUUCCGCUACGAUGCUUUGUUUAGAACUGCACCAACUGACAGCUCCACCGUUUAAUGUAAACACGUAUCCGGUUUGCGAUUUAGAAUCGUCUGGAUCAGUGUCAAAGCUUGCAUCAACGUAACCUUUUACGGUGAGCUCUUUGUCACCUCCAUAUAUGAGAAACAUAUCCUUAGUCCUUUUCAGGUAUUUCAGGAUGUUCUUGACCGCUGUCCAGUGAUCCAUUCCUGGAUUACUUUGGUACCUCCCUGCUAAACUUAUAGCAAGGCACACAUCAGGUCUGGUACACAACAUUGCAUACAUGAUAGAUCCUAUGGCUGACGCAUAGGGAACAUCUUUCAUAUUCUCUCUACCUUCUGCAGUGGUCGGGCAUUGAGUCUUACUCAACUUCACACCUUGUAACACAGGCAAGAACCCUUUCUUUGUUUGAUCCAUUUUGAACUUUUUCAAAAUUUUGUCAAGGUAUGUGCUUUGUGAAAGUCCAAUUAAGCGUCUUGAUCUAUCUCUAUAGAUCCUAAUGCCUAAUAUGUAAGCAGCUUCACUAAGGUCUUUCAUUGCAAAACUUUUAUUCAAGUAUCCCUUUAUGCUAUCCAGAAAUUCUAUAUCAUUUCCAAUUAGUAAUAUGUCAUCCACAUAUAAUAUCAGAAAUGCUACAGAGCUCCCACUCACUUUCUUGUAAAUACAGGCUUCUCCGAAAGUCUGUAUAAAACCAAAUGCUUUGAUCACACUAUCAAAGCAUUUAUUCCAACUCCGAGAUGCUUGCACCAGUCCAUAAAUGGAUCGCUGGAGCUUGCACACUUUGUUAGCUCCUUUUGGAUCGACAAAACCUUCCGGUUGCAUCAUAUACAACUCUUCUUCCAGAAAUCUAUUCAGGAAUGCAGUUUUGACAUCCAUCUGCCAAAUUUUAUAAUCAUAAAAUGCGGCAAGCGCUAACAUGAUUCGGACGGACUUAAGCAUCGCUACGGGUGAGAAGGUCUCAUCGUAGUCAACCCCUUGAACUUGUCGAAAACCUUUCGCGACAAGUCGAGCUCUGUAGACAGUAACAUUACCAUCAGCGCCAGUCUUCUUCUUGAAGAUCCAUUUAUUCUCAAUUGCUUGCCGAUCAUCGGGCAAGUCAACCAAAGUCCAUACUUUGUUCUCAUACAUGGAUCCCAUCUCAGAUUUCAUGGCUUCAAGCCACUUUGCGGAAUCUGGGCUCACCAUCGCUUCUUCAUAGUUCGUAGGUUCAUCAUGAUCUAGUAGCAUGACUUCCAGAACUGGAUUACCGUACCACUCUGGUGCGGAUCUUACUCUGGUUGAUCUACGAGGUUCAGUAGUAUCUUGUUCUGAAGUUUCAUGAUCAUUAUCAUUAACUUCCUCACUUAUUGAUGUAGGUGUCGCAGAAACAAUUUUCUGUGAUGUACUACUUUCCAACAAGGGAGUAGGUACAGUUACCUCGUCAAGUUCUACUUUCCUCCCACUCACUUCUUCCGAGAGAAACUCCUUCUCAAGAAAGUUUCCGAAUUUAGCAACAAAAGUCUUGCCUUCGGAUCUAUGAUAGAAGGUGUAUCCAAUAGUUUCCUUUGGAUAUCCUAUGAAGACACAUUUCUCCGAUUUGGGUUCGAGCUUAUCAGGUUGAAGCUUUUUCACAUAAGCAUCGCAGCCCCAAACUUUCAGAAACGACAACUUUGGUUUCUUGCCAAACCAUAGUUCAUAAGGCGUCGUCUCAACAGAUUUUGAUGGUGCCCUAUUUAACGUGAAUGCGGCCGUCUCUAAAGCAUAACCCCAAGAUGAUAGCGGUAAAUUAGUAAGAGGCAUCAUAGAUCGCACCAUAUCUAGUAAAGUAUGAUUACGACGUUCGGACACACCAUUACGCCGUGGUGUUCCGGGUGGCGUGAGUUGCGAAACUAUUCCGCAGUUUUUCAAAUGUACACCAAACUCGUAACUCAAAUAUUCUCCUCCACGAUCAGAUCGUAGAAACUUUAUUUUCUUGUUACGAUGAUUUUCAACUUCACUCUGAAAUUCUUUGAACUUUUCAAAUGUUUCAGAUUUAUGUUUCAUUAAGUAGAUAUACCCAUAUCUGCUUAAAUCAUCUGUGAAGGUGAGAAAAUAACGAUAUCCGCCACGAGCCUCAAUAUUCAUCGGACCACAUACAUCGGUAUGUAUGAUUUCCAACAAAUCUGUUGCUCUCUCCAUAGUACCGGAGAACGGUGUUUUAGUCAUCUUGCCCAUGAGGCACGGUUCGCAAGUACCAAGUGAUUCAUAAUCAAGUGGUUCCAAAAGUCCAUCAGUAUGGAGUUUCUUCAUGCGCUUUAUACCGAUAUGACCUAAACGACAGUGCCACAAAUAAGUUGCACUUUCAUUAUCAACUCUGCAUCUUUUGGCUUCAACAUUAUGAAUAUGUGUAUUACUACUACCGAGAUUCAAUAAGAAUAGACCACUCUUCAAGGGUGCAUGACCAUAAAAGAUAUUACUCAUAUAAAUAGAACAACCAUUAUUCUCUGAUUUAAAUGAAUAACCGUCUCGCAUUAAAUAAGAUCCAGAUAUAAUGUUCAUGCUCAACGCUGGCACCAAAUAACAAUUAUUUAGGUCUAAUAUUAAUCCCGAAGGUAGAUGUAGAGGUAGCGUGCCGACCGCGAUCACAUCGACUUUGGAACCGUUUCCCACGCGCAUCGUCACCUCGUCCUUAGCCAAUCUUCGCUUAAUCCGUAGCCCCUGUUUCGAGUUGCAAAUAUUAGCAACAGAACCAGUAUCAAAUACCCAGGUGCUACUGCGAGCAUUAGUAAGGUACACAUCAAUAACAUGUAUAUCACAUAUACCUUUGUUCACUUUGCCAUCCUUCUUAUCCGCCAAAUACUUGGGGCAGUUCCGCUUCCAGUGACCAGUCUGCUUGCAGUAGAAGCACUCAGUUUAGGCUUAGGUCCAGACUUGGGUUUCUUCUCUUGAGCGGCAACUGGCUUGCCGUUCUUCUUGAAGUUCCCCUUCUUCUUUCCUUUGCCCUUUUUCUUGAAACUAGUGGUCUUGUUGACCAUCAACACUUGAUGCUCUUUCUUGAUUUCUACCUCCGCAGCUUUCAGCAUCGCGAAGAGCUCGGGAAUAGUCUUGUUCAUCCCUUGCAUAUUAUAGUUCAUCACGAAGCUCUUGUAGCUUGGUGGCAGUGAUUGGAGAAUUCUGUCAAUGACGCAAUCAUCCGGAAGAUUAACUCCCAAUUGAAUCAAGUGAUUAUUAUACCCACACAUUUUGAGUAUAUGCUCACUAACAGAACUGUUCUCCUCCAUCUUGCAGCUACAGAGCUUAUUGGAGACUUCAUAUCUCUCAAUUCGGGCAUUUGCUUGAAAUAUUAACUUUAACUCCUGGAACAUCUCAUAUGCUCCAUGACGUUCAAAACGUCGUUGAAGUCCCGAUUCUAAGCCGUAAAGCAUGGCACACAGAACUAUCGAGUAGUCAUCAGCUUUGCUCUGCCAGACGUUCAUAACAUCUGGUGUUGCUCCAGCAGCAGGCCUGGCACCCAGCGGUGCUUCCAGGACGUAAUUCUUCUGUGCAGCAAUGAGGAUAAUCCUCAAGUUACGGACCCAGUCCGUGUAAUUGCUACCAUCAUCUUUCAACUUUGCUUUCUCAAGGAACGCAUUAAAAUUCAACGGAACAACAGCACGAGCCAUCUAUCUACAAUCAACAUAAACAAGCAAGAUACUAUCAGGUACUAAGUUCAUGAUAAAUUUAAGUUCAAUUAAUCAUAUUACUUAAGAACUCCCACUUAGAUAGACAUCCCUCUAAUCCUCUAAGUGGUCACGUGAUCCAAAUCAACUAAACCAUGUUCGAUCAUCACGUGAGAUGGAGUAGUUUCAUCGGUGAACAUCAUUAUGUUGAUCAUAUCUACUAUAUGAUUCACGCUCGACCUUUCGGUCUCCGUGUUCCGAGGCCAUAUCUGUAUAUGCUUGGCUCGUCAAGUAUAACCUGAGUAUUCCGCGUGCGCAACUGUUUUGCACCCGUUGUAUUUGAACGUAGAGCCUAUCACACCCGAUCAUCACGUGGUGUCUCAGCACGAAGAACUUUCGCAACGGUGCAUACUCAGGGAGAACACUUCUUGAUAAUUUAGUGAGAGAUCAUCUUAUAAUGCUACCGUCAAUCAAAGCAAGAUAAGAUGCAUAAAAAGAUAAACAUCACAUGCAAUCAAUAUAAGUGAUAUGAUAUGGCCAUCAUCAUCUUGUGCCUGUGAUCUCCAUCUCCGAAGCACCGUCAUGAUCACCAUCGUCACCGGCGCGACACCUUGAUCUCCAUCGUAGCAUCGUUGUUGUCUUGCCAAUCUUAUGCUUCCACGACUAUCAGUAUCGUUUAGUAAUAAAGUAAAGCAUUACAUCGCGAUUGCAUUGCAUACAAUAAAGCGACAACCAUAUGGCUCCUGCCAGUUGCCGAUAACUUGGUUACAAAACAUGAUCAUCUCAUACAAUAAAAUUUAGCAUCAUGCCUUGACCAUAUCACAUCACAACAUGCCCUGCAAAAACAAGUUAGACGUCCUCUACUUUGUUGUUGCAUGUUUUACGUGGCUGCUAUGGGCUUAAAUAAGAACCAAUCUCACCUACGCAUCAAAACCACAACGAUAGUUUGUCAAAUAGACUCUGUUUUAACCUUCGCAAGGACCGGGCGUAGCCAUACUUGGUUCAACUAAAGUCGGAGAGACAGUCGCCCGCAAGCCAUCUCUGUGCAAAGCACGUCGAGGGAACCGGUCUCGCGUAAGCGUACGCGUAAGGUUGGUCCGGGUCGUCUCGUCCAACAAUACCGCCGAACCAAAGUAUGACAUGCUGGUAGGCAGUAUGACUUGUAUCGUCCACAACUCACUUGUGUUCUACUCGUGCAUAUAACAUCGACAUAAAUAACCUGGCUCGGAUACCACUGUUGGGUUUCGUAGUAAUUUCAAAAAAUUUCCUACGCACACGCAAGAUCAUGUGAUGCAUAGCAACGAGGGGGAGAGUAUUGUCUACGUACCCAACGCAGACCGACUACGGAAGCGAUGACACGACGUAGAGGAAGUAGUCGUACGUCUUCACGAUCCAACCGAUCAAGCACCGAAACUACGACACCUCCGAGUUCGAGCACACGUUCAGCUCGAUGACGAUCCCCGGACUCCGAUCCAGCAAAGUGUCGGGGAAGAGUUCCGUCAGCACGAUGGCGUGGUGACGAUCUUGAUGAACUACAGCAGCAGGGCUUCGCUUAAACUCCGCUACAGUAUUAUCGAGGAAUAUGGUGGCAGGGGCACCUCACACGGCUAAGGAACAAAUCACGUGGAUCAACUUGUGUGUUUCUGGGGUGCCUCUGCCUUAGUAUAUAAAGGAGCCAAGGGGGGAGAGGGGCGCCGGCCAGGGAGAGAGGCGCAGGAGGAGUCCUACUCCUUCCGGGAGUAGGACUCCCCUUCCAAUCCUAUUCCAACUAGGAUUCCCCGAGGGGGAAAGAGGGAGAGGGGUGGCCGGCCACCUCUCCUAGUCCUAAUAGGACUAGAGGAGGGGGGAGGUGCGCAGCCCCCUUGGGCUGCCCCUUUCUCCUUUCCACUAAGGCCCAUGAAGGCCCAUAUGGCUCCCAGGGGGUUCCGGUAACCUCCCGGUAACCCAGUAAAAUCCCGAUUUCACCCGAAACACUUCCGAUGUCCAAACAUAGGCUUCCAAUAUAUCAAUCUUUACGUCUCGACCAUUUCGAGACUCCUCGUCAUGUCCGUGAUCACAUCCGGGACUCCGAACAACCUUCGGUACAUCAAAAUGCAUAAACUCAUAAUGAAACUGUCAUCGUAACCUUAAGCGUGCGGACCCUACGGGUUCGAGAACAAUGUAGACAUGACCGAGACACGUCCCCGGUCAAUAACCAAUAGCGGGACCUGGAUGCCCAUAUUGGCUCCUACAUAUUCUACGAAGAUCUUUAUCGGUCAGACCGCAUAACAACAUACGUUGUUCCCUUUGUCAUCGGUAUGUUACUUGCCCGAGAUUCGAUCGUCGGUAUCCAAUACCUAGUUCAAUCUCGUUACCGGCAAGUCUCUUUACUCGUUCCGUAAUACAUCAUCUCACAACUAACAUAUUAGUUGUAAUGCUUGCAAGGCUUAUGUGAUGUGUAUUACCGAGAGGGCCCAGAGAUACCUCUCCGACAAUCGGAGUGACAAAUCCUAAUCUCGAAAUACGCCAACCCAACAUCUACCUUUGGAGACACCUGUAAUACUCCUUUAUAAUCACCCAGUUACGUUGUGACGUUUGGUAGCACCCAAAGUGUUCCUCCGGCAAACGGGAGUUGCAUAAUCUCAUAGUCAUAGGAACAUGUAUAAGUCAUGAAGAAAAGCAAUAGCAACAUACUAAACGAUCGGGUGCUAAGCUAAUGGAAUGGGUCAUGUCAAUCAGAUCAUUCGACUAAUGAUGUGACCUCGUUAAUCAAAUAACAACUCAUUGUUCAUGGUUAGGAAACAUAACCAUCUUUGAUUAACGAGCUAGUCAAGUAGAGGCAUACUAGUGACACUUUGUUUGUCUAUGUAUUCACACAUGUAUUAUGUUUCCGGUUAAUACAAUUCUAGCAUGAAUAAUAAACAUUUAUCAUGAUUAUAAGGAAAUAAAUAAUAACUUUAUUAUUGCCUCUAGGGCAUAUUUCCUUCACAAGACACUCUGAAAAACUAUCUCGUACGAACCAUAUGCUACGGGUUGUGUCGUAUGUGUAGUACAAUCCAGAUGAUACACAGAGAAUGUGCUUGCCAUAUCCGUUGCAUAUAGUAAAGAGAAAUUAUUUCUCUUUGUUGUCAUCAUAAGUUUCGCUAUGGAAACUAUUUUGACGGAUACCUCCAUAGUUUAGUAGGGUACGAAUUGAACCUGAGAAGCAAUAAAGCAUCCCGACGUUACUCGAGUACCCACAGGGAUAGUAAAUAUGACUCAGGUUGAGCCAACAAAUACUUCAUCACGUCUAGUGAUUUUAAAAUAUCCCUUUUCUCUCAACGAGAGUGGAAAUAGUUCACUUCCCUGAGUAUGGAGUUCGUGGUGCAUAUGUCCACAAGGCACAUAUGAUCUUUCAUCAGAUUGACCCCCGUAGAAAUCUAUAUAUAGAUUUGAAGAUUCUCAAUAUGAAAAUCACUCAGAUAUAUAGAAUACAUACAAAUGUGUUGUACCAAAGUGCUGAUACAAUAUAUUGUGAUACACAAUAUAUGAUGAUAACAAUAAUCAUGUUCGUAUUAGAACAUCAAAAAUGGACAUAGAUUAACAGAUCACUAAGGAGAUUGAGGGACUAAAUGUAGUCUCCAAACAUGUCAGUUGAUGCAUAUCCAACCUUCAUGUUCUCCAUGCUCAUAGGGUCCCGUGACAGCUGGAUAGUCAUUUUAUUGCUCGGUUCUAGAAGAACAUCAUGCAAACAAUUGACUUUCAUGAUGGUGUCAGGUUGAAGGUUUGAAGUGAGCUUCAAACCUUUACCCUUGAGGUAAUUUGUGUCCCGGUGGCGUGGCUUAGAUUACACGCGCUAUCCCAUGAGAGGCAAGACUGAUCUUGAUGUCCAUGACCCACUUAAGCAAGUUCUGGCCAUUGAGGGCAAGAGCCUCAAAUUACUUAGCCAUCAAUUACUUAAAGGGGCAAACCAGAGAUUAUUAAUUUACGAGUAGUAAAUUAAAGACCAUCAUGGUUAGUGUUGUAAUGAAUUUUGCAAAAUUGAUGGGUAUUUCAAGAAGUUAUCUUGAAACCAUUAGUGUGAACAUCAAAUUGCUAAGUAUGACAUCUUGAAGAUAAUCUUCGAAAGGGAGUAGAUCUCGCAGCACUAGGGAGUAUAAUCUGAUACUCACUCCUAAUGCCUUAUGUCAUGACUUAGUAAAAUGCAUGGGAGUGCACAAUGUUGUGCAAUCAUAAUGUCAAAUAUGACAAAAUAUAGGCUUUAUCAGUAGUCAUCAAUAAUCUGCGUAGGCAGUAGAUCCAUAUGACUACCUUGUGAUCCCAAGCAUCAUUUUGACGAAUCACUUUGAAUUUUGCAUUUGUAUUUGCAAGGAAUUGAAAAUCUCAAUUGCAAAUAGAAGUAUUAAUCUCGACAUGUGUUUAACAUGGAAAUAGAUACAUCAUCGAAAUAUUUUACUCAACGGAGAAACAGUACUGUAGAGGUACUGAAUUUAUCUUUGCAAGAGAUGAGAAAUCUCAAUUGCAAAUGAACGUAAUUAAUCUCAACACGUGGUAAACGUGGAAAUAUAUUACAUCAACUUAAUAUCUGGAAUACAUCUCGGUACUCAACAGAUACACACUACUAUCGUAAUGAAUAGUAAUGAUGUUGCAAACUUGAUGUUCAAGUGAAAAACUUGAAUUGUAUGGACCUCAAAUUAAAAUGAGAUGAUCUUGUAUCAAGUUGCAAGAUAAUUCAGCAAGGUGAAUUAAUAAUUUGCGAGAGAAAAUUGAUCUCAAUUGCAAUGAGAUUGUUUUGCGAGAAAAUGAUAAUUCUCAAUCGCAAAUCUAUAUUGUUGUGCGAGGAAACUUAAUCUCAAUCGCGGAAAGCUUGUUCUAGAAUUUUAGAGCGUAGAUUCACUCAUUUUGCUCCGUAUGUAGUCACUUGUUGAAACCUCUAGAAAGACAAGUAUUUAGGAACGGAGGGAGUAGUACUGUUAGCAUUGUUCAAAAUUAGCCUGGACCACUGUUUUACCCAUUUUGCAAAUUUCGCAAAAACAGGGACCUGCAUGCAAAAAUGGCAAAGGGAUAAGGUUGCCUCUACUCUCUCUCCUGUGCGGUUCCGCGUUGGGGAUUUUUCUACCGCCGUCUCGAGCGGCCUCGAGGGCUCGCCGGAGAAAGGAGAGGGAGGAUCUUGCCGUGCCGGAAGUCGCCGUCGCAGGGCGCUGGAAAGCGCCGUCACGGGCUUGAGACGCCCAGACGCGGCCGCUUCGGGCUGUGCGGGAGGCCGCCCGGUCGCUAUGUCUUGCCGCGACGUGCCGCCGGAGAGCGUCGUUGGUGGCGGCAGGACUCAACGCGGAGGUGUGAUCCGGCGGCGCGGCAGGAGACGAAGCCGCUGGAGCCGGCGUCUUGGUCCAGCGGGAACUGAAACCAAGCGAUGUCUCUUGCCGUGGAUGCCUUCGUCCUUCGUCAAGCGUAAGGCAAAAUUCUGUUCAUGGUAAAGCAAAUUUGUGUAGCCAUGAAGAAAAUUGGAAAAGUAGCACCUUGUUUCUCUGUAGCAAUUAGAUGAAGUUGGUACUCCAAUUUGCGUGGUGCUUGACUCCAGUCUCCGAUUCUCUUCCCAUCUUGGAGUUUAUUCGUCGGAUUUGCUGGCGCUCUCCAUCGGGGACGCUGCUAUUCGCCCCGUUCUUCUCCAGUGGCAUCUCUCUCGGGAGAGUUGUGCGCCUGUUUUCUCACACGCGCAGCGAGCGUGUUGGAGUUGUGUCGAAUAUACUGUACAAGGUAGGUUACAAUUGGACUUGUAGUAGUAUUGUGUGUAGACAGGGUAGGAGUUGUGUCUUAAUAGGACACCUGUAUCCUAGACCUCUCAUAUAUAUCGGGGGUAGACACACGAUGUAAUCUAUGCCAACAUAAUAGCACGGGCACGCGGGGAAGCCGGCGGCAUGUGCCGGCGGCAUGUGCCGGCGCCCGGGCGGCCGGGGUGCGGUAUUAUAGCGGUGUCAUGAGGAGGAGCGCCCGUAGUCAUGCCCCGGGGAUGUAGCCAUAUCGGUGAACCUCGUUAACAAAUCUCGGUGUCGUGCCUCGUGUGAUUGCUUGGUCCUCGGUAGAUCGACGGAGCGCCUCGGAUUUAUUCUAACAAGUGGUAUCGUGAGCAAGGUUCAAAGAGGUCGUGGAUUGCAGAGGAGAUUGUGGUUGUGGAAAAGGUCGAUGACAGGCAGCGCGAUUGGGUGGCAGCGGAUGUUGCGGGCAGUUUUCAUGUCGCGGAGAAGUCUCGGCCAGUAUAGCAAUAGCGGCACUAACCGGAAGCAGUCGGGAAGCUACAGGGCAGCGGUAUCGCAGCAGCAGUUGGUGUCAGCGGAGUCGAUCGAUCCAGAUCGGUCCUGGCGGCGCUUGUGGCAACCCUAGGCGAGAACGGAUUACAGCGUUGGCGUUCUCGCGCUCGAUCCGGUCGAGCGGGGCGGCAGACGUAUGCGCGCGGUUGCCUGUGACGUGGACAAGUCAAGGCCAAGGCCGCCUAGUGGGCUGGGCCAGCGGCGUCUGGGCGGCGAUGCAAGCCUGCAGGGCCAGGCCCAAGCGAUGGGCGGUUGGUGACUUGUGGUGUUCAGGCGUGCGCGUGCGUUGAGCGCAAGGGAGCUGUGUAGUGCUUUGGAGCCGAAGGAAUCAAGACAUCGUGAGGUUUGUUGUUUGAAAAAAAAGAGCAAGUCCCAAGGCGCAUAGUGUGCAGGAGCAUUGAAGUGGAGUAAAAGGGAAUUGAUACAUACAUGCUAAAGGUACACGAAAGGUUGCAGGAAUCUUGUGCACUGGAUAAGCUUGAUUAUGAUCUGCUCCUCGUCUGAGAAUAAGGUGCUCCAAGGGAAAUCGAUGGUCAAUUGGUUUAUUGGAUGCAAAGGUUUUUCAGAACUGUGUGCGAGGCCAGAAGUAAUUGUGAAGCUGUCAACAUUGUGGGCACAAGUUUGAAGGGGACUUGGAGCAUGCAGAGCCACGCGGGCGACGUGCGUAUAUGGCUCGGAGGAGUCUGGAGCACGUCGUGAUACAGAUCAUGCAUACACAGGGCGUCAAGUUAUGCACGGAGAUGUGCGGGGCAGACACGACGCAGGGUGGAGCAUGGUUGCAGUCGGUUAAUUUCGGCUGGGUCGGACUGGACUGUCUGAUGGAUCGACGGGGAUGCCGAUCAAAGCAGAAGAUGGCGGUGAUUUCAGCGACGACGACAUAGGAGCGUGAUGCUGAUGGUGGCCAAUUUCUGGGAUGUGGAAACACGUGGUGCAUGCCUGAGGGCUUGUGCGGCUUCGACAGACUAUGGCGCAGGGUUGAUUCAAGAUGGUGCACACAUCAGAGAGCUUGAAGUCGACAGGGCGCAAGGUAGCAUAGCGCAGCUACAUGGAGUCAUGUUGAAGGUGGAGCUGGAGUCUGAUGGAUGACUACACUCUGAGCUGAUGGAGGGGCUACGGUGUAAAUGCAUGGAGAGUCGGAGCCUAUUUCAGCGGGAUAGCGAGAGACACGUGGAUCGGACUGGGUACCAGUGGUCUGAUGGUGACGUGAUACUUGGCAUCGGUCGGUGAUGAUCAGUGGUUCUCUACAGUGGGGGUUGAGGCAGUGGGGGCUAGCUACCCGGGAGACUCGACCAGGACAGCAGAGGCUCGACGCGGUGAUAGCGGCGAGGCGUGCGGUAAGCACGGGACACAGCAACAGGCCAAGGCACUGGUGGUCAGACAUGUGGUCAGGCAAGUUCUGCAGGGGUGCUGAAGCAGUGUUGACGAGUAUCAGAUUCGAGUUGGUGACUGGGUCUAUCGGUGCCGGUUGAUGGACAAGAGUUGACCAUGGAGAAUCUGAGAAAGUGGCAGGAAGUCUGGAAUUGUCAAAACAGAAAGUACAUGGCCGUAUAUUCUGUGGUGUUCAGUGCACAUGGUAAAGUGCGGAUGACAAAUACAGAAGGAGGCGGAGUGCUAUAGCUGUGAGACAUGCCAGAGACUAUCCGGAAGAAGGGUGAGACUGUUGGGUUUCGUAGUAAUUUCAAAAAAUUUCCUACGCACACGCAAGAUCAUGUGAUGCAUAGCAACGAGAGGGAGAGUAUUGUCUACGUACCCAACGCAGACCGACUGCGGAAGCGAUGACACGACGUAGAGGAAGUAGUCGUACGUCUUCAUGAUCCAACCGAUCAAGCACCGAAACUACGACACCUCCGAGUUCGAGCACACUUUCAGCUCGAUGACGAUCCCCGGACUCCGAUCCAGCAAAGUGUCGGGGAAGAGUUCCGUCAGCACGACGGCGUGGUGAUGAUCUUGAUGAACUACAGCAGCAGGGCUUCGCCUAAACACCGCUACAGUAUUAUCGAGGAAUAUGGUGGCAGGGGGCACCGCACACGGCUAAGGAACAGAUCACGUGGAUCAACUUGUGUCUUCUAGGGUGCCUCUACCUCAGUAUAUAAAGGCGCCAAGGGGGGAGAGGGGCGCCGGCCAGGGAGAGAGGUGCAGGAGGAGUCCUACUCCUUCCGGGAGUAGGACUCCCCCCCAAUCCUAUUCCAACUAGGAUUCCCCGAGGGGGAAAGAGGGAGAGGGGUGGCCGGCCACCUCUCCUAGUCCUAAUAGGACUAGAGGAGGGGGGAGGUGCGCAGCCCCCUUGGGCUGCCCCUUUCUCCUUUCCACUAAGGCCCAUGAAGGCCCAUAUGGCUCCCGGGGGUUCCGGUAACCCGGUAAAAUCCCGAUUUCACCCGGAACACUUCCGAUGUCCAAACAUAGGCUUUCAAUAUAUCAAUCUUUACGUCUCGACCAUUUCGAGACUCCUCGUCAUGUCCGUGAUCACAUCCGGGACUCCGAACAACCUUCGGUACAUCAAAAUGCAUAAACUCAUAAUGAAACUGUCAUCGUAACCUUAAGCGUGCGGACCCUACGGGUUCGAGAACAAUGUAGACAUGACCGAGACACGUCUUCGGUCAAUAACCAAUAGCGGGACCUGGAUGCCCAUAUUGGCUCCUACAUAUUCUACGAAGAUCUUUAUCGGUCAGACCGCAUAACAACAUACGUUGUUCCCUUUGUCAUCGGUAUGUUACUUGCCCGAGAUUCGAUCGUCGGUAUCCAAUACCUAGUUCAAUCUCGUUACCGGCAAGUCUCUUUACUCGUUCCAUAAUACAUCAUCUCACAACUAACAUAUUAGUUGUAAUGCUUGCAAGGCUUAUGUGAUGUGUAUUACCGAGAGGGCCCAGAGAUACCUCUCCGACAAUCGGAGUGACAAAUCCUAAUCUCGAAAUACGCCAACCCAACAUCUACCUUUGGAGACACCUGUAAUGCUCCUUUAUAAUCACCCAGUUACGUUGUGACGUUUGGUAGCACCCAAAGUGUUCCUCCGGUAAACGGGAGCUGCAUAAUCUCAUAGUCAUAAGAACAUGUAUAAGUCAUGAAGAAAGCAAUAGCAACAUACUAAACGAUCGGGUGCUAAGCUAAUAGAAUGGGUCAUGUCAAUCAGAUCAUUCGACUAAUGAUGUGACCUCGUUAAUCAAAUAACAACUCAUUGUUCAUGGUUAGGAAACAUAACCAUCUUUGAUUAACGAGCUAGUCAAGUAGAGGCAUACUAGUGACACUUUGUUUGUCUAUGUAUUCACACAUGUAUUAUGUUUCCGGUUAAUACAAUUCUAGCAUGAAUAAUAAACAUUUAUCAUGAUUAUAAGGAAAUAAAUAAUAACUUUAUUAUUGCCUCUAGGGCAUAUUUCCUUCAGUCUCCCACUUGCACUAGAGUCAAUAAUCUAGAUUACACUGUAAUGAUUCUAACACCCAUGGAGCUUUGGUGCUGAUCAUGUUUUGGUCGUGGAAGAGGCUUAGUCAACGGGUCUGCAACAUUCAGAUCCGUAUGUAUCUUGCAAAUCUCUAUGUCUCCCACCUGGACUAGAUCCUGGAUGGAAUUGAAGCGUCUCUUGAUGUGUUUGGUCCUUUUGUGAAAUCUGGAUUCCUUUGCCAAGGCAAUUGCACCAGUGUUGUCACAAAAGAUUUUCAUUGGACCCGAUGCACUAGGUAUGACACCUAGAUCGGAUAUGAACUCCUUCAUCCAGACUCCUUCAUUUGCUGCUUCCGAAGCAGCUAUGUACUCCGCUUCACAUGUAGAUCCCUCUACGACGCUUUGUUUAGAACUGCACCAACUGACAGCUCCACCGUUUAAUGUAAACACGUAUCCGGUUUGCGAUUUAGAAUCGUCCAGAUCAGUGUCAAAGCUUGCAUCAACGUAACCUUUUACGGUGAGCUCUUUGUCACCUCCAUAUACGAGAAACAUAUCCUUAGUCCUUUUCAGGUAUUUCAGGAUGUUCUUGACCGCUGUCCAGUGAUCCAUUCCUGGAUUACUUUGGUACCUCCCUGCUAAACUUAUAGCAAGGCACACAUCAGGUCUGGUACACAGCAUUGCAUACAUGAUAGAGCCUAUGGCUGAUGCAUAGGGAACAUCUUUCAUAUUCUCUCUAUCUUCUACAGUGGUCGGGCAUUGAGUCUUACUCAACUUCACACCUUGUAACACAGGCAAGAAUCCUUUCUUUGCUUGAUCCAUUUUGAACUUCUUCAAAAUUUUGUCAAGGUAUGUGCUUUGUGAAAGUCCAAUUAAGCGUCUUGAUCUAUCUCUAUAGAUCUUAAUGCCUAAUAUGUAAGCAGCUUCACCGAGGUCUUUCAUUGAAAAACUUUUAUUCAAGUAUCCCUUUAUGCUAUCCAGAAAUUCUAUAUCAUUUCCAAUUAGUAAUAUGUCAUCCACAUAUAAUAUCAGAAAUGCUACAGAGCUCCCACUCACUUUCUUGUAAAUACAGGCUUCUCCGAAAGUCUGUAUAAAACUAAAUGCUUUGAUCACACUAUCAAAACGUUUAUUCCAACUCUGAGAGGCUUGCACCAGUCCAUAAAUGGAUCGCUGGAGUUUGCACACUUUGUUAGCUCCCUUUGGAUCGACAAAACCUUCUGGUUGCAUCAUGUACAACUCUUCUUCCAGAAAUCCAUUCAGGAAUGCAGUUUUUACAUCCAUCUGCCAAAUUUCAUAAUCAUAAAAUGCGGCAAUUGGUAACAUGAUUCGGACGGACUUAAGCAUCGCUACAGGUGAGAAGGUCUCAUCGUAGUCAAUCCCUUGAACUUGUCGAAAACCUUUCGCGACAAGUCGAGCUUUGUAGACAGUAACAUUACCAUCAGCGUCAGUCUUCUUCUUGAAGAUCCAUUUAUUCUCAAUUGCUUGCCGAUCAUCAGGCAAGUCAACCAAAGUCCAUACUUUGUCUCAUACAUGGAUCCCAUCUCAGAUUUCAUGGCUUCAAGCCACUUUGCGGAAUCUGGGCUCACCAUCGCUUCUUCAUAGUUCGUAGGUUCAUCAUGAUCUAGUAGCAUGACUUCCAGAACUGGAUUACCAUACCACUCUGGUGCGGAUCUUACUCUGGUUGAUCUACGAGGUUCAGUAGUGUCUUGUUCUGAAGUUUCAUGAUCAUUAUCAUUAACUUCCUCACUUAUUGGUGUAGGUGUCGCAGAAACAAUUUUCCGUGAUGUACUACUUUCCAACAAGGGAGUAGGUACAAUUACCUCGUCAAGUUCUACUUUCCUCCCACUCACUUCUUUCGAGAGAAACUCCUUCUCAAGAAAGUUUCCGAAUUUAGCAACAAAAGUCUUGCUUUCGGAUCUGUGAUAGAAGGUGUAUCCAAUAGUUUCCUUUGGAUAUCCUAUGAAGACACAUUUCUCCGAUUUGGGUUCGAGCUUAUCAGGUUGAAGCUUUUUCACAUAAGCAUCGCAGCCCCAAACUUUCAGAAACGACAACUUUGGUUUCUUGCCAAACCAUAGUUCAUAAGGCGUCGUAUCAACGUAUUUUGAUGGUGCCCUAUUUAACGUGAAUGCGGCCGUCUCUAAAGCAUAACCCCAAAAUGAUAGCGGUAAAUCAGUAAGAGACAUCAUAGAUCGCACCAUAUCUAGUAAAGUACGAUUAUGACGUUCGGACACACCAUUACGCUGUGGUGUUCCGGGUGGCGUGAGUUGCGAAACUAUUCCACAGUUUUUCAAAUGUACACCAAACUCGUAACUCAAAUAUUCUCCUCCACGAUCAGAUCGUAGAAACUUUAUUUUCUUGUUACGAUGAUUUUCAACUUCACUCUGAAAUUCUUUGAACUUUUCAAAUGUUUCAGAUUUAUGUUUCAUUAAGUAGAUAUACCCAUAUCUGCUUAAAUCAUCUGUGAAGGUGAGAAAAUAACGAUAUCCGCCACGAGCCUCAAUAUUCAUCGGACCACAUACAUCGGUAUGUAUGAUUUCCAACAAAUCUGUUGCUCUCUCCAUAGUACCGGAGAACGGUGUUUCAGUCAUCUUGCCCAUGAGGCAUGGUUCGCAAGUACCAAGUGAUUCAUAAUCAAGUGGUUCCAAAAGUCCAUCAGUAUGAAGUUUCUUCAUGCGCUUUAUACCGAUAUGACCUAAACGACAGUGCCACAAAUAAGUUGCACUUUCAUUAUCAACUCUGCAUCUUUUGGCUUCAACAUUAUGAAUAUGUGUAUUACUACUAUCGAGAUUCAAUAAGAAUAGACCACUCUUCAAGGGUGCAUGAUCAUAAAAGAUAUUACUCAUAUAAAUAGAACAAUCAUUAUUCUCUGAUUUAAAUGAAUAACCGUCUCGCAUCAAACAAGAUCCAGAUAUAAUGUUCAUGCUUAACGCUGGCACCAAAUAACAAUUAUUUAGGUCUAAUAUUAAUCCCGAAGGUAGAUGUAGAGGUAGCGUGCCGACCGCGAUCACAUCGACUUUGGAACCGUUUCCCACGCGCAUCGUCACCUCGUCCUUAGCCAAUCUUCGCUUAAUCCGUAGCCCCUGUUUCGAGUUGCAAAUAUUAGCAACAGAACCAGUAUCAAAUACCCAGGUGCUACUGCGAGCAUUAGUAAGGUACACAUCAAUAACAUGUAUAUCACAUAUACCUUUGUUCACUUUGCCAUCCUUCUUAUCCGCCAAAUACUUGGGGCAGUUCCGCUUCCAGUGACCAGUCUGCUUGCAGUAGAAGCACUCAGUUUCAGGCUUAGGUCCAGACUUGGGUUUCUUCUCUUGAGCAACAACUGGCUUGCCGUUCUUCUUGAAAUUCCCCUUCUUCUUUCCUUUGCCCUUUUUCUUGAAACUAGUGGUCUUGUUGACCAUCAACACUUGAUGCUCUUUCUUGAUUUCUACCUCCGCAGCUUUCAGCAUCGCGAAGAGCUCGGGAAUAGUCUUGUUCAUCCCUUGCAUAUUAUAGUUCAUCACGAAGCUCUUGUAGCUUGGUGGCAGUGAUUGGAGAAUUCUAUCAAUGACGCAAUCAUCCGGAAGAUUAACUCCCAAUUGAAUCAAGUGAUUAUUAUACCCAGACAUUUUGAGUAUAUGCUCACUAGCAGAACUGUUCUCCUCCAUCUUGCAGCUAUAGAACUUAUUGGAGACUUCAUAUCUCUCAAUUCGGGCAUUUGCUUGAAAUAUUAACUUCAACUCCUGGAACAUCUCAUAUGCUCCAUGACGUUCAAAACGUCGUUGAAGUCCCGAUUCUAAGCCGUAAAGCAUGGCACACUGAACUAUCGAGUAGUCAUCAGCUUUGCUCUGCCAGACGUUCAUAACAUCUGGUGUUGCUCCAGCAGCAGGCCUGGCACCCAGCGGUGCUUCCAGGACGUAAUUCUUCUGUGCAGCAAUGAGGAUAAUCCUCAAGUUACGGACCCAGUCCGUGUAAUUGCUACCAUCAUCUUUCAACUUUGCUUUCUCAAGGAACGCAUUAAAAUUCAACGGAACAACAGCACGAGCCAUCUAUCUACAAUCAACAUAAACAAGCAAGAUACUAUCAGGUACUAAGUUCAUGAUAAAUUUAAGUUCAAUUAAUCAUAUUACUUAAGAACUCCCACUUAGAUAGACAUCCCUCUAAUCCUCUAAGUGAUCACGUGAUCCAAAUCAACUAAACCAUGUCCGAUCAUCACGUGAGAUGGAGUAGUUUCAUCGGUGAACAUCAUUAUGUUGAUCAUAUCUACUAUAUGAUUCACGCUCGACCUUUCGGACUCCGUGUUUCGAGGCCAUAUCUGUAUAUGCUUGGCUCGUCAAGUAUAACCUGAGUAUUCCGCAUGCGCAACUGUUUUGCACCCGUUGUAUUUGAACGUAGAGCCUAUCACACCCGAUCAUCACGUGGUGUCUCAGCACGAAGAACUUUCGCAACGGUGCAUACUCAGGGAGAACACUUCUUGAUAAUUUAGUGAGAGAUCAUCUUAUAAUGCUACCGUCAAUCAAAGCAAGAUAAGAUGCAUAAAAAGAUAAACAUCACAUGCAAUCAAUAUAAGUGAUAUGAUAUGGCCAUCAUCAUCUUGUGCCUGUGAUCUCCAUCUCCGAAGCACCGUCAUGAUCACCAUCGUCACCGGCGCGACACCUUGAUCUCCAUUGUAGCAUCGUUGUCGUCUCGCUAAUCUUAUGCUUCCACGACUAUCACUACCGUUUAGUAAUAAGGUAAAGCAUUACAUCGCGAUUGCAUUGCAUACAAUAAAGCGACAACCAUAUGGCUCCUGCCAGUUGCCGAUAACUUGGUUACAAAACAUGAUCAUCUCAUACAAUAAAAUUCAGCAUCAUGCCUUGACCAUAUCACAUCACAACAUGCCCUGCAAAAACAAGUUAGACGUCCUCUACUUUGUUGUUGCAUGUUUUACGUGGCUGCUACGGGCUUAAGUAAGAACCAAUCUCACCUACGCAUCAAAACCACAACUAUAGUUUGUCAAAUAGACUCCGUUUUAACCUUCGCAAGGACCGGGCGUAGCCAUACUUGGUUCAACUAAAGUUGGAGAGACAGUCGCCCGCAAGCCACCUGUGUGCAAAGCACGUCGGGAGAACCGGUCUCGCGUAAGCGUACGCGUAAGGUUGGUCCGGGUCGUCUCGUCCAACAAUACCGCCGAACCAAAGUAUGACAUGCUGGUAGGUAGUAUGACUUGUAUCAUCCACAACUCACUUGUGUUCUACUCGUGCAUAUAACAUCAACAUAAAUAACCUAGGCUCGGAUACCACUAUUGGGUUUCGUAGUAAUUUCAAAAAAUUCCUACGCACACGCAAGAUCAUGUGAUGCAUAGCAACGAGAGGGAGAGUAUUGUCUACGUACCCAACGCAGACCGACUCCGGAAGCGAUGACACGACGUAGAGGAAGUAGUCGUACGUCUUCACGAUCCAACCGAUCAAGCACCGAAACUACGGCACCUCCGAGUUCGAGCACACGUUCAGCUCGAUGACGAUCCCCGGACUCCGAUCCAGAAAAGUGUCGGGGAAGAGUUCCGUCAGCACGACGGCGUGGUGAUGAUCUUGAUGAACUACAGCAGCAGGGCUUCGCCUAAACACCACUACAGUAUUAUCGAGGAAUAUGGUGGCAGGGGGCACCGCACACGGCUAAGGAACAUAUCACGUGGAUCAACUUGUGUCUUCUAGGGUGCCUCUACCUCAGUAUAUAAAGGAGCCAAGGGGGGAGAGGGGCGCCGGCCAGGGAGAGAGGCGCAGGAGGAGUCCUACUCCUUCCGGGAGUAGGACUCCCCCCCCAAUCCUAUUCCAACUAGGAUUCCCCGAGGGGGAAAGAGGGAGAGGGGUGGCCGGCCACCUCUCCUAGUCCUAAUAGGACUAGAGGAGGGGGGAGGUGCGCAGCCCCCUUGGGCUGCCCCUUUCUCCUUUCCACUAAGGCCCAUGAAGGCCCAUAUGGCUCCCGGGGGGUUCCGGUAACCUCCCGGUAACCCGGUAAAAUCCCGAUUUCACCCGGAACACUUCCUAUGUCCAAACAUAGGCUUCCAAUAUAUCAAUCUUUACGUCUCGACCAUUUCGAGACUCCUCGUCAUGUCCGUGAUCACAUUCGGGACUCCGAACAACCUUCGGUACAUCAAAAUGCAUAAACUCAUAAUGAAACUGUCAUCGUAACCUUAAGCGUGCGGACCCUACGGGUUCGAGAACAAUGUAGACAUGACCGAGACACGUCUCUGGUAAAUAACCAAUAGCGUGACCUGGAUGCCCAUAUUGGCUCCUACAUAUUCUACGAAGAUCUUUAUCGGUCAGACCGCAUAACAACAUACGUUGUUCCCUUUGUCAUCGGUAUGUUAUUUGCCCGAGAUUCGAUCAUCGGUAUCCAAUACCUAGUUCAAUCUCGUUACCGGCAAGUCUCUUUACUUGUUCCGUAAUACAUCAUCUCACAACUAACAUAUUAGUUGUAAUGCUUGCAAGGCUUAUGUGAUGUGUAUUACCGAGAGGGCCCAGAGAUACCUCUCCGACAAUCGGAGUGACAAAUCCUAAUCUCGAAAUAUGCCAACCCAACAUCUACCUUUGGAGACACCUGUAAUGCUCCUUUAUAAUCACCCAGUUACGUUGUGACGUUUGGUAGCACCCAAAGUGUUCCUCCGGUAAACGGGAGUUGCAUAAUCUCAUAGUCAUAAGAACAUGUAUAAGUCAUGAAGAAAGCAAUAGCAACAUACUAAACGAUCGGGUGCUAAGCUAAUGGAAUGGGUCAUGUCAAUCAGAUCAUUCGACUAAUGAUGUGACCUCGUUAAUCAAAUAACAACUCAUUGUUCAUGGUUAGGAAACAUAACCAUCUUUGAUUAACGAGCUAGUCAAGUAGAGGCAUACUAGUGACACUUUGUUUGUCUAUGUAUUCACACAUGUAUUAUGUUUCCGGUUAAUACAAUUCUAGCAUGAAUAAUAAACAUUUAUCAUGAUUAUAAGGAAAUAAAUAAUAACUUUAUUAUUGCCUCUAGGGCAUAUUUCCUUCAGAGACAACUGCAAAUUUGACUCAGGGUGAUACAGAGCGACGGUGAAAUUCCUUCAAGUUUCAGACAGAUGGUCAAGAAAGAGCUGUGAUGUUGAGUUCAGCUAACUCUUAUAUGUGGCGUCCAAUACGUGAGUUGUUCACUUUCACGCAGACAGUGGUCAGUGUGUGAUGGCGUUGAACGGAUUCUCCAGAAGUUGGGAGCACGGACUAGAGUAACAAGGAACUUAAUUUUGCUCGAGUGUUGACUGUGGUCAAGAAAAGGAGGGACUACAAGUUGCAGAUGGAGUCACAUGGAGUCUGGGAGUAGCAGCGGUGCUCAUAGCGUAACUCAAGUCCAAUGUACAUGGAAGUUUGACGCAUGGACAAAUCCAGGGCGGUGGAGUAUAUUCGCCAAGGUGGAGUUUGUUAGAGUUGUGUCGAAUAUAUUGUACAAGGUAGGUUACGAUUGGACUUGUAGUAGUACUGUGUGUAGACAGGGUAGGAGUUGUGUCCUAAUAGGACACCUGUAUCCUAGACCUCUCAUAUAUAUCGGGGGUAGACACACGAUGUAACCUAUGCCAACAUAAUAGCACGGGCACGCGGGGGAGCCGGCGGCAUGUGCCGGCGCCCGGGCGGCCGGGGUGCGGUAUUGUAGCGGUGUCAUGGGGAGGAGCGCCCGUAGUCAUGCCCCGGGGAUGUAGCCAUAUCGGUGAACCUCGUUAACAAAUCUCGGUGUCGUGCCUCGUGUGAUUGCUUGGUCCUUGGUAAAUCGACGGAGCGCCUCGGAUUUAUUCUAACAGAGCGGAUGGCUGGACGAGAGUCGUGGCCUCGGACGCCACCGCCCGGGAAGUGCUCUCCAUGCACAUCCGCCUGGAUGCGGCCUGGACGUGCGCCAAAGCCGUCGUAGGCAGGGCGCCGCUAGAGUUGUCACGCGGGAGCGUGCUGAUAACGUAUUAGAAUGAAUCAAGUCUCUUCUUUAUUAGAUGCCAUCUGCUAUUUAUACAAGGAAAAGGACACCACUGGAAAAGGUGUCUGUUCAGAGGAGGUGCCUAUUCGGCGGGAACCGACGCGGCCGUUUUACAACGGCCUGCGGUUAGUACAAGCAGGGAUUAAUCCCAUAAUUAACACAUGGUUAAUUAAUUCUAACAAUAGUAAAGCUGCCAUGUUUUGAAUAAUGAGAUCUCCAUGUUAUUCAUAAUAAAAUUGCCAUGUGGAAAAGUAGGGAAAAAAUCCCAAAUUCGCCAAGAAAAUUGAUUAAAAAUCCCAUCGUUUGCCACAAUAACAUUACAAAAUGACUUAAAAUUGCCCUGUUUGAAAGACAAAAAGUUAUGAAUUAUCCCCAUCAUGAGAUUUUUCUUCUUCGGAAAAUUUUGCCAUGUGUACAAAAUACCUUGGCGUGUGAACAUUAAAAAAAUUAUAAAUCUGGCGUGUUUUUUUUUUAAUUGGCAUGUACCUAAAAACAAAAAAAAGUUGCAUAUUUUUGCCACAUAGUAAAAAUGUGGAGUGUUUGGAUAGGAUUGUGUUGGCCUUUCUUUUAUUUAGCAAACAACCUUUUUUUUCUGUUUUGCGAGGGUUUAGGAACUCAGACAUGAGUAGCCAACAUUGUAACGCCAUGUGCGUAUUUCUUUUCCAUAUGGGGAAGUAGUCUUCGGCCGUUGUUUGAGGAAUUGUAUUUUGGCUUAUGGAGCGUUUGUUGGGCGGAGCGUGUGUAGCAAGGAACGUCGCCAACUUUUGGCUGAAGGAACCAGGCGUUUUGUUAUAUCCUUGUCGCCACACCAUCUUCAUCUCCAUCCUUACUCACAUUAUUAAUUCAAUUCUAUAUAUAUACUACUCCCUCUCUAAAGAAAUGAUAAUCCAACGUUCUUAUGUUUCUUUAUUUACGGAGGAACUACUACUUGCCAAACCGGUUAGUGUAAAAAUAAUCAUCACUUUAUAUGUACAAGGUGAUGUUUUGUUUAUGGUAUUUGCAAAGCUUUAAUCAUGGACACUCACAGAUCCCUCCGUUCCUAAAUAUACAAAGUUUUAAGAGAUUUCACUAGGAAACUACAUACAGAGCAAAAUGAGUGAAUCCACAUUCUAAAGUAUGUCUAUAUUCAUCCGGAUGUAGUACCUCUUAAAAGACUUAAAUUUAGGAUUUCUUUUCUAACAUACUAUAUUCUUUUGGCAUACAUUCCCCAAAAAGAGCGAAUACCUCCAUGCGACUGUACAGCAAAACACAGAAUGGAUGUAUCUCACAAAAAAAAACUGAAAGUAAUUGCAAGUUGUACCCUACUAGCACAGAAUGAGAAAACACUACCCAAGAUACAUAUCAUUUAAAAUCCAUCAAUAACACAUCCAAACAUAAAGGAGGAUCCAAGAAAUACAUGGCAACAUUUGAUUCUAAACUGUUUGCCACGCCCCUAAGAAAUACUCAUCACAACAGCCUAGAGCUUGCUGAUAAGUCUACUCAUUAGAAUCACGGAAACGAACCGGGGUCUCCAACACAUUGGUGACCAGCUGGACCAUCCACGGGUGACGCACCCGAAGCCAGGCAAUGUCGCAAUUAUAUUUGAGUACAUGAUCAGCAGUAUCCUCUAGCACUAAGCUCAGCUCUUCGACUAAGGCUGAGACCAGAUCCUCCUCGGCAAGCAAUACGCCCAAGGCAUCCUUAAAGCACUUACUCAGAUGUAAGAGCGUAAUUGCUGAGUUCUUCAUGAGUAGGAGGGCUUCCAGGGCGCCCCGUUCCAGCUUGGCCUCCUGAACCAUGAGCUGGGGCAACACAUCAUGCUCGAGCUUUUGGAUUUCCAGCGACAAGCCUGCCACGACCGAGAGGGAAUCCAGCUCCGGGCAUGCCCAGGACCUCGACUCCAUGAUCAGCGGGCAGAGGAGUGCAUACGACUUGCGCGCUAUGCACACCGACUCCAGAGAGACAAGAUUCACAAGCAUGGACUUAUUGGAGUGGCCCAGCUCAUCGGCGCGAGCCUGCAGGUCUUGGAUGUGGGCAUGGGAGUGGAUUUUGUAGACCAUCAUUUCCUUUUGCCGGACUGCAGCAGAAGAGUUGCUGCUACCAGCUGGUACAAACAGCACAAACAGAGGAGGAUUUAAUGUCAGGAAGAGACCAUACAACACCAAUCCAAGCUUCUACUUAAUUAGUUAGGACAGCAUCAUAUUUGCAUUGUGCGACAGAAUAGUUAUUAAUAUGAAGUGAAAGCAAUUCAACCAUGUAUACUGAUAGGCAACUAAACAAAAUGAAUGAAUAACCAAAACAGAAAAAUAAUUAACAGAGGGAAUAUAAUAUAAUUUGGUUCAAAGUAGAUAGAGAUCCCAUCAUUCAUUGUAUUAUUGUGAGCAAGAAAAUUGCAUCUCCAGAAUUAAUGCCUCACCAUCAAAGGAAACAAUAAACUAAACAGCUGGGAAAUAAAAAAUUGCAUCCCAUGUGCAAGGGCAUAGUGAGGACAGAAAACCAAACCAGCAUUUACAGUCCUCAAGAAGAAGACUAGAGAUUGGUUGGCAAAAGAUACAUCAUCAUUGGCAAAUAUUAGUAACACAUAUAAUAAAUAAACCCAAACGAUAACCAAAUACCUAUCCAAACAACAGAGCUGGAAAGCAGCACAUACGACUACAACAUUAAUCAGCAGCUGCACGUCAAGUGCUGUGCAUAAAUAUUUUAGGAUCCCAAAAAAUAUUGUUACCUAUCCAAACAGAGCUAGAACAUGAAUAUGCAACAAAUCUACUACGCUCAAACACAGUUGAUAAAUUUUUUUAACAUUCUGGCAUAAACUGAAAUCAAACAACAUAGCAUGAACUCCAUCCAAAUUAAUAUUCGAUUUCUAGCUUGAUUUUGUUGUUUUUCCUCCUAAUUCGAAAUUUCCCCACCAAAAAUAGCCAAAAAUUUUAUUUUUUUUGUGAUUUGUUGGCAUGAUGAAGUUUUGUUUAUUUUGAUCCAUGGAUUUGCUUGGUUUCAAGUGGAUCUAGCAUUUCCCCAAGUUUCCCAAUCUUUCAUCCACAAAAUCCCUCCAAUUUUGCCCCAGAAAUCAUCAAUUUCCGCCCAAAAUCGCGACAUGCACAAUUGAGAAACCAAAAUCUGAAGCAAACCCUAACUAAAACGUCAGAUUGAUUCCUUAUUACGGAUAAUCGAACAAACCCUAACUAGGUGGUGUUACCAAACAAACCCUAACUAAUUAAUAAUUAAAUCCUAUCCUAGUCGAGGUAGGUUCCUCAUACGAAUAGAAUAGGAUACAAGACGGCGCUGGCUGGAUCCGAGACCUAUGAACCCGCGCCGCGCCGCGCCUACCAACCACAAUCGGAACGAGCAACUCCGGAGGGAGACCACGCUGGCUGGAUCCGAGACCUACGAACCAGACACUACCAACCAAUCGGAACAAACUCCAAGCUGAUCGGGAUGUACAAGNNNNNNNNNNNNNNNNNNNNNNNNNNNNNNNNNNNNNNNNNNNNNNNNNNNNNNNNNNNNNNNNNNNNNNNNNNNNNNNNNNNNNNNNNNNNNNNNNNNNNNNNNNNNNNNNNNNNNNNNNNNNNNNNNNNNNNNNNNNNNNNNNNNNNNNNNNNNNNNNNNNNNNNNNNNNNNNNNNNNNNNNNNNNNNNNNNNNNNNNNNNNNNNNNNNNNNNNNNNNNNNNNNNNNNNNNNNNNNNNNNNNNNNNNNNNNNNNNNNNNNNNNNNNNNNNNNNNNNNNNNNNNNNNNNNNNNNNNNNNNNNNNNNNNNNNNNNNNNNNNNNNNNNNNNNNNNNNNNNNNNNNNNNNNNNNNNNNNNNNNNNNNNNNNNNNNNNNNNNNNNNNNNNNNNNNNNNNNNNNNNNNNNNNNNNCAAGAGGGGUAAAAGCACAGAGAUCCCUAGGGCUGCCGUAUCCGCCUCGCAUUCUCUGAUUCUUUUUUACCAAUUUAUUUACGGAAACACUAACCCCACAUGUGUGGGCGUCUGCAUCUCGCCCACACGCGCUAAUCAUCGUUGAUUUGCAGUGCGUGAAUCUUACAAGAAUCAGCCGGCAUCUUUCGUGCCACGUAGGCAUAGCGAGGCGGGUGCUGGUGGUAGAGCGUUCGCCCGAACGUGUGGCAUUUGACGCUUUUGCCCGGACGAGUUAUCCAUUCGCAGCUCCACCGCUUUUUCCAACCCAUUCCCCUCCCCACUGCCUUCUCUCCUCGUCACUCUCGCCACUCCCCACUCCAAUCUCCAUCACCGCGCGGGACCUUGCCGACCGCCUCCGCUUCGCCGAGGUUGGUGGGGGAGGCCGGUUCCUGUUGCUGUUUCCAGAGACGACGACGGCGGGAAGCAGAGAUUGCGCCUCAAGGUCUCCAACCGCCGUGCUGGAGAGUUGGUUGGGCGCGCGCGGCGGCAGGCCGGGAGUCGACACAUCGCCGUCCGCCUCCACAUCAUCGAGGUUGGAGGGGGAGGCCGGGGACCAGCUGGUCGUCGUUGACGACGGGCAUAUUCAUGGUGCCCUGGCGCAUCUGCAGCUCCGCCGAUCUGCAUCACGCGCCGGACCCGAUGGCCAUGGAAUGGCAGCUCACGCGCCUCCGCCUCUGUCUAUAGGUACUCGCCGGCCUCUGCUCAUCUUCUACUUGCCUGCUCUGAAGCAACGCCACCCUCACCCCUCCAUCCUUGGAUUCUUACUCACCAGUCGGCAAUCCUGUUGUUGGUCGCUCGCAUCAUCGGCGUGAGGAGCGGGGAUCCUGGCUCGCCAGCGUUAGGCGCGGCAGCCUGUCAAUGGAGGCUUGCAACACGCCUGGCGCGAGCGUCGUGGUAGCGGGUCGGUGCUCCCGCCUGCGUGCUCCAUGCCGUUCAUGCUCCAACCAGCCCAAAGACACGGAUCUAGUGCAGAUCCACGGCGGCGUAUCAGCGGCGGGCUGCUAGGUAAGUGAGUUCCAUGACUCCAUCCGUCAUUUGUUUCCGGCGACUGGCAGAGGUGGCAGUUAUGGCUUUGGGGAGAGCGUGGGUAGCGGACUGUUCGUGUUAGCCAAUCCUUUGGUGUGUGGUAGAGCAGUAGCAUGACAUUUUUCUGAUAAAUCACACUUUCUAGAUGUCUAGGUCCUCUGACUCACAAACAUGGCAAAUUCUAUCAUGUGUGUGUGGCAACUUACAUCCACUGAGCCAUGGUUACUUUUUAUGUCAUUUUUGCCAUGUUUCAUCACAACUAUCCUUUUGAAAUUACUCCCACAACAUUAAAACUGUAUGAAAAUGGCAACCAUGAUUAAGCUCAGAUGUUGUUCAUCAAUUUCCAUGGCUACAAUCGUUAAGCUCAGAUGAUGUCUAUCUCUACUGUUUUUUGGCACUUUUAUUUAUAUUGACAAUGGCAAAUUAUUUUUUCACCGACCAUGCGAAAUUCACAAAUGGCUAGACGGCAAUAUGACCAUGCCAAAUUCGUUUGUAAUUUUUCAAUGAAAACUGAAAUGCUAUACAUUGUGCAAUAUGCUUUGACAUUGCAAUUUUAUUGGAUUUAGCAUGGCAAAUUACCUUACGAAACAUGGCAUUUUUAUUACAUUGACCAUUGUGAACUUUAUUAGCUUUUUCUAAUUGCCGUGUGAGUAGUACUGACCAUGGCAAAUUUGAAACAGUUACUGAAGUUCGUCUUCAAUUACUACAAACUUAUUUUAGCUAUGUUUUCUGUUAUGGCAAUUGCAAGUAAGUUUUCCUGUUAGCUGUAAACUAUUCAUGGCAUUUCGUUUCUCAUGUUCUUGCCAUGCUUGUUUUUUUAAGUUAUCGCACUAUGUGUACAUAGCAUGCCAAUUUUCUGCACUUGAUCACAUAGCAAGUUUAGAAAUUGUUCCCGUGACCCAUUUUUUCAAAGUUUGCCAUGGCAGAAAUGUCAUGUUUAUCUGCCAUGGCAAAUUUAGGUUUUUUUAACAUGCCCACGACAAUCUUUUAUGCUUUUGUUUCUUACUUAACGACGACAAAUUUAGUUUGUUGAUAAUGGCAAAUUUAGUUUAUUGCCAUGGCAAAUUUAGUGUAGCGACCCGACCUCAGAUGGUCAAGUCUCUGUGCUUCCGUGUCAUCCCUGGAUCGGUAAUGCUGACACACACAGUACUCGAAGGCUUUAUAACAGAGUAUCAAUCACACACUUAUUACAUCGAAUGUCCCAAAAGAGAACUUAUUACAAAAAUAUGGCUUAAGGCCAUCUAAUGCGAUAACAGCGGAAGGCUUGGAAGAUAAAGUGAGUCCAUCAACUCCAACGGCAUAGCUGAGCUGCACGGCAACAACCUACGAACCUUACUCCUCGUCUGAAAAGUCUGCAACAUAAUACGUUGCAGUCCGAGAACGGGUCAGCACAUGGAAUAUGCUGGCAAUGUAACACAAAAGAGCAAUAACAGAAUAAUGCUACCACUACAUGCAUAUUUGGCUGGUGGAAAGCUCUAUGGUUACAAUUUUUACGAAAAGCCAAUUUUUCCCUACUACAAAGGAAUCAGUUUUAAUUUAACUAUCAUGGUAGUUGAAACAUCAUUUGAGAAGGUAACCCCAACUCAAUGAUCCCAAUUAAAAAUACUUAACAACCCAACAAGAUUAAUUAAGAGUGUUGAGAUACAUGCGAAUACUCAAGUACUAGAUACUCAGAAUUGUCCAUAACCGGGGACACGGCUAACCAUGAUUAGAUUGUACACUCUGCAGAGGUUUGCGCACUUUUCCCCGCAAGACUCGAUCGCCUCCGUUAAUUUCUCGCACUACAUGGUGUUUGAGAGACGGAUGACUGAGACACAGUCUUUAAGAAGCAUUAACCCUCUACUCCGGGCAGACCAUACCAAACAUACAAACCCACUACCUGCUGAUCCACCUCUUCAAGAGCUUCACGCAACUUACUCAACUAUGCUAGAGCCCAUAAUAGCUUGCGGCUGCACACGGAAGUUUCUAGCAUGAAUAGACUCGGUUCCCUUUGAGCCUGGGUGGCGGUCCAUAGGAGAAUCACACGGUAACCCCGGGAUUUCCAAAAAUAAAACAGGCAAUAGCUGGAUACCCCAGGUGCCUCAAUCCACCCAGAUGUGUAUUAAAGUUGCCACCUUAAGUAAACCAUUAAUUAACAAUCUCACAUCUGUCAUGGAUAUCACUCAAACCCAAUCCACGUCUACGAGCAUAGCAUGGCAAUAUAAGCAUAACGUAGAAGUAACUCCCAAGGGUUUGAUAAUAAAACAGGUAAUAGGUUCUACCUCAGCAACUACUUCCCAAUACCCACAUGUUAAAGGCAUCCUAAUCAUGCAAUGUUUGAGGACUGAAACUAGUGCAUAAAAACUGGGUAUGAGAAGAGUAUGAUCAAUGUGUUACUUGCCUUGCUGACGAUCCGUGAAUCCUAGAGACUCGUAGUAACACGCUUCGCACUCCGGGAAUUCUAUCGCAAGCAAACAAUAACAUACAUAAGCAACAAUCAAAGAUGCACAAGUAGAACUCCAAAUAAAAUAGUUUGACCGGGAGUUCAACUUAAGAACUCCGGUUUGCAAAAAGAAUCAAAUCAAACGGAGCAACGAAACUCAAACGGCAAAAGAAACAACUUCGUUUUACUAAUCUGGAUCUAAGUCAAAUUUUACAGAAGAAAAAUCUUGUUUGAGUUGAUUAUUCGGAAACAGGGUUUCGAGAUGAAACUCCAGGCGCUUGAAUCGCCUGAUUCCGAUAAACGAGCGAAAAGAUAAACAGGUUUAAACAUCGGAUCAGAAAUCGCGAUCGGAAUAACUGCGGAAUAAAUCCGAUAAAAAGAAAAAUGCCGAACGGCUAAACGAACGAGCGUUCGUUAGCAGAAACUAAACGGUGAACACGUUCGUUAGAACGAACGGACGAACGAACUUUCGCUAAGUAAAUAAACCGAAGAAAUAAACCGAUCUAUAUAAAAAAAUGAACUAGGGUUUUCAAAAAAAACCGAAGUGUUUUCUUAAAAAAAACGGCGGCGGGGUCGGGUACCUCCGGCGGGGUUCCGGGGCUUGGGGAGGGCGCGGGGUGGCGGUGGGAGGCGGCGGCGGCGCUAGGGCGACGGCGGCGACUCGGCGGCGGCGGAUCGGGGCUCGGCUCCGGNNNNNNNNNNCGGACUCCCCUCGGCGUCUGUGCGGCGCACGGCGGUGCACGCGGGGAAGGCGGCGGCGGCUGGCGGCUGGGCUGGCCUGCUCGGCUGUUCCUUUGGCCCAGUCGGGCGCGAGGUUUUUAAAAAAAAAACAUUCUGCCGAAAGAAAAAUUCCUAGAAAAAUAAAUAAAAUCUAAAAAUUCCAAAACAAGUUUUCUCCGUCUAAAUAAAAUAUUUAGAACAAGAUGAACUUUUCUUGGCCCCUAAAAUGCAAUUUUUAAAACAUGCAAAAAAUUUCUAGGGCAAAUAAAAAUCCCGAAUAAACUCCGAUAAAAUCCAAAAAUGAUGUUAACAUUUUUCCUCCGAUAUUUCCAUUGUUUUGGAGAAGUCAUAUUAUCUCCCCUCAUUUAUUAUUUUAGAAAGAAAUAUUUCCGGAGAGAAAAUAAUUAAAAUCAAAUCCUCGUCUUCACUAUUUGAUAAAAAUUUCAAAUACGAAAAUUAGAAAAUCCCCAACUCUCUCCGAAGGUCCUUGAGUUGCUUAGGAUCUCGAGGAUUGCAAACGAAAAGCAAUUGAAUAUGAUAUGCAUGGAUGACCUAUGUAUAACAUGCCAAAUUGGAAAUUUGGGAUGUUACAAACCUACCCCCCCUUAAGAUGAAUCUCGCCCUCGAGAUUCGGGUUGGCUAGAAAAUAGGUGCGGAUGGUCCUUGCGAAUAUCCUCUUCUCGCUCCCAGGUGGCUUCCUCCUCAGUAUGAUGACUCCACUGAACUUUGCAAAACUUGAUCACCUUGUUGCGAGUGACUCGGCUAUCAAACUCAAGAAUCUUUACUGGCUUCUCCUCAUAGGUCAGAUUAUUAUCCAGAUGAAUAGCCUCCAAAGGUACUGUAUCAUUCAACGGUAUAUCGGCCAUCUCAGCAUGGCACUUCUUCAGCUGUGAUACGUGAAACACAUCGUGAACUCCUGACAAUCCUUCUGGUAACUCCAGCUUGUAGGCAACUUCUCCCAUCCGUUCCAAAAUACGAUACGGUCCUUCAAAUCUUGGGGGUAACUUUCCCUUAACUCCAAAACGUUUUACUCCCCUCAAGGGUGAUACUCAUAGAUAAGCUCUGUCUCCAAUUUCAUAGGUUACUUCCUUGCGUUUUGAAUCUACGUAACUCUUCUGUCUGGACUGAGCAAUCUUUAGUCUGUCUCUGAUCAGUUUAACCUUCUCCUCUGAUUCUUUGAUCAAAUCUGGUCCAAAUAACUGACAGUCUCCUACCUCGUCCCACAUCAAGGGCAUUCUACAUCUGCGUCCAUACAGGGCUUCGAAUGGUGCCAUCUUCAAACUGGCCUGGUAGCUAUUGUUAUAAGAAAACUCUGCGUAUGGAAAAUUGUCAUCCCAACUAGAUCUAUAAUCUAGCGCACAGGCUCUCAACAUGUCCUCCAGAGUCUGAUUGACUCUCUCUGUCUGCCCAUUUGUCUGUGGGUGAAAAGCGGUACUGAACUCCAAUCGGGUACCCAAAGUCUGGUGUAGCUGAUGCCAAAACUUUGAAGUAAACUGGGUUCCUCUAUCUGAUACGAUGCUCCUCAGAACUCCAUGUAAACAUACGAUCCUGGUCAUAUAUAUUUUGGCCAACUUUGCACUUGUAUACGUUGUUUUCACCGGGAUGAACUGAGCUACCUUAGUCAAUCGAUCCACAACUACCCAUAUCGAAUCAUAUCCUGCCUUGGUUCUGGGUAAUCCGGUAAUAAAGUCCAUACCAAGUUUGUCCCACUUCCAUUCGGGUAUUGGCAUAGGCUGUAACAGUCCUGCUGGCUUCUGAUGUUCUGCCUUCACUCUCUGACAUACAUCGCAUACGGCUACAUACUCGGCAGUAUCCUUCUUCAUUCCAGUCCACCAGAAACGUUCCUUCAAGUCCAGAUACAUCUUGGUGUUUUGGGGGUGAAUCGAGUAUGGUGAGUCAUGGGCCUCCUGAAGUAUCAACUUCGUGAUCUCCGAAUUGUUGGGCACAUAAAUUCGGUCCUCAAACCACAAGGUAUCGUGCUCAUCCUUGCGAAAACCUUUGGCUUUACCUUCGCCCAUCCUCUCUCUUAUCUCAGCAAUCUCUUUGUCUUCCUUCUGAGCUUCUCGAAUCUUGUCCAACAGCGUCGACUGAACCUCCAUUGCUGCAAGAAAACCUCUUGGAACAAUCUCCAACCGAAGUUCCAUGAUCUCCGCAGCUAACUCUUUUGGCAUUCCCUUGCUCACAAGAACAUUAGCAUAACUCUUCCGGCUCAAACGUCUGCUACGACAUUGGCUUUUCCUGGAUGAUAUUGUAGCUUCAUAUCGUAAUCCUUUAUAAGUUCUAACCAUCUCCUCUGUCUGAGGUUCAACUCUUUCUGUGUGAAAAUGUACUUCAAGCUCAUAUGAUUCGUGUACACAUCACAAUGGUUUCCAAUAAGAUAAUGUCUCCAGGUCUUUAGCGCAUGCACUACGGCAGCUAACUCCAAAUCAUGCGUGGCAUAGUUCAACUCGUGUGGCUUCAGUUGUCGUGAGGCAUACGAAACAACUUUUCCUUCCUGCAUAAGCACACAUCCAAGUCCCAAGCGAGAGGCGUCACAAUAUACUUGAAACUCCUUAUGUAUAUCUGGCAAGGUCAGCACUGGGGCUGUAGUCAAUCGCUCCUUCAGCUCUUGAAAACUUGUCUCGCACUCCUCCGUCCAUUUGAACUUAGUAUCCUUCUUUAACAAUUCAGUCAUUGGUCUAGCAAUCUUGGAAAAAUUCUCAAUGAAUCUCCGAUAAUAUCCUGCCAGUCCAAGGAAACUGCGGAUCUCGCCAACUGAAGUGGGUGCCAACCAUUCAGUGACCGACUGAACCUUACUGGGAUCCACUGCUAUACCCUCUCCGGAUAUAACAUGCCCAAGAAAUCCAACUUCUUUCAACCAAAACUCGCACUUGCUGAAUUUGGCGUAUAACUGGUGUUCCCUGAGUUUCUCGAGAACCAAACGCAAGUGUUCCGCGUGCUCCUCUUCGUCCUUCGAGUAUAUCAUAAUAUCAUCAAUGAAUACCACAACAAACUUGUCCAAAUACUCCAUGAACACCUUGUUCAUCAUAAUCAUGAAAUAGGCAGGGGCGUUAGUCAGUCCAAAUGACAUGACCGUAUACUCAUAUAAUCCAUACCGUGUGGUAAACGCUGUCUUGGGUAUAUACUUCUCUCGGAUCUUCAACUGAUGGUAUCCCGAUCAUAGAUCAAUCUUUGAAAACACCUUAGCUCCUUGUAACUGAUCAAACAAAUCAUUAAUCAUCGAUAAGGGAUACUUGUUCUUUAUCGUUACUUUAUUCAGAGCUUGGUAAUCAACAACCAUCCUCAGGGAUUUAUCCUUCUUCUCCACCAAAAGUACUGGGGCUCCCCAAGGUGACGAGCUUCUACGAAUGUAACCUUUCUCCAAAAACUCAUUAAUCUGCUUCUUAAUUUCCUCCAGGUCAUUUGCUGGCAUCCGAUAGGGUCUCUUGGAUAUCGGCCCUGUUCUUGGCAAUAGCUCUAUCAAAAACUCGAUGUCUCUGUCCGGUGGCAUACCUGGUAACUCUUCGGGGAAAACAUCCGGAAAAUCCUUUACUACAGGUACUUCCUCCUGUACAACUCCCGUGAGGGCGUUUACUUGGCUCCUCCUAGGCACAUGCCUAGAUACAUACUUAAUCCUUUUUCCCUCCGGGGUGGUAAGAUAAAUGGACUUACUAGCACAAUCAAUACUUCCUCCAUACUUUGACAUCCAGUCCAUACCUAAUAUCACAUCCAAUCCUUGCGACUCCAAGAUAAUAAGGUCAGACGGAAAUACAUGUGUGCCAAUGAUUAGGGGUAUCUGGGUGCACCAUCUGCUAGCCAUAUACUCUGCUCCCGGCGAGCUCACUAAGAGGGGUGUCCUAAGGGUUUGGGUUGGUAACUUAAACUUUUCCACAAAUCCCCUUGAUAUGUAUGAAUGUGAUGCACUAGUAUCGAAAAGAACAAUAGCGGUAAAUGACUGAACCAAAAACUUACCUAUUACCGCGUCCGGCUGCUCUUCAACUUCCUCCACGUUAACGUGGUUCACUUGUCCUUUGUUGAAUGGAUUGGGCUUCUUCCCUGUGCUCCCAUUUCCAUUUCCAUUCUUUCCUUCAGAGCAGUCAUUGGCAUAGUGCCCUGUCUUCCCGCACUUGUAGCAAACAACUUGGCUUAAGUCCCUCUUUGCGGGUGUAGAUGGGUUAGAGCGGUUCUGAUUAUUGUUGGCUCCACUCCCAUUCCCGUUCUUCGCACCAUUAUGGGUAUGCGAUCCUCCUCCAGCAUGGUUAUGAACUCCAUGGUUAUGAACAAGUCCUCCCAAGUUCGGGGUUAAGCGGGGCUUCUGGUGAGCUCCUGAGUUGUUUUUCCCUUGUCCAUACUUCCUCUUACGAUUAUCAAUCUGCUGCUGCUUCCCUUCAAUCAUUAAGGCCUUAUCUACCAACUCCUAAUAGUUGUUGAAGGUUGCUACCAUCAACUUCAUACUCAUCUCAUCAUUCAGCCCUUCCAUAAACUUCUCCUGCUUCGCGGCAUCUGUGGCCACAUCAUUAGGGGCAUAACGUGAUAACUUGCUAAACUCAUCCACGUACUGGCCAAUAGUACAGUUCCCCUGGUGUAGAUUGCGAAACUCACGCUUCUUCAUCUGCAUAGCUCCAGUCGAGACAUGGGCGGUGCGAAAAGCCUGCUGAAACUGAGCCCAUGUGACAGUGUCGAUAGGAUAGGUGGCUGUGAAAUUCUCCCACCAUGCUGCUGCAGGUCCAUCCAGUUGGUGUGCGGCAAAACGCACCUUCUCAGUGUCUGUGCAUCCUGUGGUGGUUAACUCCCUUCCAAUACGACGUAGCCAAUCAUCUGCAACUAUUGGCUCAAUGCUACUGGAGAACACCAGCGGCUGUAACCUUAAGAAACGGGCAAGGUUAUCCACUGGCGGCGGGUUGUUGUUGGCAUUGUUGUUAUUGGCAUUGCCCUGGUUCUGAACUAGCAAUUGCAUCAAGGCAUUCUGCUGCUGGAUCAACUGGGUGAUCUCCGGUGGGAAAACAAAAUCGGGGUCUCUUCGCGGAGGCAUCUGAUGGGUUUAGAUGGAAGAGAUUAGAAUAGAAAAAGAUCUAGGGGAGAAACACUACCCAUAUGUAUAUGAGGCAAACACACGCAUUCAUUCAAUCAAUCAAGCAAGGGCAUACAAAACGGUCUAGGACUAUCGCAAAAGUGCUCACUACUACUAGUUACAUGGGGGAAAUACUAUUAUCAUAUGGUGGUCAUCUAGAAAUUUUGAUCGGUGGAACACUCCAUGAUGUCUGCUCCAGCUUCAUCUUCGUAGUCAUCAUCACUUGAAUCUGAAUCAGUGUCGUCGAUGAUGAUGUAGUUGUCUGGACGAAUGGGGUCUUCUCUCGGAAUUGGUCCUCCCAUAAAAUUCCGAUCUUCUCAACUAGGUCGUCAUUCUUCUCCAAUAGGGUCUUGAUUUCCUCCUCAUAUCCAUCGCGCGUGGACUUAAGUUCUUCCUCCAUCUCGAUGAUCCUAGUUUUCGCCUUCUUCAACUCGAUCAUGUCUAGACGUCGAAUGUGCUGGUUUUGCUCCUGGAUAAAGGCUGCGACAGAUCUAUCCUUCCUGGUGCUGAUCAUCUCCCAUUGUUCAUCUCGGUGCCCACAUAUUUGAUAGGUGGUAUCCUCAAGUUCCUUGUUGUAGAUUUCUCCAAUGCGUCCCAUGGUAAUAUGAGCUGCCAUACUCUUGCCGAGGCUCCAAGUGGGUGCUUCGAAAGAAAACUCUAUGGGUUUAGAAUUUGGCGAGAACGUUCUUCCCGAAACUCGUACUUGAAUCAUCCGGCGCUCUUCUUCCGGUAGAGUGGCGUUGUACGUCCCAGUGAAGCUUGGUAUUCCAAUAUUCAAGUACCUAGUGACUUCCUUCAAGUGGCGUCCAAAAGGUGUGUAUUCAUCCGGUUGCGCAAACUUGUUCUUCAUCUCCUUCAUCCUAAAGAGUGGAAAAAGAAGAGGAGUCAGAAAUGAGAAGAGAAGUGUGACCUACGGUUUAUCUUAGUGGUCGUCUCCUACACUCAGCGUGUGCUCUGAUACCAUCUUGUAGCGACCCGACCUCAGAUGGUCAAGUCUCUGUGCUUCCGUGUCAUCCCUGGAUCGGUAAUGCUGACACACACAGUACUCGAAGGCUUUAUAACAGAGUAGCAAUCACACACUUAUUACAUCGAAUGUCUCAAAAGAGAACUGAUUACAAAAAUAUGGCUUAAGGCCAUCUAAUGCGAUAACAGCGGAAGGCUUGGAAGAUAAAGUGAGUCCAUCAACUCCAACGGCAUAGCUGAGAUGCACAACAACGACCUACGAACCUUACUCCUCGUCUGAAAAGUCUGCAACAUAAUACGUUGCAGUCCGAGAAUGGGUCAGCACAUGGAAUAUGCUGGCAAUGUAACACAAAAGAGCAAUAACAGAAUAAUGCUACCACUACAUGCAUAUUUGGCUGGUGGAAAGCUCUAUGGUUACAAUUUUUGCGAAAAGCCAAUUUUUCCCUACUACAAAGGAAUCAGUUUUAAUUUAACUAUCAUGGUAGUUGAAACAUCAUUUGAGAAGGUAACCCCAACUCAAUGAUCCCAAUUAAAAAUACUUAACAACCCAGCAAGAUUAAUUAAGAGUGUUGAGAUACAUGCGAAUACUCAAGUACUAGAUACUCAGAAUUGUCCAUAACCGGGGACACGGCUAACCAUGAUUAGAUUUUACACUCUGCAGAGGUUUGCACACUUUUCCCCGCAAGACUCGAUCGCCUCCAUUGAUUUCUCGCACUACAUGGUGUUUGAGAGACGGAUGACCGAGACACAGUCUUUAAGAAGCAUUAACCCUCUACUCCGGGCAGACCAUACCAAACAUACAAACCCACUACCUGCUGAUCCACCUCUUCAAGAGCUUCACGCAACUUACUCAACUAUGCUAGAGCCCAUAAUAGCUUGCGGCUGCACACGGAAGUUUCUAGCAUGAAUAGACUCAGUUCCCUUUGAGCCUGGGUGGCGGUCCAUAGGAGAAUCACACGGUAACCCCGGGAUUUCCAAAAAUAAAACAGGCAAUAGCUGGAUACCCCAGGUGCCUCAAUCCACCCAGAUGUGUAUUAAAGUUGCCACCUCAAGUAAACCAUUAAUUAACAAUCUCACAUCUGUCAUGGAUAUCACUCAAACCCAAUCCACGUCUACGAGCAUAGCAUGGCAAUAUAAGCAUAACGUAGAAGUAACUCCCAAGGGUUUGAUAAUAAAACAGGUAAUAGGUUCUACCUCAGCAACUACUUCCCAAUACCCACAUGUUAAAGGCAUCCUAAUCAUGCAAUGUUUGAGGACUGAAACUAGUGCAUAAAAACUGGGUAUGAGAAGAGUAUGAUCAAUGUGUUACUUGCCUUGCUGACGAUCCGUGAAUCCUAGAGACUCGUAGUAACACGCUUCGCACUCCGGGAAUUCUAUCGCAAGCAAACAAUAACAUACAUAAGCAACAAUCAAAGAUGCACAAGUAGAACUCCAAAUAAAAUAGUUUGACCGGGAGUUCAACUUAAGAACUCCGGUUUGCAAAAAGAAUCAAAUCAAACGGAGCAACGAAACUCAAACGGCAAAAGAAACAACUUCAUUUUACUAAUCUGGAUCUAAGUCAAAUUUUACAGAAGAAAAAUCUUGUUUGAGUUGAUUAUUCGGAAAGAGGGUUUCGAGAUGAAACUCCAGGCGCUUGAAUCGCCUGAUUCCGAUAAACGAGCGAAAAGAUAAACAGGUUUAAACAUCGGAUCAGAAAUCGCGAUCGGAAUAACCGCGGAAUAAAUCCGAUAAAAAGAAAAACGACGAACGGCUAAACGAACGAGCGUUCGUUAGCAGAAACUAAACGGUGAACACGUUCGUUAGAACAAACGGACGAACGAACUUUUGCUAAGUAAAUAAACCGAAGAAAUAAACCGAUCUAUAUAAAAAAACGAACUAGGGUUUUCAAAAAAAAUCGAAGUGUUUUCUUAAAAAAAACGGCGGCGGGGUCGGGUACCUCCGGCGGGGUUCCGGGGCUUGGGGAGGGCGCGGGGUGGCGGUGGGAGGCGGCGGCGGCGCUAGGGCGACGGCGGCGACUCGGCNNNNNNNNNNNNNNNNNNNNNNNNNNNNNNNNNNNNNNNNNNNNNNNNNNNNNNNNNNNNNNNNNNNNNNNNNNNNNNNNNNNNNNNNNNNNNNNNNNNNNNNNNNNNNNNNNNNNNNNNNNNNNNNNNNNNNNNNNNNNNNNNNNNNNNNNNNNNNNNNNNNNNNNNNNNNNNNNNNNNNNNNNNNNNNNNNNNNNNNNNNNNNNNNNNNNNNNNNNNNNNNNNNNNNNNNNNNNNNNNNNNNNNNNNNNNNNNNNNNNNNNNNNNNNNNNNNNNNNNNNNNNNNNNNNNNNNNNNNNNNNNNNNNNNNNNNNNNNNNNNNNNNNNNNNNNNNNNNNNNNNNNNNNNNNNNNNNNNNNNNNNNNNNNNNNNNNNNNNNNNNNNNNNNNNNNNNNNNNNNNNNNNNNNNNNNNNNNNNNNNNNNNNNNNNNNNNNNNNNNNNNNNNNNNNNNNNNNNNNNNNNNNNNNNNNGAGGCGGCGGGGCGGCGGUAUUUAAGGAGGGGGGAGCUGCUCCGGCUUGGGGAAGGGGGCGCCUGGGGCGGAGUCCGGCUCGGACUCCCCUCGGCGUCUGUGCGGCGCACGGCGGUGCACGCGGGGAAGGCGGCGGCGGCUGGCGGCUGGGCCGGCCUGCUCGGCUGGGCCUUUGGCUCAGUCGGGCGCGAGGUUUUUUUUUUAAACAUUCUGCCGAAAGAAAAAUUCCUAGAAAAAUAAAUAAAAUCAAAAAAUUCCAAAACAAGUUUUCUCCGUCUAAAUAAAAUAUUUAGAACAAGAUGAACUUUUCUUGGCCCCUAAAAUGCAAUUUUUAAAACAUGCAAAAAAUUUCUAGGGCAAAUAAAAAUCCCGAAUAAACUUCGAUAAAAUUCAAAAAUGAUGUUAACAUUUUUCCUCCGAUAUUUCCAUUGUUUUGGAGAAGUCAUAUUAUCUCCCCUCAUUUAUUAUUUUAGAAAGAAAUAUUUCCGGAGAGAAAAUAAUUAAAAUCAAAUCCUCGUCUUCACUAUUUGAUAAAAAUUUCAAAUACGAAAAUUAGAAAAUCCCCAACUCUCUCCGAAGGUCCUUGAGUUGCUUAGGAUCUCGAGGAUUGCAAACGAAAAGCAAUUGAAUAUGAUAUGCAUGGAUGACCUAUGUAUAACAUGCCAAAUUGGAAAUUUGGGAUGUUACAUUUAGUUUAUUGGUCACUGCAAAACUGAUUUUAUUUGAUCAUGUCAAAUUUAGUUUAUUUGGUCCAUGGUCAAUUUAGUUUACUAGUCAUGGCAAUUUUUUUUCAAAUCAUGGCAAAUUUUAAUUUAUGUGAUUUUUGCCAUGGCAAGUUUUGAAACGAAUAUGCCAUGGCACUUUUUCUUGUUCAUACUUGAUUUUCAACUUUUUUUCACACACGACAAAUUCAUCGUUCAAACACACAGCAAUUCUUGAUACGAAUUUGCCAUGGCAAGUUUUGGUACGAAUCUAGCGUGGCAAAUUUAGUUUACAAAUUUCUUCUUCAUUUUUUUUGAUUUUCAACUUUUUGUGUUUUUUACACACACGACAAAUUCAUCAUACCAAACACAUGGCAAUUCUUGAUACAAAUCUGCCAUGCCAAGUUCUGAUGCAAAUUUGGUUUAUUGAUCAUGGCAAAUUUUAGUUUCUUGGUUCAUGGCAAAUUUAGUUUACAAAUCAUGGCAUAUUCAUUUUAUUGAUCAUGGCAAAUUUAGUUUUCAAAUCAUGGCAAUCUAGUUUACAUAUGAAUCUGCCAUGGCAAUUUUUCUUGUUCCUGACAAAUUUAGUUAGUUUUGUCGUGGCAAGUUUUGAUGCGAAUCUGCCAUGAUAUUUUUUCUUGUUUAUACUUGAUUUUCAACUUUUUUGUGUUUUUUUCACACACGGCAAAUUCAUCAUUCAAACACAUGACAAUUCUUGAUACGAAUUUUGCCAUGGCAAGUUUUUGUACAAAUCUGCCAUGGCAAUUUUCUUGUUCAUUUUUUUAUUUUCAACUUUUGUUUGUUUUUUACACACACAGAAAAUUCAUCAUACAGGAACACAAUUUUCUUGAUACAAAUCUGCCAUGCCAAGUUUUGAUACAAAUUUGGUUUAUUGAUCAUGACAAAUUUUACUUCAUUGCUUCAUGGCAAAUUUAGUUUAUUGAUCAUGGCAGGUUUAGUUUUCAAAUCAUGGAAAUUUAGUUUACAUGAUUUUUUCUGUCAUGGCAAGUUUCAAUAUGAAUCUGCCAUGCCAAUUUAGCUUACGUGAAUUUCUCGUGGCGAGUUUUGAUAUGAAUCUUUCUUGUUCAUACUUCAUUUUCAACUUUUUAUUUUUUUUUCACACAUGGCAAAUUCAUCGUACAAAUACACGGCAAUUCUUGAUACAAAUUUGCCAUGUCAAGUUUCUUGUUUCAUACUUGAAUCUCCAAUUUUUAUGUUUUUCACACAUGAUAAAUUCAUCAUACAAAACAUGGCAAUUCUUUGAUACCAAUCUGCCAUGGAAAAUCUCUUUUGUUCAUACUUGAUUUUUCAACAUUUUGUGUUUUUUCUCACGCACGGCAAAAAAUCUCCUUGAAAACACUACAAUUUAAAUUGCCAUUGUAUUUUUAUCUUUUUGUUGUCCUGACAAUUUUUUUUUCACAUGAAUUUUUCAACUAUUUGUUUUUUUCACAUGGCAAUAUUGAUUUUUUUGUCAUGGCAGAUUUGCCACAUUUCAUUUGAGGGGAUUAAAUAUGUGUUUAUAUACCUUUUUCCAUUGUUAAAAACAAUAUAAUGGCAAAUAGUUUUGUCAAACUUGAAUGGCAAUUUUUCUGCUUUUUUCAGUAGCUGAGAAAAAUCUGGGCUUUUUGUCACAAAAAAAAACAAAAUCUGGGCCUUUUCAUUUAAUUUGUUGUCAGUGGGCUUUUUGUUCUUUUUUCACAUGGAAAAGGGCCUGGUGUGAUCGAGGCAUGUGGGGCUGUGGGUUUAGCUUGACGAACGAAUUCGUGCAGGGAAUCGACCCCUCGUACUGAACGAGUCGUGUGGUAGGGCGCUCCUCAUGCCACACGUGUGGGCUGUUGUAAUAUUCGCCCACACAUGGCCGUGUGGGCUACCUGCUGGAUAUGCCACACAGGGCCGUGUGGGCGGGUGUCCAUUGUGCCACACGUGUGGCAGUUAUCGGCGUCCUUUAUUUAUUAGGACGCAGAUAAUGGCUGGGCAUCGAUCGAACAAAGUAGUAGUAUUUUUUAUUUUAUUUUUGAGGGGUGAAAGCCACUUAACUUAAAUAACAACAAGGUCUGGGAUACAAAUAAUGUCAGGUAAGAUAGAAAGCCAAAUAUGGCGGCCAAAAGCUAAAGUAGUCGCUGCUUUUGAAAGCUUGUGACCUUCAAGAUUCAUCUCCCGCUUCUCAUGGAUGUAAUCAACUGACGUGAAAAAGUCUUGCAUCCUUUGCUUAAUAUCUUGGAUCGUUACUGCUGAGGGUCCCUUGUAUUCACCCUUUAGAUGUGUGAUCGUUGCCAUACAGUCUGUAUCAACAACAAUUCGCUAGACAGCCCAAAUCAGCAGCCAAAGAUAAGGCCUCCAAGCUCGCCAUUGCUUCUAGGAUUUCUGGAUCGACCAAGUCCUCAAAAGUUAUAGCAGAAGCGCCCACCCUCGUCUCGACAGAUUACUGCCAAAGCCCCCCUAUCGCUGUUUCUUGUAAGUGCAUCUAGUGCCCCUUAGUGAUUUUGGUGUAUUGAAGACUUAUAGGUUAAGGGACUAAUGCAUUUAUGAGUGUACACAUGUCUAUAAGUCUAUGAGGAGUUUGAUAUUUACAGAGAAAGUCGACCCCUAAAAAUGAAGUUCUUCGACUGAAGACUUUGCAUUUCUGAAGACUUUCUGAAGACUUUGAAAGUGAAGAAAUUGGUGUGACCUUGAAGACUUGGUAUUCAUUCGAGGAACAUGAAGCGUGAAGACUUUUGUUUUCGUGGUUUCAUUUUCUCUUUCUUGAGUCAUAGGAAACAUCAUACUGUUAAAGGGGGUCGAGGAAAUACUAAGGAAAAAUUUCCAAGUGAUGCUCAACUCAAAAUCCUACACCUACCAAUCCCUUCGAGUGAAGUCAUUGGAAAUCUCAUACAGUUCAGUCAUAUUCUUUAGUGACAGAGACGAAGUUCUUCUGGUCUCUGAGGAAUUUGUUCUGACUGAGGAGUUAGGAAUUUGCUAGUGCGGAUUGCCUACACAGUGAGGAACAUGAUAGCCUUGAGGAAUUUGAACCUUAAAUUUCCGACCGUUGCUGUGCUAUGCGCCAGCUGUCCCAAAAUAUCUACCCACCUAAGGGUCAUAUCACUGAAGGGCAUUUAUGUCUUAUCAUGUCGGGCUGCUCCCUAGGCUAUAAAUAGCCGCCCCCUACAACCACUAGCUGGUUGGCUGCUCUGAGAGAAACUGACGCAUAGCACCCAGCCACCCACCCCCUCCCCCCCAAAAAAGGACGACGACAAUAUAAGUUCGCGCUUCCACGUUUCGGAUUGAAAUAUCUGGCGGCCCCAAUUCCAGCCCUGCAAAAUCUGUCUUAUCCACCGUCCCCUUCCGCACCCAGAUUGCUCAAAUCCCUAAUUCGCCGCCAACCCUCGAAUCGCCCCUCGUCUCGUCUCUUUCCCCACCGUUCCCCACCUCUGUGCCGGACGACGACGACGAAGACGACGGUCGCGCUUCACCACCGCACCGGAGCUACCUCAUCUACGCCCUCGUCCACCACACCGGGUGGUCCACCGACAACGUCGGCCGCCUCACGUCGACGUGCCUCACAGACACCGAGUUCCACCGCAUCAGGUGCGCUUCACCGACGCCAUCUCCCAGCUCACCGGGGUUACUUCACAGAGCACAUCGUCGCACCUCCGCCCCCCGAGGCCGUUGGGGCUUCACCAACGGUCUCAUCCACCGCAUCGUAGCGCUCCGCUGCCACUCAAGAUCUGCAUCCGUGCGCGGCCAGCCAACGCCAGCGAAUCACCCUCAACGGCUCUGAAGUGACCCGCACUCUAGCUAGGCGAGCAUGCCCAAACGCCGACCCGAACUAGGUAUCCACACAUCACUCCCUUGUGCACUGUUCCGAUGAUGUUUGGAUAUCCUUUCACCGCUCUCUUAGCUUACACGCCUAUGCAACUCUGACUUUAACUCUUAUUUCUUCUGGAGAUAUCAUCUGAAACAAGCAAAUCCAUUUUUUAGCAAAGCAUGAUGGUGCUACGGGAUCUGGUACACAUCCUGCACACCCGUAUAACCUUGUAAGUAUCUGUCCUCCGGUACAAAAUCAAGGUCGAUUCCUCUUAUUUGAUCAACCAUUCGCCGUGUGAAAAAUGCAGAGGGGGAUGCAAGGAGCACAAGGCCUGCACAUCCAAGCAAGUGGUAACAUGGACUUGUACAUGGACCAUCCCAAGCGCAAGCAGAGCUGCAGUGAGCCUAUACAACGAGCUAGCGUAAGUCCCUGCAUUUCAUUUAAUUCGUACUAGCAUUCGUGUUUGAUUUGUGUGCAGUGGCUGAUUCACGAAUUCAAGUUACCAGGGGCGAACAUUUAACUUAAAAAAUACGAAGGCACUUGCACUCCGGAAAUCAACAUAACUUGAGAAAUGUGAAGCUACAUGCACUUUGAAAACCAGCUAAUGAUCCAAAGUAGUUUAGAUUAUAAACACUAAAUGAUGCAAGCACCAAAAAACACAAAAUGCAACAUGGUGUACAAGGACUACAAACAUGGUCAGUACCUGCUUGAAUUAUUCGUUCUCUGGCUGAAAAUAUCGAAGUGUAAUUGCACGUAUAACCAGUGCGCAAACUACAUAUCAAUAUAUCUAUCCUGCACAAGUAUGCCAAUAGUUUCAAACAACAGAUUAGAAAAGUAUUUAUGCUAUGUUGUCAUGAUACAGGGACUUUCUGGUAGACGGCCUCGAUGUUUCCUCAAGCUAUGAAAAUGCACUAUAAUUUGCUUGUCAUCAAUGCCUGCAAAUCUCUGUCUCUCUCAACAUAGUAGAUCAUCGUUAGACAGUAAAUCCUUCAAUGAGCUUGCAAAAUGCUUGCAUUAGAUCCCUCAUUAGACACUAUAUGUUCAUCACUAGGAGUAUGUAAAAUGUUUGCAUCAAAUCCUUCAUUAGCAGUCUGUUCGUUAGACACUUCAGGCUCAAGAACAACAUGAGCUUGUAUGUUUGCAUCGGAAACUUGAUUAGAUACAUCAGAUUCAGUCAGUUCAGUAUUGAUUGGGGAGUUGUAAAAUAAGUAGAAAUUGGUUUCAUUUUCUCAUAGAUUCCCUACAUACAAGCAGUUUUACAACACCGUCAGGUUUAACUAUUGGCCAGAAAUUGAAGAGUUGAAUUAGAUAUAAUCAGGGAUAUGAUGUACCUGCUCGUUACACAUGCUACUCUUGCAAGCUGCGACUGUCUGUUUGCGCAAGCUCGAUGCCAUGCUUGUGCUGCCGCCGCUGCCUCCCACGCAGGCUACACCCAGGGUUGGAUCUUCAUCUUCUUGUCCUUCCGUUCGCUUGAAGCCCGGCGACCGCCCUCCAACGAGGGUGCGAGAAAGUGUUGUGUCGGUCUGUCCAGCGGCAGCUAGGUUAGGAGCGAACUAGACUGGAGGCUGGAGCGAAUGAAUUGGGAUUUUUCCUGCUGUCGAUCAAUAUGGGAGGCGCUCGUUUGGGCCGCGAGCCUGCUAUAGGGCCUGGCUUGCACUUUUGUUAUUGGCCCAUCCAAAUUGAAACAUUUUUCUUCAUUUUUUACAUUGCCUGCUCGUGCGUUCGGACGAACAAAACUAGCAUGGGCCAACCUGGACGACUCAAACUUGGUGCACACUUUCCAGCCACCUGAGGCGGCCGUCCAUACCAGCCCCUAUGGUGGCGUCGCCCCUUUUUGCGUGUAUGAUUGGAUAGUGAAAAAUAUUCUAGUGACGCUUUUGAUUUACCCACGGAAUGGUUGAAUUGCUUGUUUCUAUGAACUGAGUUUGCCAAUAAUGUGAAGGAUGUCAGUCUUUUCAUCCUAUUGUAGAUUGCUUAGAUCUCAAUAUGCCAAAAGUAAUCGCAUGAAAUAUACAGUAAAAGCCAGUGUGAUGUGUUUGGCUACAACUAGUCUGACUACACGUCCUCAUAUAACAUAUCAAGGACGCACCAUCUUACCAGAUUAACCAUUCGACUUACCCAUGCAGUGUGGGAAGAAAGAAGUACUGGGACUGUGUAUCCAAGCAAUUGAUGCCAUGGACUCCUUCAUACAACCUUGUAAGCGAAAAAGAAGUUGCAGUGUGCCUGUACAAAGAACUAGCGUAAGUUCAGUUACCUGCUUCUCGGAAUUUUAGUUAGCCACUUAUUGCAAAAUUGUUCAAUUAUGUUGCUUGGCUUAAUUUAGUUUACUACUGAUUACAUAAUGGCACAGCCUGUUAAUCAUAUUGUAGACUGCGCCUAUCUAUGUGUUUGAUACUUACUGUUAAGAAUUACUUGUUUGCCUUAACUUAAAUAUCUACUUGUUUGUUUAACUGCUUUGCUGCUGCAACAGCGGGUUACAAUGAUGUUAAUAACUACUUUUCAGCAUCCAAUUGAAACUCUUUAAGUCCUUUUUUGUUUAACUGGUUUGCUGUUAUAACUCCCAGUUGAGAUGUUUUGCUAACUUCAACUUUUCUGAAUCCAAUCGGAACUUUAAUGGCAAAACAGGUUAGCCCAAGAUCAAAGAGCGAGGUCCCCAUGGACGUUGCAUCAUCCCACAGCAGUGGCACCAACCCAAUCGUGCAUUAUGAAUUGCCAACUGCUGAUGCUCUAGAGGCUAAACUAGUGGUAGAAAGAGAUUCUGCUUCUGCACUUAGAGAUGAAGUUGACAUGUUGAUGAAGCAAACAGCACAAUCACAAGCAGUGAUCAAGACAACCAUUAAAUAUUUGGUGAAUUUCAAAACGAAGCAAGCUGAGACUGACCAGAUUGUUAAGGUCCUGAAGGAAAAAAAGAAAAUUAAAUUCCUACUUGGUAAAUCAUAGGUGAAAUGUUAUUUCCAUAGUUGAAUAACCUUUGUGUUGUAUGUUCAUGUAAUCAAUCAAACCAUUUGUUUUAGAGAUCAUGUAAUAAUUGUUUUUUUGGUUUGUAAUUUUAUUUGAGCACAAGUCUGUAUUAAUUGAUAAGACUCGGAGACAUUUCAUUUGGAUUGCUGUGCCAGACCUACAAAUAUGCCAAUCGGGCUGAAUGUGCAUUUAGCAAUAGUAGUAGUAUAGAUGGACCAUAAGUGGCACGCAUCGGAAAGGGCUAAGAUGCUGGCUAAAAAAAGGAUGUUGUUGUAGCAAAAAAAAGUACAGCGGCCUGGCUUAUAUAUGUUAGUUGAUAUUAUUGAUCCAUAUACUCUAUAAGUGUUUAUAUGUUUGUUAGUUCUGUACAUUCUUGGUUGAUUGACUCGGUAUUUGAAUCUUGAUACAUCGCUUGUGUACAUAUCUAAAUGGGAGUACACAUUAUGCUGCGUAUGACAUUUGAGUUGGACAUGAAGUGUUCCAAAUAUUCGAAUUCACCUUAAACUGGAUUCUAGUUUCUGAAUUUGAGUAUCGGCAUUUGUAAACCAUAUUCAUAUAUGACAGUGGAAUACAUCUUUGUUGUCCUUUUGAAGAUAUAUAAAAACACAUAGAAUGAUUUAUAAAGAUUCAUAUAGGAAUACAAAAUGGAUUCAAAUUUAGUUGCCAGGGUAAAUGUGGAUGCUUAUUGUCCCAAAAUUCGAAAGAAGCAGCAAAAUGUACACUCCCACGUUGGCUGCCCAAAGCCAAGUGUUUGGGAGAUGGAAAUUACUGUCUACCCAUUACACGGACAAUCCAUCGGCCCGAUUUCCACUGCUCUAAAUAGGGGUAGGUUAGUAACUUCAAUUAGACGUGACACGACCGCCUCUGAGCCCAUUCCGACAUGGUGGGUGUCAAACAUGGGCGGCAAAACUCAUUUGAUUCAAGCUCGUCUGAAAGACCUCUGUUUCUCCCUCCAUUCCCCAUUCAUACACGGUGGGCGGCAAAACAAACUCGACUCGGCCGAAAUCGAUGUAGGCAAAUAUUUUCAAUAGGGCCAGGUUUGUAACUUCACUCAGACGUGACACAAUCGCCCUACAUGUCAGCCCCGUUCAUACACCGUGGGCGCCAACCACCCUAUCCUCGCCCGAAAUCGCUCUGGGCAAAUAUUGGCGAGAUGCGAAAUUACCGUCCUAUCCCCAACCAACGAGACGUCCAAAUUUUAAACGGGGGCUAAGUUCGUAACUUUCCCAUAUUUCAGACAGGCGCGUCCCAAAAACAUGGUUCCCUGUACCUCUCCAUCCAUUUUCCCAUUCAUACACCGUCCGCGCUAGAACACCCCAUCCCCACACCAGCCUCCGUCUGCCACCCCAUCCAUCGCCGUCGUCCUCCACCACAUCCAUCGCCACCGUCCUCCACCUUGCCGGAGCGCCUACCAGGACAUUUUCGUCCACUGCUAGAGAUGGACAUUUCUCAUCCACGGCGACGGACCAAUAGCCUUGCACCGCGUCCUCUCGCUUCGUCGGCGCCGUCGUCCUCUUUGCCGGGGCCUCUCACACGACCUUCUCUUCCAUCGCAACGGGAGUUAUCCCCCGAUGCACCCGUCUACCGUUGCAGAUCUGCUUCAACGCCACCGACAGCCAUCGCACCCCCGAUGCCUACACGGCGCCACAAGAGAGGUGGUACUUCAUAUCUCCUCAACUUUUUGAUCUCAACCAAAAAAUAGAUCUUAACUUGGUUACUCUACUUUCUUUUCAGCUCUUGGAAUUUAGUUCUUAGUUCGAAGCAAACAAUGGAUGCUAAAUAUCAUUUCUCCGGUUUGCAGCUUCAAAUCUGCCAUGGCACAGCCAUAAUACAGUUUAAUUGAUCAUGCUUAGGGUUUAAUUGAUCAUGUUGGUUCCGUGGUGGUUUGUUUAACAGAAAUCGGAGGGGAAACCCUCUUUUGCUAAAAAAUAUGCUUAGAGUUUCCCCCUUUUAUGAUCACUAUACGAUCAGAAUACAUACUUCGUGUCAUAAUAACACUGCUCCACCCAUCAAGCUAAACAAGCUUAGUUGUUCAAAUACGAAUCUGAUAUUAUUAAAAUAGAGUUGUUUAAUUGGUUAGCUAAAUGUUCCUAAAUUAGUCUCGAAAAUGCAUGUUCGCCGCUCGGGUGUGUAUCUCUACAGGGUGCCCACGGUGGGCCGGCCCACCCUGGGAUUUUGGGUCGUCCUAGGCCCCGAUUCCCCUCUGUUCUGCUGCGCGCUUCCAAUCUCUACUCGCCCCCAGCCGCCUGCCUCGCAGGCGACUUGCCGUCCCUGGACGGCAUGACUCUAGGAGGAGACGCCGGACUAACAGGAGGCCAGGAGCCGCUUGCCCAACUGCCCGGGCUCGCCGCCGUGCCUACCUUCCCAGUCCGUUCAGGGCUCAGGCGUGCAGCACCCACCAAGCCAACCCGAUUUAUCCUGAGAUACGUCCUCAACACUCAGCAGCCACUCCUCAUCACCCAUUUUCUAAUUGAUUCAUUACUCAUUAGGCAGGACUGUCAUUAGGGUUUGUUGUGUGCUCAGUGCUACCUACACUUAAUGGUUCAGAUAUAUUUCGGUAAUCUUUAGUACCUCUAAAGUUCACAGGGUUUUCAAAAUUCCGGCCCUCGGAACAGAAACUAGUCAUUUUGGAUUGUUGGUCGUAGUGACAUUGACCCAGAUUACUACUGCAAGCCAGGUUUGUUGAAAAUUUUACUUGUCUUUCUUACUCAGUCGAUAUAAUAUCCAAUUAUUCACGUUGAUUAAUUGCAAACAAUAAGUGCUAGACAAACUUCUUCAUUCAGAUUUUGGACGGUCUCUUACUGCAGUUACAAUUCUGCAUACUUGUCCUAGUAAGCUCACAAGUAAAUGAUUGAUUCACUACAUCUAUGCUUGCCUUGUCAUAUUUGUUGUCAAUAUUCUUUUAGGGUGGACCACCCUAUUUCUAAAUACUGGAACCGUAGACAUGAGUGAAUAGAAUUUCUCUAUGUGAUCUCUUCCAUCAUGUGUGGGUAACGAACACUGCAUUCUAUAGAAAGAAAGUGUCAUUUCCAGCUUUUACAUAGGUUUCGAUCUUUUACAUGGAAUACAAUCUGCCUACUUGCUUUGUGUCUCACUACCAACACUCCACCCUUGAAGCUAAACAUUACGCCACUCAUAAUCGGUUAGUUUAUUUGUUCAAAUACGAAUUUCAUAUGAUUCUAAUGUUCCUACUUCAGUUUUGAAAUGUGUGUCUGCCUGUUAUAGAGACAUAAGGGGUUUGUAUUUCUGUGUGUGGUCUGGUCAGCACGGUUGGGGAGGUGAACUUUGCAUAUGUAGGGGUUUAUAGGGAGACACUCUCCGAGUUGAAUCCGCAAUGCAUUCCAUAGAUAAUCUGACUACUUUUUAUCUUUUCAUGAAUCUCAGAUUCUGAACAGCAUCAUAAUGAUUAUGAGCUUGCGCGCAUGAAAAGAAUAAAGCAGAACAAUGCCAUGGUUGUCAAACUUGGCAUUAAGGGACUGAAAUCAAGUCUGGAUGCAAUGCAAUGCAAAUGCUCUCACCUACAGAUUCAUGCUCAGAAUAUGAUCCUAACAGUGAUUCUGAGCUAGAGGGAGACCUAAGUCAAUGUAGCUCCCUAGUGGAGGAGUCAGAGGAAGAUGCCCUAUCUUAUUCACCCAUCAAGGUACUUUCUCUAACUUUCCAAGGUUACAUUGCUCGCACAUAUCUUGCAACUGAUGCUUUGCAUUGCUUCUACUUUGUUGAACUGCCAUUAGCCUAGUUUACACAUCGUGUAUGUGAAUACGCCCUGCCUAUCCAUUUUCAGUACAUAUUCCAUCUGUCAUCAUACCAUAUUUAUCCAUUCAAAUGUUGUUCUUGUGUAUCAAACGUUCAAAAGGAAGAGGGCGAUUGCUGAUCGUGAAGGAGCACAAGCAAAGUAUUUGGAAAAGGUAGUGGCACCUGAUAAAUCAAAUAGCCCAUUAGGUGUAGUUGCAAUAUCACCUGACCCACAAAAUACCCCAACUCUAGCAGACUCUAGCCCUACUACACUGGUCAUUUUUGAUGCCCCAACUUAGCAGACCCCAACUGCAGCAAACAGUAUGAUUAUGCGAGUUGACAUAGCACCAGCUGUACGACGCAAAACCCCCAUUCCAGCAAAGAGUACACCAAAUCCAAUUGCCAAAUCCCUUUUCGAACCAGAGAGAACCCCAAUUGUAGCAAAUAGGACCCCUGUUCCAUUUCUUCCUAGUUUAGAAGAUGAAGCUUAUGUUAUUGUCAGGAACUUUGUGCGCAUCUUUCCUUCAUGGAAAGAUUACACCGCAGACACAGAAAAAUUUCCAGUCUUCCUCCGCAUCUUAUGCGUAAGUAAUGUACUAAUGUUAUUUAUGGUCAUUACUACAUAUGUUUCUGCUGACAGAAGACACAAGAUUUCAUUCUUUUAAAUAGGCGAGGAGCAAACUGGAUUGUGAUGACGAGCAAGGGUUGAUUGCACUUUUCAAGCACUCGUUGUGAAGUAUCAUUCCUACCUGAGGCAAGUGCACUUCGAUGGCAAGCCUCUGAACGAAAUUUCUGUAAAGUCUCCGGUGCUACAUUUAUCCGACGAUGACUGGAAUAAUCUUGUUACACAUUGGUCUCGGCUGCAGCGUAAGGUACUGUCUAUGAUAUCACAUCAUAAUUUGAACUACAUUUCUGCAUUUGCCUUAAUGUCUCACUUGUACGAAAACUGUUAGCAGAAGAACAUUCGUUCUCAAGGGACCACAGAAUCUCGCAACUAUACUGCACAUUGCAUUGCUCUUGUGAGUACAUCUUGCCCUGUAUGACCAUACUUACUUUCAUAGUUGUUUGAUUAUGUAGCAUCACUGCACAUGUUUGCCUCGUAAUCGUCCAUUUGGUGGACAUUAUAAGAUCCGUAUGGACUCUUACAUAAAUUUAUAAUCAACCCAAUGCUUUUGAAGAGGUUUAGCUCUGCAGUCCUCUUGUAAGGACUGAACGUGGUCUAUCACUGUACUUACAUUAACAGCUACUCCCUCCAUCCCAUAAUAUAAGAACAUUUUGUACAGUACACCAGUGUUCAAAACACUCUUGUAUUAUGGGAAGAGGGAUUGGUUCAUUUUGUAGCAUUCUGCAUCUUAUCUCCCUCGCCCACCAUUUACUAAAAAAGACCAGAUCUAUAUUUAAUCUUACCAACAAGUAGAAUGCACAGACAAUGCCAGUGCAGAAGUGUAGACCAUUGCUCUUGUCAGUACAUUUUGUCCUGUAACGCUUGUACUUCCAGAUAAGAUGUAGCAUCAAUCUGCAUCUUAUCUUCAUUAUCCUCUAUCCCUUCCAGUAUUAUCAUAUCUAUAAUUACUCUCUACAAAAUGUAGAGUACAGGUAAUGCUUAUGAAGAAGAUUCUAUGCUGAAAUUCUUGAGUUAUCCUUCCCUUGACAUGGAGAAGGGCAUUAUAAAGCCGGUGUUAACUGUUAAUGUAAGUCAGUCCUUCUAAAGCCUUUAUCCUCAACUGCUGUUUAAUUUGCUCAUACUCCCUAUCAUUUACUGCUGUUACCAGGCCGAAACAUAUCUCGGGCCUUAGUUGGCCCACUGAUAUCAUGGGCCUUUAAGAGGCCGAAAGCUUAGCACAGGCAUCAACGAGCCGAAUUACGCAACAGGCCUUUAACAGGCCCAAAGUCACGUUGGGCUUAACUAUUACCACCUUUUGCACGGGCCGUUAGUGGGCCCGAUGUCCCGUCGGACCAUAUAUGGCCCAUGGGCAGCACAGGCCAUUCCCAGGCCGAAAGCCACACCGGGCUGAAAUGGGCCCAUGUCUACAUCAGGCCUCUAACAGGCCGAAAGUCACUGGGCUGUAGUUGGGCCCAAAUAUUCGGUGAACAAUUAACGGGCCAGAUCUGGCUUUGGGCCGCAAAUGGGCCCAAAUAUUGGGCGAACAAUUAACGGGCCAAAUCUGGCUUCGGGCCGUAAAUGAGCCCAAAUAUUGGGCGAACAAUUAACAGGCCAGAUCUGGCUUCGGGCCGUAAAUGGGCCUUUAUUAAGCAGGCCGUUAUUGGGCUGGCCCACUAGUACCUGAUUAAGUUCUACGGGCCUUUGACUGGGUCGGCCUUUUUAACCUAUAUGGGCCUCUGUUGGGCCCAACCACGUGUCGACGUAUCAUAGGCAUGUCUCCUCCAAUGGACGGGCGACAUCUGGCCCACUGACGAGCUGACAGGUGUUCCCUUCGGCCAAUCAGAAUUUUACACGUGGAAAUUUCCCAUUGGUCAGGGCUGUUAAUGGGUUAUCGGAUCCAAAAUCCGACCCGAUAGCUUAACGGUGUUCCGUUACGGUGGGUGCCACGUGUCAGUCACCCUUGACGAAAGCACUUCUGUGACACGCGAUUUAUCGUCAUGGAAGUGGACACUUCCGUGAUGAUAAUUUUGGUAAUGUCAUGGAACACUUCUACGACAGCACAUGUAUGACUAUCUUGAUUCUGCCAUAAAUUUGUCAUGGAUGUACAUGCAUGAAAAAAAUGCUACCUACUGUGACAAACACGUAUCAUCACGGAAGUGUAUUUUUUUGUAGUGUUGGCGCGCAUUGUAUUUUGAUUGUUUAUCUUUGCGUGAAGGUCGGGGGCGCGCGAUGGUUAACUCCUACCAACUUCCCCCUAGGAGCAUGCGUAGUAGUACUUUGCUUCGAGGGCUAAUAAACUUUUGCAACAAGUAUAUGAGUUCUUUAUGACUAAUGUGAGUCCAUGGAUUAUACGCACUCUCACCCUUCCAUCAUUGCUAGCCUCUUCGGUACCGUGCAUUGCCCUUUCUCACCUCGAGAGUUGGUGCAAACUUCGCCGGUGCAUCCAAACCUCGUGAUAUGAUACACUCUAUCACACAUAAGCCUCCUUGUAUCUUCCUCAAAACAGCCACCAUACCUACCUAUCAUGGCAUUUCCAUAGUCAUUCCGAGAUAUAUUGCCAUGCAACUUCCAUCAUCAUCAUCAUAUACAUGACUUGAGCAUUCAUUGUCAUAUUGCUUUGCAUGAUCAUAAGACAGCUAGCAUGAUGUUUUCAUGGCUUGUCCGUUUUUUGAUUUCAUUGCUACGCUAGAUCAUUGCACAUCCCGGUACACCGGCUGAGGCAUUCAUAUAGAGUCACAUCUUUGUUCUAGUAUCGAGUUGUAAGUAAAUAAAAGUGUGAUGGUCAUCAUUAUUAGAACAUUGUCCCAUGUGAGGUUAUCAAAAUAAAAGUGGCCAAAGAAGCCUGCAAAAAAAGAAAAAAAAGAAAAAAAGAAAAAAAAUGAGAGAAAAGAGAGAAGGGACAAUGUUACUAUCCUUUUACCACACUUGUGCUUCAGAGUAGCACCAUGUUCUUCAUAUAGAGAGUCUCUUGAGUUAUCAUUUUCAUAUACUAGUGGGAAUUUUCAUUAUAGAACUUGGCUUGUAUAUUCCAACGAUGGGCUUCCUCAAAUUCCCUAGGUCUUCAUGAGCAAGCAAGUUGGAUGCACACCCACUUAGUUUCAGUUUGAGCUUCCAUACACUUAUAGCUCUAGUGCAUCUGUUGCAUGGCAAUCCCUACUCCUCGCAUUGACAUCAAUUGAUGGGCAUCUCCAUAGCCCGUUGAUUAGCCGCAUCGAUGUGAGACUUUCUCCCUUUUUCUCUUCUCCACACAACCUCCACCAUCAUACUCUAUUCCACCUAUAGUGCUAUAUCCAUGGCUUGCGCUCAUGUAUUGCGUGAGGGUUGAAAAAGCUGAAGCACGUUAAAAAGUAUGAACCAAUUGCUUGGCUAAAACCAGGAUAGGCAUGAGGGGUACCAUGUGUUAAGAAAAGGGAGCAUACAAGACUAUAUGAUUUUGUAGGGAUAGCAUUCUUUAGCAUUGAUAUUUUGAAAGACAUGAUUGUUUGUUGAGAUGCCUGACUAUUAUUGUUUUUAUGUCAAAUGAUAGACUAUUGCUUUGAAUCACUCAUGUCUUAAUAUUCAUGCCAUGAUUAGAUAUAUGAUCAAGAUUAUGCUAGGUAGCAUUCCACAUCAAAAUUUUUCUUUUUUAUCAUUUACCUACUCGAGGACGAGCAGGAAUUAAGCUUGGGGAUGCUGAUACGUCUCCGCCGUAUCUAUAAUUUUUGACUGUUCCAUGCCAAUAUUAGACAAUUUUCAUAUACUUUUGGCAACUUUUUAUACUAUUUUUGGGACUAACAUAUUGAUCCAGUGCCCAGUGCCAGUUCCUGUUUGUUGCAUGUUUUUUGUUUUGCAGAAAAUCCAUAUCAAACGGAGUCCAAACGGGAUAAAAACUGACGGAGAUUUUUUUGUAAUAUUUACGAUUUUUGGGAAGAAGAAUCAACGCGAGACGAUGCCCGAGGGGGCCACGAGGCAGGGGGCGCCCCAGGGGGCCAGGCGCACCUUGGGCCCUCCUGGCCACCCCGUAAGGUGUUUGGUGCCCUUCUUUCGCCGUAAGAAAGCUAAUUUCUGGAUAGAGAUCGUGUCCAAAAUUCAGCCCAAUCGGAGUUACGGAUCUCCGGGAAUUUAAGAAACAGUGAAGGGCCAUAAUCAGGAGCGCAGAAACAGAGAGAGACAGAGAGACAUAUCCAAUCUCGGAGGGGCUCUCGCCCCUCCCAUGCCAUGGAGACCAAGGACCAGAGGGAGAACCCUUCUCCCACCUAGGGAGAAGUCCAAGGAAGAAGGAUAAGGAGGGGGGCUCUCUCCCCCUCGCUUCCGGUGGCACCGGAACGCCGCUGGGGCCAUCAUCGUCAUCGCAAUCUUCACCAACAACUUCACCGCCGUCAUCACCAACUCUUCCCCCCUCUAUGCAGCAGUGUAUCCCUGUUUUUACUCGCUGUAAUCUCUACUUAAACAUGGUGCUCAAUGCUAUAUAUUAUUUUCCCAAUGAUGUGUGGCUAUCCUAUGAUGUUUGAGUAGAUCCGUUUUGUCCUAUGGGUUAAUUAAUGAUCGUGAUUGGUUUGAGUUGCAUGUUUUAUUAUUGGUGCUGUCCUAUGGUGCUCUCUGUGUCGCGCAAGCAUGAGGGAUCCCCUCUGUAGGGUUUGCAAUAUGUUCAUGAUUUGCUUAUGGUGGAUGGCGUGAGUGAUAGAAGCACAUACCCGAGUAAGUAGGUUGUUUGUGUAUGGGAGUAAAGAGGACUUGAUGCCUUAUAAUGCUAUGGUUGGGUUUUACCUUAAUGAUCUUUAGUAGUUGCGUACGCUUGCUAGAGUUCCAAUUAUAAGUGCAUAUGAUCCAAGUAGAGAAAGUAUGUUAGCUUAUGCCUCUCCCUCAAAUAAAAUUGCAAUAAUGAUUAUCGGUCUAGUUAUAGAUUGCCUAGGGACAAAUAACUUUCUCGUGACAAAAAGCUCUCUACUAAAACUAAUUUAGUUGUGUCUUUAUCUAAACAGCCCCUACUUUUUAUUUAUGCGCUCUUCAUUAUCUUGCAAACUUAUCCAAAAACACCUACAAAGUACUUCUAGUUUCAUACUUGUUCUAGUUAAAGGGAACGUUAAGCGUGCGUAGAGUUGUAUCGGUGGUCGAUAGAACUUGAGGGAAUAUUUGUUCUACCUUUAGCUCCUCGUUGGGUUCGACACUCUUACUUAUUGAAAGAGGCUACAAUUGAUCCCCUAUACUUGUGGGUUAUCAAGCACCGCACGAUUGAACCCAAAGCUAAGCACUUCUCCCAUUGCAAGAAAGAUUAAUCUAGUAGGCCAAACCAAACUGAUAAUUCGAAGAGACUUGCAAAGAUAACCAAUCAUACAUAAAAGAAUUCAGAGGAGAUUCAAAUAUUAUUCAUAGAUAAUCUUGAUCAUAAACCCACAAUUCAACGGAUCUCGACAAACACACCGCAAAAUAAGAUUACAUCGAAUAGAUCUCCAAGAGAAACGAGGAGAACUUUGUAUUGAGAUCCAAAGAGAGAGAAGAAGCCAUCUAGCUAAUAACUAUGGACCCGAAGGUCUGAGAUAAACUACUCACACAUCAUCGGAGAGGCUAUGGUGUUGGUGUCGAAGCCCUCCAUGAUCAAUGCCCCCUCCGGCAGAGUGCCGGAAAAGGCCCCAAGAUGGGAUCUCACGGGUACAGAAGGUUGGGGUGGUGGAAAUAGGGUUUUGGCUCCUGUUCUGUUGGUUUCGGGGUAUAUGAGUAUAUAUAGGAGGAAGAAGUAGGUCGGUGGAGCCACGAGGGGCCCACCAGGGUGGAGGGCGUGCCUGGGGGAGGUGGGCGUGCCCCCCUGCCUCGUGGCCUCCUCGGUUCUUUCUUGACGUCCACUCCAAGUCUCUUGGAUCACGUUUGUUCCGAAAAUCACGUUCCCGAAGGUUUUAUUCCGUUUGGACUCCAUUUGAUAUUCCCUUUCUGCGAAACACUAAAAUAGGCAAAAGAAUAGCAAUUUGGGUUGGGCCUCUGGUUAAUAGGUUAGUCCCAAAAAUAAUAUAAAAGUGUAUAAUAAAUCUUGUUAAACAUGCAAAACAGAAUAGAUAAUAGCAUGGAACAAUAAAAAAUUAUAGAUACGUUGGAGACGUAUCAAGCAUCCCCAAGCUUAAUUCCUGCUCGUCCUCGAGUAGGUAAAUGAUAAAAACAGAAUUUUUGAUGUGGAAUGCUACUUAGCAUAAUUCUCAAUGUAAUUCUCUUUAUUGUGGCCUGAAUAUUCCGAUCCAAAUGAUUCAAAAUAAAAGUUCAUAUUGACAUAAAAAUAUUAAUACUUCAAGCAUACAAUGAGUAAUCAUGUCUUAUCAAAAUAACAUAGCCAAAGAAACCUUAUCCCUACCAAAUCAUAUAGUUAGGCUAUGCUUCAUUUUCAUCACACAAGAUACUCCCAUCAUACACAACCCCGGUUUCAGACAAGCAAUUGGUUCAUACUUUUUAACGCGCUUCAGCUUUUUCAACUCUUACGCAAUACAUGAGCGCAAGCCAUGGAUAUAGCACUAUAUGCGGAAUAGCGUGGUGGUUGUGAAGAGGACAAAAAGGGAGAAGAUAAUCUCACAUCAACUAGGCGUAUCAAUGGGCUUGGAGAUGCCCGUUAAUAGAUAUCAAUGUGAGUGAGUAGGGAUUGCCAUGCAACGGAUGCACUAGAGCUAUAAAUGUAUGAAAGCUCAACAAAAGAAACUAAGUGGGUGUGCAUCCAACUUGCUUGCUCACGAAGACCUAGGGCAUUUUGAGGAAGCCAAGUUCCAUAAUGAAAAAUUCUCACUAGUAUAUGAACGUGAUAACAUAGGAGACUCUCUAUCAUAAAGAUCAUGGUGCUACUUUGAAGCACAAGUGUGGAAAAAGGAUAGUAACAUUUCCCCUUCUCUCUUUUUCUCUUAUUCAUUUUUUGGGCCUUUUUUUUUCUUUGGCCUCUUUUUUCUCUUUUUUUAUUUAGUCCGGAAUCUCAUCCCGACUUGUGGGGGAAUCAUAGUCUCCAUCAUCCUUUCCUCACAUGGGACAAUGCUCUAAUAAUGAUGAUCAUCACACUUUUAUUACUUACAACUCAAGAAUUACAACUCAAUACUUAGAACAAAAUAUGACUAUGUGAAUGCCUCCGGCGGUGUACCGGGAUAUGCAAUGAACCAAGAGUGACAUGUAUGAAAAAAUUAUGAAUGGUGGCUUUUCCACAAAUACAAUGUCAACUACAUGAUCAUGCAAAGCAAUAUGACAAUGAUGGAGCAUGUCAUAAUAAAUGAGACGGUGGAAAGUUGCAUGGAAAUAUAUCUCAGGAUGGCUAUGGAAAUGCCAUAGUAGGUAGGUAUGGUGGCUGUUUUGAGGAAGGUAAAUGGUGGGUGUACGAUACCGGCGAAAGCUGCACGGCACAAUAGGAGCUAGCAUUGGUGGAAGGGUGAGAGUGCGUAUAAUCCAUGGACUCACAUUAGUCAUAAAGAACUCAUAUACUUAUUGCAAAAGUUUACUAGCCCUUGAAGCAAAGUACUACUACGCAUGCUCCUAGGGGAAGGGUUGGUAGGAGUUAACCAUCGCGCGAUCCCGACCUCCACACAUAAGGAAGGCAAUCAAAAGAGCACCCCAUGCAACAAAUUUGUUACAUAACUUUUACCAUACGUGCAUGCUACGGCACUUGCCAACUACAACACAAGUAUUUCUCAAUUUCAUAAUUACCCAACUAGCAUGACUCUAACAUUACCACCUUUAUCUCUCAAAACAAUUAUCAACCAUCAAAUUGAUCAUAGUGUUUAAUGCACCAUUUUUCUUUAUACCCAACUUGGAUGCCUAUCAUAUUAGGACUAAUUUCGCAUUUAAAGCAAAUUACCAUGCUAUUCAAGACUCUCAAAAUAAUAUAAGUGAAGCAUGAGAUAUCAAAGAUUUCUAUAAAAUAAACCACCACCGUGCUCUAAAAGAUAUAAGUGAAGCACUAGAGCAAAAACUAUAUAGCUCAAAAGAUAUAAGUGAAGCACAUAGAGUAUUCUAAUAAAUUCCGAAUCAUGUGUGUCUCUCUCAAAAAGUGUGUACAUAAAUGAUGAUUGUGGUAAACUAAAAAAACAAAGACUCAAAUCAUACAAGAUGCUCCAAGCAAAACACAUAUUAUGUGGUGAAUAAAAAUAUAGCCCCAAGUAAAGUUACCGAUAGGCGAAGACGAAAGAGGGGAUGCCUUCCGGGGCAUCCCCAAGCUUAGAAUUUUGGUUGUCCUUGAAUUUUACCUUGGGGUUCCUUGGGCAUCCCCAAGCUUAGGCUCUUGCCACUACUUGUUCCAUAAUCCAUCAAAUCUUUACCCAAAACUAGAAAACUUCACAACACAAAACUCAACAGAAAAUCUCAUAAGCUCCAUUAGCAUAAUAAAACAAAACACACGUUAAGGUACUGUAAUGAACUCAUUCUUUAUUUAUAUUUGUGUUCAGCCUGCUGUAUUCCAACUUAUCUAUGGUUUAUAAGCUCUUUUACUAGCCAUAGAUUCAUCAAAAUAAGCAAACAACACACGGAAAACAGAAUCUGUCAAAAACAGAACAGUCUUUAGCAAUCUGAAUUAAACGCAAACUUCUAGAGCCUAAAAAAUUCUACCAAAUUAGUAAGUCCCAGAUAAUUUUUUAAUUGAUCUACUGAAAAAAAUUCAACUGAUAAGCACGUUUCUGUGAUUUAUGUAAAUUAAUCUCGUGCGCACAAAGUUUCUGUUUUUUACAGCAAGAUCAAACAACUAUCACCGUAGGUUAUCCUAACGGUCCUACUUGGCACAAACACUUAUUAAAACAUAAAAAACACAAUCAUAGCAGUAGCAUGAUGUACUGAUUAUUACUAAACAGAACCAAAAAGCAAAAAACUAAAAUAAAAUUGGGUUGCCUCCCAACAAGCGCUAUCGUUUAACGCCCCUAGCUAGGCAUAAAAGCAAGGAUAGAUCUAGGUAUUGCCAUCUUUGGUAUUUAUCUUUUUAAUGGAGUUAUGCUCGAAUCCGGGAGGUUCUUUACGUUUCCCUUCAUACUCAGAGAUUCUUAGAUCUAGAGCAUCCAGCCGUUUGUUGCAAAGUGUAUUCAUGCGAUUAAGGUUCCCUCCAACAUUUUUAAGAGGUUCAAGAGACUUUUGCAAUUCACAUAGUUUUUCUAAGAUUUGGGUUCCCUCUUGAGUAAGAGUUGGUCCCUUUUGUGGGGGAAGUAUUCCUACUAUCCAUUCUAUCAAAUCAUAAGCAAAACUAGGAUCAGUUUCAAUAAAAUUCCCUUUGGUGGCAAAAUCAAGGAGUUGUCUAUGGGAUACGGUUAGCCCAACAUAAAAAUUGCGAAGUAAAACCUUGAAAUCUCCCUCUAUGGUGCAACCAUGAUAGGAUUCUAUCAUUCUAUACCAAGCAACUUUUAGAUUUUCUCCCUAUUUUUGUUUGAAGUGAAGAACCUCAAACUAGGGGGACAAAGGAGCAGAUAAAGGACUAGCCAUAACGACGAAGCAAGCGAAAAAGAGGCGAACAGAAGAGAGGGCGAAUAAAACGGCAAGGGUGAAGUGGGGGAGAGGAAAACGAGAGGCAGAUGGCAAAUAAUGUAAUGCGAGGGAUAAGAGUUUAUGAUGGGUACUUGGUAUGUCUUGACCUGUGCAUAGACUCCCCGGCAACGGCGCCAGAAAUCCUUCUUGCUACCUCUUGAGCACUGCGUUGGUUUUCUCUUGAAGAGGAAAGGGUGAUGCAGUAAAGUAGCGUAAGUAUUUCCCUCAAUUUUGAGAACCAAGGUAUCAAUCCAGUAGGAGACCACGCUCAAGUCCCAUGCACCUACACAAACAAAUAAGAACCUUGCAACCAACGCGAUAAAGGGGUUGUCAAUCCCUUCACGUCCACUUGCAAAAGUGAGAUCUGAUAGAGAUGAUAAGAUAAUAUUUUUGGUAAUUUUAUAAUAUAGAUUGAAAGUAAAGAUUGCAAAGUAAAUAGAUCGGAAACUUAUAUGAUGGAAAAUAGACCCGGGGGCCAUAGGUUUCACUAGUGGCUUCUCUCAAGAUAGCAUAAGUAUUACGGUGGGUAAACAAAUUAAUGUCGAGCAAUUGAUAGAAUUGAGCAUAGUUAUGAGAAUAUCUAGGUAUGAUCAUGUAUAUAGGCAUCACGUCUGAGACAAGUAGACCGAAAUGAUUUUGCAUCUACUACUAUUACUCCACAUGUCGACCGAAACGAUUAUGCAUCUAGAGUAUUAAAUUCGUAAGAACAGAGUAACGCUUUAAGCAAGAUGACAUGAUGUAGAGGAAUAAAAUCAUGCAAUAUGAUUUAAACCCCAUGUUUUUAUCCUCGAUGGAAACAAUACAAUGUGUGACGUUUCCCUUUCUGUCACUUGGAUCGAGCACCGCAAGAUUGAACCCAAAGCUAAGCACUUCUCCCAUUGCAAGAAAGAUCAAUCUAGUAGGCCAAACGAAACUGAUAAUUCGAAGAGACUUGCAAAGAUAACCAAUCAUACAUAAAAGAAUUCAGAGGAGAUUCAAAUAUUGUUCAUAGAUAAUCUUGAUCAUAAACCCACAAUUCAUCGAAUCUCGACAAACACACCGCAAAAGAAGAUUACAUUGAAUAGAUAUCCAGGAGAAAUGAGGAUAACUUUGUAUUGAGAUCCAAAGAGAGAGAAGAAGCCAUCUAGCUAAUAACUAUGGACCCGAAGGUCUGAGAUAAACUACUCACACAUCAUCGGAGAGGCUAUGGUGUUGAUGUAGAAGCCCUCCGUGAUCAAUGCCCCCUCUGGUGGAGCGCCGGAAAAGGCCCCAAGAUGGGACACGGGCACAGAAGGUUGCGGCGGUGGAAAUAGGGUUUUGGCUCCUGUUCUGUUGGUUCCGGGGUAUAUGAGUAUAUAUAGGAGGAAGAAGUAGGUCGGUGGAGCCACGAGGGGCCCACGAGGUUGGAGGGCACGCCUAAGGGAGGUGGGCACGCCCCCUGCCUCGUGGCCUCCUCGGUUCUUUAUUGACGUCCACUCCAAGUCUCCUGGAUCACGUUUGUUCCAAAAAUCAGGUUCCCGAAGGUUUUAUUCCGUUUGGACUCCGUUUGAUAUUCCUUUUCUGCGAAACACUGAAAUAGGCAAAAAAAAAUAACCAUUCGGGUUGGGCCUCUGGUUAAUAGGUUAGUCCCAAAAGUAAUAUAAAAGUGUAUAAUAAAGCCCGUUAAACAUCCAAAACAGAAUAGAUAAUAGCAUGGAAUAAUCAAAAAUUAUAGAUACGUUGGAGACAUAUCACACUCUGGUGCGGAACGUGUCCUUGUGGACCUACGAAGUUCAGUAGCAACUUGAUCCGAAGUUUCAUGAUCAUCAUCAUUAAGUUCCUCUCUGGUCGUCACAGGCACCACAGAAACAUCUUCCUGUGUUGCGCAACUUUCCGGUUCAAGAGGGGGUAACUCAUCAAGUUCUACUUUCCUCCCACUUACUUCUUUCGAGAGAAACUCUUUCUCGAGAAAGGAUCCAUUCUUGGAAACAAAGAUCUUUCCUUUGGAUAUGAGGUAGAAGGUAUACCCAAUAGUUUCCUUAGGGUAUCCUAUGAAGACGCAUUUUUCUGAUUUGGGUUCGAGCUUUUCAUGUUGAAGUUUCUUGACAUAAGCAUCGCAUCGCCAAACUUUUAGAAACGACAGCUUAGGUUUCUUCCCAAACCAUAAUUCAUACGGUGUUGUCUCAACAGAUUUAGAAGGUGCCCUAUUUAAAGUGAAUACGGCAGUCUCUAAAGCAUAGCCCCAAAAAGAUAGCGGUAAAUUGGUAAGAGACAUCAUAGAUCGCACCAUAUCUAACAAAGUGCGAUUACGAUGUUCGGACACACCAUUACGCUAAGGUGUUCCAGGCGGUGUGAGUUGUGAAACAAUUCCACAUUUCCUUAAGUGUGUGCCAAACUUGUGACUCAAAUAUUCUCCCUCACGAUCUGAUCGCAAGAAUUUUAUUUUCCUGUCACGUUGAUUCUCUAUCUCAUUCUGAAAUUCCUUGAACUUUUCAAUGGUCUCAGACUUGUGUUUCAUUAAGUAGAAAUACCCAUAUCUACUUAAGUCAUUAGUGAAGGUGAGAACAUAACGAUAGCCAUCGCGAGCCUCAACGCUCAUUGGACUGCAUACAUCAGUAUGUAUUAUUUCCAACAAGUUGGUUGCUUGCUCCAUUGUUCUGGAGAACGGAGUCUUGGUCAUUUUGCCCAUAAGGCAUGGUUCGCACGUGUCAAAUGAUUCAUAAUCAAGAGACUCCAAAAGUCCAUCUGCAUGGAGUUUCUUCAUGCGCUUGACACCAAUGUGACUAAGGAGGCAGUGCCACAAGUAUGUGGGACUAUCAUUAUCAACCUUACAUUUCUUGGCAUUCACACUAUGAAUAUGUGUAACAUCACGUUCGAGAUUCAAUAAAAACAAACCAUUGACCAGCGGGGCAUGACCAUAAAACAUAUCUCUCAUAUAAAUAGAACAACCAUUAUUCUUGGAUUUAAAUGAGUAGCCAUCUCGCACUAAACGAGAUCCUGAUACAAUGUUCAUGCUCAAAGCUGGUACUAAAUAACAAUUAUUUAGGUUUAAAACUAAACCCGGAGGUAUAUUUAGAGGUAGCGUGCCGACGGCGAUCACAUCAACCUUGGAACCAUUCCCUACGCGCAUCGUCACCUCGUCCUUCGCCAGUCUCCGCUUAUUCCGCAGCUCCUAUUUUGAGUUACAAAUAUGAGCAACCGCACCGGUAUCAAAUACCCAGGAGCUACUACGAGUGCUGGUAAGGUACACAUCAAUAACAUGUAUAUCAUAUAUACCUUUGGUGUUGCCGGCCUUCUUAUCCGCUAAGUACUUGGGGCAGUUCCGCCUCCAGUGACCAUUUCCCUUGCAAUAAAAGCACUCAGUCUCAGGCUUGGGUCCAUUCUUUGGCUUCUUCAUGGCAACCGACUUACCAGGCGCGGCAACUCCCUUGCCGUCCUUCUUGAAGUUCUUCUUACCCUUGCCUUUCUUGAAACUAGUGGUCUUAUUCACCAUCAACACUUGAUGUUCCUUUUUUAACUCCACCUCUGCUGAUUUCAGCAUUGAAUAUAACUCAGGAAUGGACUUCUCCAUCCCUUGCAUAUUGUAGUUCAUCACAAAGCUCUUGUAGCUAGGUGGAAGCGACUGGAGGAUCCUGUCAAUGACCGAGUCAUCUGGAAGAUUAACUCCCAGCUGAGACAAGUGGUUGUGCAACCCGGACAUUUUGAGUAUAUGCUCGCUGAUAGAAUUAUUUUCCUCCAUCUUACAACUGUAGAACUUGUCGGAGACUUCAUAUCUCUCGACUCGGGCAUGAGCUUGGAAAAUCAUUUUCAGCUCUUGGAACAUCUCAUAUCCUCUGUGCUGCUCAAAAUGCUUUUGGAUCCCCGAUUCUAAGCUGUAAAGCAUGCCGCACUGAACCAGGGAGUAAUCAUCACUAUGCAACUGCCAGGCAUUCAUAACGUCUUGAGUUGCUGGGAAAAUGGGUGCUUCACCUACCGGUGCUUCAAGAACAUAUGCUUUCUUGGCAGCUAUGAGGAUGAUCCUCAAGUUACGAACCCAGUCCGUAUAGUUGCUACCAUCGUCUUUCAACUUGAUUUUCUCUAGGAAUGCGUUGAAGUUGAGGGCAACAUUGGCGUGGGCCAUUGGAUCUAUAGGAUAGAUUGUAAAGACAAUUUUAGACUAAGUUCAUGAUAAUUAAGUUCAUCUAAUCAAAUUAUUUAAUGAACUCCCACUUAGAUAGACAUCCCUCUACUCAUCUAAGUGAUACAUGAUCCGAAUCGACUAGGUCGUGUCCGAUCAUCACGUGAGACGGACUAGUCAUCAAUGGUGAACAUCUCCAUGUUGAUCGCAUCUACUAUACGACUCAUGUUCGACCUUUCGGUCUCCUGUGUUCCGAGGCCAUGUUUGUACAUGCUAGGCUCGUCAAGUCAACCUAAGUGUUUCACAUGUGUAAAUGUGGCUUACACCCGUUGUAUGCGAACGUUAGAAUCUAUCACACCCGGUCAUCACGUGGUGCUUCGAAACAACGAUCCUUCACAACGGUGCACAGUUAGGGGGAACACUUUUCUUAAAAUUUUGUGAGGGAUCAUCUUAUUUAUGCUACCGUCGUUCUAAGAAAAUAAGAUGCAAACAUGAUAAACAUCACAUGCAAUUCAUAAAGUGACAUGAUAUGGCCAAUAUCAUCUUGCGCCUUUGAUCUCCAUCUUCGAGGCGCGGCAUGAUCACCAUCGUCACCGGCAUGACACCAUGAUCUCCAUCAUCGUGUCUUCAUGAAGUUGUCUCACCAACUAUUACUUCUACUACUAUGGAUAACGGUUAGCAAUAAAGUAAAGUAAUUACAUGGCAUUUACAUUGACUCGCAGGUCAUAAAAAAAUUAAGACAACUCCUAUGGCUCCUGCCGGUUGUCAUACUCAUCGACAUGCAAGUCGUGAUUCCUCUUACAAGAACAUGAUCAAUCUCAUACAUCACAUAUAAAAUUAAUCACAUCCUUAUGGCCAUAUCACAUCACAUAGCAUACCCUGCAAAAACAAGUUAGACGUCCUCUAAUUGUUGUUUGCAUGUUUUACGUGGCUGCUAUGGGUUUCUAGCAAGAACGUUUCUUACCUAUCAAAAGCCACAAUGGUGAUAUGUCGAUUGCUAUUUACCCUUCAUAAGGACCCUCUUCAUCGAAUCCGAUCUGACUAAAGUGGGAGAGACAGACACCCGCUAGCCACCUUAUGCAACAAGUGCAUAUCAGUCGGUGGAACCUGUCUCACGUAAGCGUACGUGUAAGGUCGGUCCGGUCCGCUUCAUCCCACAAUGCCGCCGAAUCAAGAUAAGACUAGUAACGGUAAAGCAAGUUGAACAAAUCAUCGCCCACAACUACUUGUGUUCUACUCGUGCAUAGAAUCUACGCAUAGACCUAGCUCAUGAUGCCACUGUUGGGGAACAUAGUAAUAAAUCAAAAAAAAAUCCUACUGUCACAAAGAUCAAUCUAGGAGAUGCUAGCAAUGGGAGAGGGGGUGCAUCUUCAUACUCUUGAAGAUCGCUAAGCGGAAGCGUUACAAGGAACAUGGAUGAUGCAGUCGUACUCGCGGCGAUUCAAAUCGCGGAAGAUCCGAUCUAACGCCGAACGGACGGUGUCUCCGCGUUCAACACACGUACAGCCCGGGGACAUCUCCUACUUCUUGAUCCAGCAAGGGGAGAGGAGAAGUUGAGGGAGAGCUCUGGCAGCACGACGGCGUGGUGGUGGAGCUUGCAGUUCUCCGGUAGGGCUUCGCCAAGCACUACGGAGGAGCGGGAGGUGUUGGAGAGGUGGAGGGCUGCAACAGGGAAGGGGUGAAGGGGAAAGGGGGACGGCCCCCUUAGAUCUCCUCUAGGGGGUUGGCGGCCAAGGGGGGACUUGCCCCCCAAGUUUGGUGGGAGGCACCCCCACCCCCUAGGGUUUCCAACCCUAGGCGCCUUGGUCCCUUGGGGGGAGCACCAGCCCACUAGGGGGCUGGUUCCCACCCUUGUUCAACCCACUUGGCCCACCGGGGCAGGUGGCCCCACCCGGUGGACCCCCUGACACCUUUUGGUGGUCCUGGUACAAUACCGAUAACCCCCGAAAUUAUUACGGCGACUGAAACUGGACUUCCCAUAUAAUUCUUCACCUCCGGACCAUUUCGGAACUCCUCUUGACGUCUGGGAUCUCAUCCGGGACUCCAAACAACCUUCGGUAACCACAUACAAUUUCCCAUAACAACUCUAGAGUCACCGAACCUUAAGUGUGUAGACCCUACGGGUUCGGGAACCAUGCAGACAUGACCGAGACAUCUCUCCGGCCAAUAACCAAUAGCUGUAUCUGGUUACCCAUAUUGGUUCCCACAUGUUCCACGAUGAUCUCCUUGAAUGAACCACGAUAUCGGGGAUUCAAUCAAUCCCGUAUGCAAUUCCCUUUGUCCAUCGGUAUGUUACUUGCCCGAGAUUCGAUCGUCGGUAUCCAUGUACCUUGUUCAAUCUCGUUACCGGCAAGUCUCUUUACUCGUUCUGUAAUGCAUGAUCCCGUGACUAACUCCUUAGUCACAUUGAUCUCAUUAUGAUGAUGCAUUACCGAGUGGGUCCAGAGAUACCUCUCCGUCAUACGAAGUGACAAUUCCCAGUCUCGAUUCGUGCCAACCCAACAGGCACUUUCGGAGAUACCUGUAGUGCACCUUUAUAGUCACCCAGUUACGUUGUGACGUUUGACACACCCAAAGCAUUCCUACGAUAUCCGGGAGUUGCACAAUCUCAUGGUCUAAGGAAAUGAUACUUGUCAUUAGAAAAGCUCUAGUGAACGAACUACACGAUCUUGUGCUAUGCUUAGGAUUGGGUCUUGUCCAUCACAUCAGUCUCCUAAUGAUGUGAUCCCGUUAUCAACGACAUCCAAUGACCAUGGUCAGGAAACCAUAACCAUCCAUUGAUCAACGAACUAGUCAACUAGAGGCUCACUAGGGACAUGUUGUGAUCUAUGUAUUCACACAUGUAUUACGGUUUCCGGUUAAUACAAUUAUAGCAUGAACAAUAGACAAUUAUCAUGAACAAGGAAAUAUAAUAAUAACCAUUUUAUUAUUGCCUCUAGGGCAUAUUUCCAACAAAGUCACCUUAUGAAAGUCACCUUUCCAUCUGGAUGCUCGCCCAGCCUCAUUCUCUAGCGAGCGCUUCCACCUUUUCCUCGUUGUCUCCCCGUGGAAACCUCUUUCCUCCCGUUUUUUGCUCGGGCAAGGACCAAUGCAUGCAGCACGUCCAUGCGGUUAUUAGGCAAGAAAUAAAAGAGGCUUUGCAUGCUAUGAAUUACGUGGGCCUGUAUGGGUAGCUAAUAAGGCAUCCUCUUAACUGCUGUGAUUAAGUGUUGCAUUUAGAAGAGAGAAAGAUUCUCCUUCUCCUUCAAUCUGCUUGCACCUAGGUCGUGCUAUGACUUAUGCACCUGGACGGAGGGAUUAAUAAUAAUUAUAGGACAAUGAUACUAUUUGGAUAGUAAUAAUUACAAGACAACUACAAUUGGAUAGUACCACAAUAAUUAUAUAUAAUGUUGUGCGUGCUAAACAUGUUUUGGCCCUAAACAUUCAUCAAAGUCACUAUAGCAAAAUUUCGUGCGUACAGUUUUGCUUCCAUGGGAAGCAAACUUUAUUUCCAAUGCUAUUCAAAUUUUCUUCCAUCGCAGCUGAGAUUCGCUUCAAUUUAGAAGGAAAUUAUUCCCAAAUAGUUUCAUUUCAACGCGUCAAACCACGCUUCCAUAUCGACUGUAGAUUUUGAUUCCAUGGUGAAUGGAAUUUGCUUGAAUGUAUACACAGAAAUUUAUGUACGAAUAUGUUGGAAAAAUGAGCAAUUUACCAUACAGUUUUAUUAACAGAAAUAGUAGAUAAAACAUGACUAUUAUAGUAGAGGUGAAAUAGGUCAUGUAAUCUAAAGGAGAGAAGGCAAAUAACAUCUGCACAUGUGAACUAGAAUAGAACAUAUGUAUAACAGAUACUAGAAGGAGAAACUGUUGCAAGAUCUUAAACAUAAAGAACAUGAGAACGUACGGAACAACGCAGAAACAUUGGUUUUGGGAUCGACAUCCUCGCUGAUGUCUACUACACAACUUUAUUCUUGUAGACACGUAUUGGGCCUUCAAGCGCAGAGUUUUGUAGGACAGUAGCAAUUUUCCCUCAAGUGGAUGACCUAAGAUUUAUCAAUUCGUGGGAGACGUAGGAUGAAGAUAGUCUCUCUCAUACAACCCUGCAACCAAAUAACAAAGAGUCUCUUGUGUCCCCAACACACCAAAUACAAUGGUAAUUUGUAUAGGUGCACUAGUUCAGCGAAGAGAUGGUAAUACAAGUGUAAUAUGGAUAGUAGAUAUUGAUUUUUGUAAUAGGAACAAUAAAAAAACAGCAAGGUGGAAAGUAACAAAAGUGAGCACAAACGGUAUUGCAAUGCUUGAAAAUGAGGCCUAGGGUUCAUACUUUCGCUAGUGCAAUCUCUCAACAAUGCUAAUAUAAUUGGAUCACAUAACCAUCCCUCAACGUGCGAUGAAGAAUCACCCCAAAGUUCUUAUCUAGCGGAGAACAUAAGAAUAAACUGUUUGUAGGGUACGAAACCACCUCAAAACUAUUCUUUCCAUUCGAUCUAUCCUAGAGUUCGUACUAAAAUAACACAAGCUAUUCUUUUCGAUCAAUCUAAUCAAGAGUUCAUACUAAAAUAACGCCAUAUGACACACAUCAACCAACUGUAAUGUCACCUAGAUACUCCAAUGUCACCACGAGUAUCCGUGAGUUAAUUAUACGAUAUGCAUCAAACAAUUUCAUAUUCAUAAUACUCAAUCCAACACAAAGAACUUCAAAGAGUGCUCCAAGAUUUCUACCGGAGAAACAAAUUAAGACGAGAACGUGCAUCAACCCCUAUGCAUAGAUUACCCCAAUGUCAUCUCGGGAAUCCGCGAGUUGAGUGCCAAAACAUAUAUCAAGUGAAUCAAUAUGAUACCCCAUUGUCACCACGAGUAUUCAUUUGCAAUACAUAUAUCAAGUGCUCUCAAAUCCAUAAAAGUAUUCAAUCCGAUAACAAUGAAAUCUCAAAGGGAAAACUCAAUUCACAACAAGAUAGAGAGGGGAAAACACCAUAUGAUCCGACUAUAUUAACAAAGCCCGCUAUACAUCAAGAUCGUGACAUCUCAAGAACACGAGAGAGAGAGAGAGAGAGAGAGAGAGAGAGAGAGGUUAAACACAUAGCUACUGGUACAAACCCUCAGCCCCGAGGGUGGACUACUCCCUCCUCAUCGUGGUGGCCACCGGGAUGAUGUAGAUGGCCACCGGUGAUGAUCUCCCCCUCCGGCAGGGUGCCGGAACGGGGUCUAUAUUGGAUCUCAUGGAUACAAAGGCCUUGCAGCGGCGGAACUUCUGAUCUAGGGCUACCCCAAAGGGUUUUGGAAUAUUUGGGAAUUUAUAGUGCGAAGAGGGGGUACGGGAGGCCACCGAUGGGCACCACCCACCAGGGCGCGCCUGGGGGCCCAGGCGUGCCCUGGUGGGUUGUGCCCCCCUCGGGGCACCCCCAAGGUGCUGCUCUGGCCCAAUGGAUGUCUUCUGGUCCAUAAAAAAACCACAAAAAGUUUCGCUGUGUUUGGACUCCUUUUGAUAUCGAUUCCCUGCGAUGUAAAAAACAAGCAAAAAACCACAACUGGCACUUGGCACUGGGUCAAUAGGUUAGUCCCAAAAAUAAUAUAAAGUUGCUAUAAAAUGAUUGUAAAACAUCCAAGAAUGAUAAUAUAACAGCAUGAAUACUUCAUAAAUUAUAGAUAUGUUGGAGACGUAUCACUCGCCAGCCAUGUCGUCGAAGAGGUUGUCGACGUCGGGGAAGAAGUUGUCAUUGGGGAAGUGGUUGUUGGUAUCCGGAGCGUCCAUGAUGAACCGGUCAAUAGUCACGCAGAGCGCUCACCAAAAAUCUUAUCGCCCUUCUCCUGCACAUGACUCAAAGAGGUGGGGUUUCAGAGGCCUACUGUCCACCUGCGGUGCACGCCGCAAGCCGGGAUGGGGAAGAACCUUGCAGUAGCUUACAGUUUGGAACUUGGUGGCGAGAGGAAGAUGAUGUUCUGGUGUGUCUCUUUGGAGAGGAGUGGCCUCUCUUUUAUAGGCAUAGGAGAAGGCGGCAAACGGACUGCGACGGGAGGUGAAGCAAAAGAGAGAGACAAAGCGAAUAGCCUAUAGUCGAAGAGGUGCGCCGUUCGGAUUCAAUCUCCACUACAACAAAACGUUUUAGCUCCCAAGUGACCAUUUGUAUACCCGUUGUGCGUGGCAAAAAAUUACACAUCGGCUUGGCUCAUUCCCGCGGCGCGUCUUGACGAGGCGUGGCGAGGCGGGCGGAGGAGGAGGAGCGCGUGUGAAUGUCCCUCUUGUUCUCAUGCUCAUACUUGUGGGGAAACAACCUCCCUUAUAAGGAGGUCCAACUCCUACAAAACUAGCAAUGUGGGACUAAAAUUUAGUUCCACCUCUUGCCUUGCACGAAUGGCCUGAGUGGGCCUCGAGGAUUUAUUAGUAAUUUCUGAAAUUGCUAUUGGGCUAACCCAAAAUAGAUUAAAUUCUAGUAAUCACCCACCAGAUCCUAAAGGCACAUAAAAUUUGCCUUUGGUACAAAACAUUGUUUAUAUAUCGGUACCGUAGUGGAGACUAUUAAGUUGAACUUCCACCUAGAACUUUGCGCUACACUAGUAAGCAACUUGAACAGUGGACUAGGCCUUGAACUACAAGUUUUCUGCGAAUCUAGUUUCACACAGAGCCCUGACCGAUACUGGGCUACCGUGGGACUUCCCCACGAGUGGAUCUUAUGUGUCAUUCUCCAAGACCUUUCAUGAGUUUACUAGAGAGCACCCUAUUCUCACAGAUUACGACGUUUAACAAUCAGACCCAUAUAGGUGUAUUCUAUAAAAGAUGUUCUGUAGGACAACAUCUCUGAUCAAAUAAGACACUUAGAACACAUUAACAUAUACAUCAACCUACCAUGCAGAUUAGGAGAGUAUUGCAUCUUCAUUGAGUGGUAUUAUUAAUAGUAAGGAUACUCUCCUCUCAGUUGAGCUAUAGCUUGUCUUCCACAUCUAAUUCACGGGAUCUUCGAUCAAAUAGACUAGGUUACCACUGUGAACAACUCAUAUUGUGGGUCUCAUACCCAUCUCCUUCGAUGCAUUAUCUAUCACAUUUCGUGAUAGACGAUCUGCCAGAUUUUUAGAUGUUUGGAUAUAAUCCAAUGCAAUAACUCUGGAGUUUCUCAUUUUUUUGACAGGCUUUAGCCUUCUCUAAACAUGUCUUAGUGACUUCAUGUUAUCCUUUGAGCUGCUCACUUUUGUGUCAGUUUGAUUGUCACAGUUCAUAAGGAUACCCGGUACAGGUUUCGCAACUACCGGCAAUUCAUUCAAGAGUCGACGAAGCCAAUCUACUUCGACUGUAGCUGUUCUAGUGUUGUGAGCUCUACUUUCGUUGUUAACCUCAUUAACAUGGUCUGCUUGCAAGACUUCCAAGAAAAAACGCCACCUCCAUGAUUGAAUACAUAUCCGAUCGUGGCCUUUAUCUCAUCAGUAUCUGAGAUCCAGUUUGAGUCAUUGUACCCUUCAAGCACGUUUGGAUGCCAAGUAUAGUGAAUUCCAUAACUGACAAUGCCUUUCAAAUAAUGCAUAUAACUCUCUCUAUAGCUUUUUAAUGAUCAUCUCCCGGUUUUGAAACAGAUCUGCUUAGUUUGCUAACAACAAAAGAGAUGUCAGGUCUUGUAGCACUGGCUAAAUACAUAAGUGAGCCAAUAAUCUGAUAAUAUUUUAAUUGAUCUCUAGCAAUUUUUCGAUUCUUUCGAAGGAGCACACUAGCAUUGUAUGGUGCUGGAGAGGGCAUGCAGUCACUAUAGCCAAAUCAACUCAAGAUAUUUUCCACAUAGUGAGAUUGAAGCAAUGUAAUCCCACCAUCAUCAUCUCUCAGUAUCAUGAUGUUCAGAAUAACAUCUUAUGCUCUUAAAUCCUUCAUCUCAAAACAACAAGAUAGGAAUUCCUUGACCUCCUUAAUAACAUUCAGAUUUGUUCCGAAAAAUCAAUAUGUCAUCACCAUACAAGCAAAGGAUAACCCCAUCACCCCCACCAUGGUGAUAGUACACACAUUUGUCAGCUUCGUUUACAACAAAGCCUGCGGUUAUUAAAGUUCUUUCAAACUUCUCAUGCCACUAAUUAGGUGCUUGCUUAAGUCCGUACAAAGACUUCAACAACCUGCACACGUUUUCUUCCUGACCAUCUACUACAAACACAUCUGGUUGUUCCAUAAAAAUUUCCUCGUCCAACUCUCCAUUUAGGAAAGCAGUCUUAAUAUCCAUUUGAUGAACGAGAAGACCAUGUGAGGCAGCUAGUGAAAGUAGUACUCGAAUAGUGGUGAGUCGAGCCAUAUGUGAGUAAGUAUCAAAGAAGUCUUCACCUUCCUUUUGGUAUAACCCUUGGCCAUGAGUCGUGCCUUGUACUUCUCAAUAGUACCAUCAGGCCUAAGCUUCUUCUUGAAUAAUACCAUUUGCACCCUAUAGGUUUGCACCCAUAAGGACGAUCAAUUAUCUCCUAAGUUUCAUUUGCCAAGAUGGAAUCCAUCUCACUACGGACUGCUUCCAUCCAGUAGUCAGCAUCUUCAGAUGCAUAGGCUUCUGAAAUAGAACUAGGAGCGUCAUCUAUGAGAUACACAAGAAAAGGAAAACGAUUCGUUUCAUCCGGCUGAUGUUAUGCGGAACGUAAGUCACCUCGUUUGUUAGCCACGUGUCCCAUGCCCCCGCACCAUACGUCGCUAGCUUAUCCAUCCGCACCGCAUCUCUUCCUCACUAGCUCUUGCUGCCGCCCACGCGCAGCCGAAUACCAAUAGCACGCCAUGCACCGCCGUCGCCGCCUGCUGCAAGCACCACCAGGAAAGCUACAAGUGAACCAUUGUGCCGCCCGCUGCUGGAAGGCCGCUCGCCGCCAGUGCUCCAAGGGACAACGCUCGACGCCCCUACAAGGGAAGGGGUCACCGGUGCUUUUUAAGGAGCAGCCCAUGGUGAUGUUGAGGCCACAAUUCUGUGUUCGGCCCCCACCACAGCUGCACAGGACAUCCGGUGAGCGGGACCACACCAGCAUGCUGCUGAUAUGCGGUGGACGAUGCUGCCUGGGGCGGCCAUGCAGCGAGCGGCGCCGACCAUGCUACAAAGCGGCGUGCGGUAAGUUCGCGAGACGUGUUCCGGCUGGUGCUGCAAGGGGUCACUCGUGAUACAGGUAUCACCGGCAUUACGAGCGCGGUGGCGAGCGGCGAUGACCAUGUUGCAAGUGGCGCGAGCUUGCGAGCCAUUAUGCAUCUGGUGCUGCAAGGGUUCGCCGGCAUUGCGACACGAGCUCGUGGGCCAUUGAGUAGUGCCAAGUGCUCAAGGGUUCACCGGUGAGACAAUGGAACAUCACCCGGGCCGUUGGAGCAUCACCGUUGGUGUGAUGGAGCAUCGUCGGUGUGCCUGAAUCUCGCGAGUGCUACAAUGGAGCAUCGCCGGGCCGUCAGGGCAUCACCAUUGGUGCGAUGAAGCAUCGUCCGUCUGCUUGAACCUCGCAAGUGCUACAAUGGAGCAUCGCUGGGCCGUUAGAGCAUCGCUGGAGCUGCAAUGUAGCAUCAUCAGUGCUAUGAUGAAGCAUCGUCGGGCCGUCGAAACCUCGCGGGUGCUACAACGGGGCAUCACCGACUGAGGGAACCUCAUGGAUGCUGCAGCGAAGCAUCGUCGGACGUCGGGACCUCACGGGUGCUACAACGGAGCAUCGCCGGCUGAUGGAACCUCACCGAUGUUUCAACGGAACAUUGUCUGACACUGAAACCUCACGGGUGCUGCAAGGGAGAAUCGCCGGCCGGCGGAACCUUACGGAUGGUGCAACGGAGCAUCGUCUGACACCCAAACCUCACGGGUGCUACAAUGGAGCAUCGCCGGCUGACGGAGCCUCACGGUUUUUGCAACGGAGCAUCGUUGGACGUCGGAACCUCACGGGUGCUACAACAGAACAUCGCCGGCUGAUGGAANNNNNNNNNNNNNNNNNNNNNNNNNNNNNNNNNNNNNNNNNNNNNNNNNNNNNNNNNNNNNNNNNNNNNNNNNNNNNNNNNNNNNNNNNNNNNNNNNNNNNNNNNNNNNNNNNNNNNNNNNNNNNNNNNNNNNNNNNNNNNNNNNNNNNNNNNNNNNNNNNNNNNNNNNNNNNNNNNNNNNNNNNNNNNNNNNNNNNNNNNNNNNNNNNNNNNNNNNNNNNNNNNNNNNNNNNNNNNNNNNNNNNNNNNNNNNNNNNNNNNNNNNNNNNNNNNNNNNNNNNNNNNNNNNNNNNNNNNNNNNNNNNNNNNNNNNNNNNNNNNNNNNNNNNNNNNNNNNNNNNNNNNNNNNNNNNNNNNNNNNNNNNNNNNNNNNNNNNNNNNNNNNNNNNNNNNNNNNNNNNNNNNNNNNNNNNNNNNNNNNNNNNNNNNNNNNNNNNNNNNNNNNNNNNNNNNNNNNNNNNNNNNNNNNNNNNNNNNNNNNNNNNNNNNNNNNNNNNNNNNNNNNNNNNNNNNNNNNNNNNNNNNNNNNNNNNNNNNNNNNNNNNNNNNNNNNNNNNNNNNNNNNNNNNNNNNNNNNNNNNNNNNNNNNNNNNNNNNNNNNNNNNNNNNNNNNNNNNNNNNNNNNNNNNNNNNNNNNNNNNNNNNNNNNNNNNNNNNNNNNNNNNNNNNNNNNNNNNNNNNNNNNNNNNNNNNNNNNNNNNNNNNNNNNNNNNNNNNNNNNNNNNNNNNNNNNNNNNNNNNNNNNNNNNNNNNNNNNNNNNNNNNNNNNNNNNNNNNNNNNNNNNNNNNNNNNNNNNNNNNNNNNNNNNNNNNNNNNNNNNNNNNNNNNNNNNNNNNNNNNNNNNNNNNNNNNNNNNNNNNNNNNNNNNNNNNNNNNNNNNNNNNNNNNNNNNNNNNNNNNNNNNNNNNNNNNNNNNNNNNNNNNNNNNNNNNNNNNNNNNNNNNNNNNNNNNNNNNNNNNNNNNNNNNNNNNNNNNNNNNNNNNNNNNNNNNNNNNNNNNNNNNNNNNNNNNNNNNNNNNNNNNNNNNNNNNNNNNNNNNNNNNNNNNNNNNUCCAACGGAGCAUCGUCUAACACCGAAACCUCAAUGGUGCUGCAACGGAGCAUCGCCGGCCGGCGGAACCUCACGGAUGAUGCAACGGAGCAUCGUCUAACACUGAAACCUCACGGGUGCUGCAACGGAGCAUCGCCGGCCGACAGAACCUCAUGGGUGCUGCAACGGAGGAUCGCCGGACCUCACGGAUGCUGCAACGGAGCUGCGUUGGAUGCCAAAACCUCACGGGUGCUGCAACAGAGUAUCGCCGGCCGACGGAACCUCAAGGGUGCUACAACAGAGCUAUAAUGGAGCAUCGCUGAUGCUUCGAUGGAUAGUCGCAGGCUCGCAGUAGCUUCGUUGCUGCAACCCAGUGUUGCAGCCGUGGUCGGUGCGUGGCGAGCUCGUGAGUGUUUUUCUGUGCGAUGACUAGCGACAGUGCAUGGUGCAGGCUGAAGCUGGUGCUGCAUGGCAUGUCGUCCAAAUGUGGCUCAUCGCGUUGGAAGUGUGGAUUAUGUGUUGCACUCGUGUACAUGCCUGCCUGAUGGAUGGCUGGAGUAGCUGUGGGAGAGAUAUGGCGUAUUGGGAUGAAAGCGGUGGCGUGGUCAAGGAAUCAAGCGGGCCAGGCCAAAUCGAUGCUAAUCAACGGAGCGGUUGGCUAUCAUCAAAGGACUUUGUAGUCCUUUGUCUCUUUCUCCUAAUAGGAGGUCGUUGAAAUUAUAAUUACGGAUAGUCAUAAUUACAGGGCAAUGAUGAUAAUAAUCAUGGAUAAUAAUAAUAAUAACAGGACCAUUACAAUUGCAUGCUAAUAAUUAUCACAAUAAUUAUAAUCUUGUGUGUGCUAAACAUGGUAUGGCGACGAAUUUGAUUGCCAGGUUUUUUUAGGAAACUAAAUAAGGAAACUAAUAACUGGGGCAUUUGCUGGAGAUAUUUGACGUUAGCUAUUCCAAAUUUUAUUUCCAAUGCUAUUCAAAUUUGCUUACAUUACUAGGAACCUUCAAUCUGGAGGGAAAUUGUUUCCAAAUGGUUUUGUUUCAACGUGUCAAAUCAAAUCAAACCAUGCUUUUUAUAUUGACUGUAGAAUUUGAUUCCAUGGUUAAUGAAAUUUGCCUCUAUCCCACAAACUCCGCAUGAGUAACAUCCAUCGGCAGUGAAUGCCUCCCAUCUCAUCAUAGCCCAUCUUUAUUAACAAAGGGAAAGCAAGCAUAUAUAUAUAUACAGAGUCGCCAAGGCCACACACUAGGUAACUACAUGUCAUCAGGGGGUCGUGUUACAUACUUAGAUACUAAUCUAGACAAAUCUAAGACAAGAAUUUUGGGACGGAGACGGAGGAAGUACACAACACAGUAGCAAAGGCUACCAGAAAGAAAGAAUAGCCUCCGUCCCUCAGAAGCACCCUACCCUACCUAAACAACAAACAACAAACAACAAACACACAAAGGCAGGUGUGAGGGCCGCCAAUUGCGACGAUAUGUCCACAACUCCAACAGGGUCCUGAGAUGCUUCGGAGCCGAUUUCCUGGCGCUCAACCACCAGGUUGCUGUCGUCGCUGCCACCCCGCUUCUCACGGAAGCAGACACUUUAACAUAUACUACUCCAGACCAGUCUCAACAUAUCAAUCAGCUCAGCUUCAUUGAAGCUAUCUGGGUAGCAAGCUCCAUGGCCUCCUUGACCCGACAAGCAUCACUUCCCUGCAUUCAAAUAUAGCAUUGCAUCGCAGGAUUAUUCACAGAUUGUAUUAGCUAGUAACCAUAAUUACUACUAGUAUUAGAAUUUGACCAAAGUUAAGAUGCCUAAACAAUGAACGAUGCCUCACCUGGCCCUGGGCAAGACCAUUCUUGCCGCUGCCUCCUUUGCCCUUGAGUGGUGCGAUUGAAGGCGUAAGCCAAUCCAACACCUUGAACCCAUUGGGUGCGUCCGGAGGUACACCCGCAUAGAUAGCAGCCUUGUGUGAUGCCUCGUCUGUGCUGAAUACCAUUAUCGGCAGACCCUGGCACCAGCACAUCCAAAGAUUUGAUUGACACAAGGAAUACAAAUUUAAUGUUUUAAUCAUUCAUUGUUGGAGUAAGUUGGAAAUUAUGUUGAAUCUAUAGUUUCUUUUUAGAUGAUGGGAACACUACUAGACAUAAACGGAUUGGAGUACCGACCGACCUUGAAACGGUCCAUGGCUUUCACAACUGCUUCCUGGACAGCAGUGGUAUCAAGACCCACAUCGACAUGAAUAACACAGAAGGGUUUUCCUUCAGAAACAGCAGCUUCUACGGCAUCUAUGGCAGUCUUGACAGCCUUUUGGAUAUUUUCUUUGCCCAUUUUCUUCUUCGCCUCCCUAAGUUGAUCCUGAUAUAUGCAACAGCUAUAAUCAGCUUUCUUCAUUUUAACUACCAAUAGUAGAAUACCAAAUAUAUCUUAAAUAUUUUCUCUUUGACAAUAUGUGAAAAAUGAAUUGAAGCAUUUACAGACCUCCAACUUUGAGACAUUGCCUUUUAGAUCAGCUUUUCUUGCAGCUGGGAUAGCAGCGGCAUCCAGUGUAUUCUUGAUGGACCCAAUUUUCUGAUGAAGAAAUGCCAAUUCUUAGAUACUCCCUCUGUAAACUAAUAUAAGAGCGUUUAGAUCACUACUUUAGUGUUCUAAAUGCUCUUGUAUUAGUUUACCGAGGGAGUACAAUCUAAUAUAAAGCAGAUCAACAGAAAAUGGAUACAAAGUACAACUGACAUCGUCUAUUCAUAUAAAAGUUAAGGACAUCGUAUUUCUAAGAAAACAAACAAGAAUCACAAUAACUUCUAAUAAUAUCCAAUUUAUCGAAGUAUCAUAACCAUAUAGCUCACACUAAGAGACACAAGCACAAAUGGGGAAAGCUUAGUACCUUUUCCAAUGUCGCUCCGUCCAGUUUAGAUGCUUCAUUGAUAUCAGUCUCGAUAGAUGAUGCCAACUUCAUAGCCUGUGAGGCACACUCAGCAGUAACAGUCGUUAUCCUCCGAACACCUUUUGCGAUACCCUCUUCAGAUAUGAGGGCAAAUGCUGCGGCAUCUCUAGUGUUCGAAAUGUGUGUGCCUGACAUACAUAAACGUUAGGGUGACAUAAACACAUAAAUGCAGAAUUACAUAGUAGAACAGAGUAGUAAAUAUACCUCCACACAGCUCUGUUGAUAUGGAUAACCAUUCUUUGCUUUCAGGGUUUGCAAGCAGAUCUUCCACUUUGCGACCAAUCGAUACAACUCUUACAGGGUGAGGGUAAAUCUACAAAAUCCAUAUGUAAAAUGAAUUAACACAAGACAACAGGGCAGGCAAACGAGAUAUGACAACAUGGUUUGUCAAGAUGGGUAAGAGAACGCACUUCACCAAACACAGCUCGCAGACCAUUUAUGCGCUCUGCAUCAGCUAAUUUUAUUUCUUGUGCAGAUACCUCCAGCUCAUCCUCUAUUUGCUUCUUCACUAUAUCCUCAAUUUUUCUCAAAUCUUCAGGCUAAACAGGUUUCCCUGUUAUGUACUAACAAUUGAGUUGACAAGCCGAGGAAAAGCAAAGAGUGCAUGCAAUAUAAAAAGAAUCACAGUAUACCAUGGGAGAAACCAAAUCUCAGCUUCUCUGAAAGAACAAUGGAACCUUUCUGGUCAAUAUGGUCACCAAGUACUUCCUACACUUGCAAUAGUGAAACCAUCAUGAAUACAAAAAAGGCAUGCACUGUAAAAUCUGAGAGGCUUGAAAACUUACCCUUAGAGCAAAGUUCAGCAUAUGGGUACAUGUGUGGUUUGGAGCAAUCAGAGUACGCCGUGUGUAAUCAACCUACCAAGAGUAAUAGAAGCAUCACAGUGUAAUUUAGAAAAUUUCAUAGGUUAACUAAUUCAGUAUAAAGAAUUAGUCAGUACAGAAUGUUACUUUGCAUUUCACUUCAUCGCCAACAGACAAUGCCUUGGAGUCAGGCCCUUCCAGAAAUGAACCGAUGUGCAUGACAUAUCCAGCAAACACUUGGACAUUGUUCACAGUGAAAGAUCCAGAUGCCCCCUCGAUACUCCCAGUGUCAUAGAUCUAUUCCAGAAACAUCAUAUGGCAUGUCAAAAGAAUUCAUACAAUGCAUGGCGCAACUCUUUAACAUGCAGGUGAGCUGCAUAUGUAUAUACAGCCCCAAACCCCACACAGGAUAGAACAAGAAACGGCCAUGCAGCAUGGUGACUUCAAAUAAACAAGAAAACACCCAUGGUUGUUGAAUGCAAAUUGCAAUGUUUGUUUGUAAAGUAUCGGUAUUAACUUGCCAAAUUUUGAAGCCAAUGUAUUGUAUGGGCAACUUCGAAGCCCUCAACACUAUUUUCCUCGAAGUUAGAUUGGAUACAACCAUAAGGUGGUGCUCGAAAUGGUGUUAAUGACAAAAGGCAUUACUUCAACCAUUUAUUAAUGAGCGUUGUAGAUUAUUAGGAUGACAUACAACAAACAACAAACAAUACCAAUCAGGUUUCAAACAAUGGGAGGUAUCACUCCAGGGUGCACUAAUCAUUUUUUGUUCUGGUUACAAUGAAAGAAUAACUUUCAAACAGAAAUUAUGUGUCUACUUUACUGAUGAAUCAACCAACAUGAUUAUGUUAAAAUUAACAAAAUUACUGUCAUGUGGGGCCAUUGCUACAGGAGGACACCCCAUCAGACAUCAGCUCAAUAGUUACUAUAGAAAAAUAUCUAACUCGCAAACUAAGGUAAUUAUCAAGCUGAUGUCAGACGGGGUUUCUUCCUGUAGUAAUGGCCCCACAUGACAAUUACAACAAAAAAUAUAAUGUCAUGCUUAUUCAGUAGGUAAGCUGAUAAUUCAUUGCAUGACUACAACUCGAGAGGUGAUUGCACUUGACAUUUUCAUUCAACUACACUAACAUGCCGUCAAAAGUGAAGUUGUACCUGACCGCCCUGUUCCGCAUAGAAGCUUGUGCUUUCCAAAACAAGACCAAAAUCUUCAUCACCAAAUGCAGUAGCUAUGAACUCUGAGCCAAUAUAGAUAGCUUUUACAACACUGCUAUGUACCUGCAAAAUGUUUUUAGGUGUAUCCGCCAUGAUCAAUAUAUAGGUGUUUACCCACAGUGCGAAAUAUGAACAGUGCAAGAACAAGCAAAGGCAGGUAGCCAGGUAAAUUCACUACUUGAAUGAAAUUCUACAAAAUCCCAAACAGGUACUGAAUAUGGAAGGAACUGUACCUAAUAGAGAAACCACAACUAAAUAAUCUAACUAAGCAUCUAACCUUGUGUUGGAAUUUCGGGCUAUCAUUUGUGCUGGCAAGCCCCUGAUUGCGCAGGUGCGAUGUAGCAUUAGCAUCGAGGACAAUAGACUUGCCACCAGCCUGCAAGAAAAACAUAUAUAACAAAAUCAGAAAGAAGUAUGAUAUAAAAACCAUAACAGGAAGAAGUUGCCCAAUCAAUUGUUGAGCGUCAGUGGCAUAUAAGAGAUGCUAAGUUUAGUUAAUUACAAUAUUAUUAAACAGCAAAGAGCAGGAAUAAUACUUGGAUGGCAUAAAAGAUCACAAGUGAAGAAUUAAGUUUUAUAUUUAAGAAGAAAUAAAUACAACCUUGUAGCGAGCAUUCCUAGCCUUUUGUCUUGCUUCUUCCAUAGAAACAUUAAAACCCUCCAUGUCAACAGAUAGCCCGAAGUCAACUGCCAUGACCUAUGAGAUAGGAAACAACAACGAUACAAGAAAAACAGACAAUAAAAGCUUUAACAACAGCAUAAACAUGAAAAUAUAGCACUGUCAAGCUAAUUUGAAUAGAUUUACUGAUGAAAACAUGAACAAACCUCAGUUAAAUCAAUUGGAUAGCCAUAUGUGUCCCACAGAACAAGUGCAUCCUGAAAUAACAAAUAACGGUUGCAAUACAUGAAAGAUAGCAAUAUAAACUUGAAAAGUUCAGCAGGAUGUAAUAGAACAUUGAUAAACAUAACCGAAGUAUGAUUAAGAGACAUGUUUCUAUGCAGUAAACUCCCAUUCUUAAAAUAAGGACGAUGAAAAGAAUUAUUCCACAUUACUAUAGAGAAUAUGACCAAGUUUACCAAAUAGUCAAAUUCCUUAGUUUUUGACACGUUUCUCGAAUACAUAGAAUUAGAACGACAAAAUAGAGAAUAUGAUCAAGUUAACCAGAUAGUGCCUAUACAAUAUUUAAAAUGACAUCGGAGAAUAACUACCAACAACGUAUCCGACAGAUAUCCAAGUUCUGGUUCCUAAUGCCAUUUUAAGGGGUUCGGUCAGUUUGUAGCUAUCUGAACCAUUUUUACCCCUGCCAGCAAACCAUUUUCAUGACACUAUAGUUAGAUUCUCAGGCAUUGUUCUUAAGGCGGUAAGGCAACCUAAGGUGAGCACCCACUACCCUGACGCCUAAGCGCCUUAGGUGGGCAAAACUGCAAAGCACUGUCAAGACGCCUUGCCACCUAAGCGUCCAAGGUGACAAGCCCUAAAAACAAUGCUCUGAGGCGUACUGGAGAGGGAGAAAAGGCUAGAGAUAUUCAGAUUAAUCUUCACUUCAAGAAAUGCAACCAAUCUAGCAAGGAUAAGAACCUAUUUCAACUAUUUUAAUAUGAAAUGUAUGCAUCUUAUUAAUCACGAUACCUUGUCUCUAACUUCACAAUUUAUAUCAUCUCCUAACUAUUUUCACUUCUCAAUGGACAUCAAUGAGAUAACACAUCAGAUAACAAACAAACUACAAGUCUGCUUAUUAGGUGCAAACAUCUUCUAGUGAAAACAAAAUAAAUCAAGUAUAAUUCAAAACCAAAGCAAUUGCCUGGCCACUAAGUAUUGUCCCGCCAUUCUCCUUGACAGCAUUUGCAGCUUUCUUAAAUCUCUCAUAUCCCUGAAAAUUACAACAACAGCACAAUCAGUUAACUGCCUGAACAGCCACAAGAAUGGACAAUACAUAUUAUGAUGGUUCUAAGAAAAGAAGGGUCAAUUAAACUUCAACUGUAAGCUUUCUUAGUCUCUGUUGCUAUAUAUGAAACACAAUAGCAAGGCACCUAGUAGGAACCACCCUUAAAAUAUAAGCAUGAUAAACAGAAUCAUGCCCAUGUGCAAACCAAAUAAAUUGGAUUACUAAUGGUCAUUUCAUAGAAAAGAUGAGACAAUUUAUCAUGUGUGCUAAUUAUCGUGAUUGAACUAAGCUGAUGUAAACCAAGAUUGAAACUAUCACCCUCGAUGUGUUGCCUCAAAACAAGAAACUAUCUGGUUACUCAGCACAACACGUUAAUAUAUUAUAUGUAUAUAUAUAAAGUAAGGCUUUAGCAGUAUCUCACGAGCAAAACAGCGGUACCUUAGAUACAAGGUAUAAACUGGCCCAGAGCCUCCGGCAACAACAGAAAUUUAGGUUAUCUGAUAACAAACAAGCUAAAUUACUUCGAGACUAACACAUGUUUACAAGGAUAAAACAAUUUAGGUUAUCUGAUAACAAACAAGCUAAAUUACUUUGAGACUAACACAUGUUUACAAGGAUAAAACACUGCCUAAGAGUGUGCAAACACUUGCAUUUGAUUGCAAUGAAAUUACUUCAACAAACAUCACUUGGGCCAAAUUGAUGUCACUGAUAUGCAAAUACUCCUGGCAACCAAUAUUACCUUCGCUAGAGUGUUCUCAAAGCUUGCCUCUUCUUCUUCAAUUAUAUCUUUAAUCUUCUUUUCAUUGUCCUUCAGCUCAGGAAACACAUCACCCAUCACUCGGACAAAAACAUCUACAAGG